GAAGAGCCGCGUUGACGAUCCAUGGUGGAAUGGAUUUCAGGGUCAGAGGCGCUUCGAUGGAGUAUACGCGGGAGGAGGAUGGUGCGGUUUGGAUCUGGAUCCCUGCCCCUUUAAUAGGCAGGUGACCCGCACAACCAGGGGGUAAAAUGUAAAAGACUCCCAGGCUUUUCGCAUUCGUGCGACGCAUGUAAGAGGGCCAUAAUUUGGCAUAGAAGCCAAGAAGCACAGUAUUCGAGGUAAAGUCGGACGCUGUUCGACAGGAACAUGAAAUUUGAAGGGAGAACCCGCCUUGCAACGCCGAAGACUACAAGCACGCUGGACUUAUCGUCAUUGAAGCCUGGUUCGGGGGCUACUGAGGGAGUCCUGGACUAGGGGGUGUCUGGAUAGCCGGACUAUCAAUAUCCGCCGGACUCCCAAACUACGAAGAUAGAAGAUUGAAGACUCCGGCUCGUGUCCGGAAGGUACUUUACUUGGCAUGGAACGCAAGCUUGGCAAUACGGAUAUGUAGAUCUCCUACCAUUGUAACCGACUCUGUGUAACCCUAGCCUCUCCGGUGUCUAUAUAAAUCGGAGGGCUUUAGUCCGUAGGACACAACAUUACAUCUCAACAAUCAUACCAUAGGCUAGCUUCUAGGGUUUAGCCUCCUUGAUCUUGUGGUAGAUCUACUCUCGUACUACCCAUAUCAUCAAUAUUAAUCAAGCAGGACGUAGGGUAUUACCUCCGUCGAGAGGGCCUGAACCUGGGUAAAAACAUUGUGUCCCUCGUCUCCUGUUACCAUCCACCUAGACGCACAGUUCAGGACCCCCUACCCGAGAUCCGCCGGUUUUGACACCGACACAAAGGUUGAGCUAUAGUGGAUCCGAACUGAUGCCAGCUACACUCACUAGAUAAACCCUUAUCACAAAUACUAAGGCUAUAUGCAUGCUAUGCAACAAACACACCAGACUCUAUACUACCGAUUUCUACCCGUUUCUACCGCUCGCGCUGACGUCCUACAGCCAGACUUGCUCUGAUACCGAGCCUGUGGCACCCCGGCUCAAAGAAACUGGAAUGCCCCGUAUUCCAGCCCAGAGAUCAAGGAGAAGUCUCUAGAAUACGACACUGCUUGACAUAGAACAAAUCCGCUCUUAUUACAAGAAUAAAUACAAAGGUCUGAUGUUAGAAAGAAGCACAUCAGCACGGUGACACUACACCUGCGAUACUACACUUGCUCUAUGGUAGCAGCGGAACAACUCGUAGCAGCGGAAAUCUUCUAGCAGCGGAACAACAACGAAGGUGGUGAACUCCACUCCGCAGGGACUCUGGCUGGGACACGAUCUAGCUCACACGAACAGAAACCACGACAAGAAAUCAAGCAAGCACGACAUCACCUGCAAUCUGGCAUGACACGCUAGGUCAGUACAUUGAAUGUACUUGCAAGCUCACAACAACCAAAAACAUCAAGGCAAGACAACAACAUAGCAUUAAGUAAGUUAAUUAAAUUAACAGCUACCAUGACAUAACAGCAACUCCUAAGCAUAAUAUGAAACUAGUACAAUACUGAUAAAUCACCAUCUCCGAUCUGCAUAACCAUACCUCUCUUGGCUAACCGGACAAGCAAUAUGCCAUCUCGAUCACCUCGUGAUCAAAACCAAACUGUAACCAUGAUCCUUACAAUGAUCACAACCUGAACAAUGAAUGGUCCGUGAUCCUUAUGGCGAUCACAACCUGACCAAUGAAUGGCCCGUGAUCCUUACUACGAUCACAACCCGACUAAUAAAUGGCUCGUGAUCCUCACAACGAUCACAACCCGACCAAUAAAUGGAAAACCUGUACUGCUCCAAAUAUCCACAUAUCCAUCACCUAUAAGUCAUUCUGUCAUGUGAGUGUUGAUCGAAUGGUGUACCCUAGUACGAACCCAUGCCCAUGACCAAGGGCGCGGCUAUCGAUAGAUUAAACACACACACACACACACACUCUGCAGAGGUAGCACACUGUACCCACAUCACAAAACCAAUGGCCUCGCACUCCCAUUCGGGUGGACCAACGACGUUCCGACAAAACCGAUCUAUUGCCAUGACACUCUCCCGGCCACUCCGACUCACUCCCCACUGGGCUAAGUCAUGGGUGGCCCCGUGUCUACCUCAAGACACAUCGACCACCAUCGUGGCCCGUCCCACACGGGGACACAGAUCCAAAAACUCAGACAACGGGCACACAAGGCUUAUGUCCGCCUACCUGAUCAGGGUAGCGCGCGCCCAUAACCUUCCCUCAUCAGAGGCACCGGCAAGAGGCACGACAAUAGACCACAUUAGGGCCGUCCCAUACCGACAAAUGUGGUUGCACCGGAAAAGGUCCGGUCGGCGGCACCUGACCAACUUAAUGACGGAAUUUAUUCCCAAACAUAUAACCAUGAUAACUGAUACUCCAAUGUCAACCAUCAAACUAUAAUCCAAGUCAUAGCAAUAUCCAACAAAUAAUCCAAGCGUAAUAUCGUAAUACCAAAAUACUCCGAGGAUAGCAUAACACUACUAUCAUGAUGAAUCCGAAACAAUAAUCCUACUACUCCAAUAACAAGAAUACAGCUAUCCAGCUAAGAUCCACAUGUAACCAUCAUCUCCGAAAAUAAUACUCCAAGCAACAAAACAUCAACUAGCAUCAUGAAAAUAUUCAUACUAACCACUAAUAAUCCAAAGGUAGCAUGAUAUACAAAGUAAUACUCCAAGAAUAUAAUCACAGAUAUCAUCAUGGAAAUGAUCAUAAUACCAGCCACUAAUACUCCAAUGGCAACAUGAUACUCAUCAACUACACACAUAAAUCCUAGUAAUCCAAACAAUAGCAUGGCAUCCACAAGAUCAAAAUAAUACUCUAAGAAAAUGCCAUGCACAGAUCACAAGUAGCUAAAGCAAUAUUUUAAACAAGUUCAAAAUGCAUUAAACCAUGUCACUGCAUUAUAGUGAUGCAAAUGGAGGGUGUGGAUUGCCUGGGGUGGAAGAAAUCACCGGAAGAAAGUGCGAGAAGCUCGCGGAAUGAAUCGCCGGAAAUCUUUCUCUCUCGGAGGGGGCUGAUUAAGGGAAGGAGCAAAAUGGCCAUUUUCAGUAUGCCAAAACAUAAUGAAAGUGACACCAACAGAAAGGGCUCGACGAAACAAAGAAGUGAGCGUUGGAAUCACCUCAUUUGGAGUCACGGUUUAAAAGUUAUGGAGUGUUUUCUGCCAGGGACCCAUCUGUAAUGGAAAUAUUUUCAACCAGGGGCCUGAACAGAAAAACAGAACGCGUAAAAGAGAAACACGCUUUCGGAAAGCGAAGAAGUAGCCUGUGGUUUAUGCCUCCAGUUAUCCACGUCAGCGUACCUGUGUCAACGCGAGGCCGGCGGCUGGGUGGCUGAUAGGGGGGGGGCACUGCAUCUUCUCUCUCCUCCUAGCCUCCUUCUUCCUCCCGCCUGGACGCAUCGGGCCGAGCAGGGGAGCUCACCCCGACGAGGCUCGCCAGUGAUCCCGGCCACCAUACGGGGCGCGCGACCUACCGACGAGCUCAGCAGGAGGAGGCGGAUCCAUUCCGCGAGGAGACGGACGCCGAGGAGGAUUGGAGCAACUAGGGCGUGGACUCCGGCGGAGUUGGCUUCGGGUGGAGCUGGGCUUCGCGGCCAGGGGCUACCAUAGGAGGAGGGAAAGGGCUCGGGCGACUCCAGGGUGCGGAUUGGGGCCUCUGGAGGUGGAAGAAGGAGGGGAGGAGCCCGUGGCUGCUCGGAUUUGAGCGGAGCCCGACGGCGGCCAUGGCGGCGAUGGGAGAGCAGGAGAGCUCCUGGAGCUCGGGGAAGAGCAUGGGCGGGGCUAGAGGAGGUUCAGGAGGCCAGCGGUGAGGUCGAGAGGCCUCGGGGUGGGCUUACAUAGCCGGGGAAGGAGCUGCCUCGCUGUCACCGCCGCAGACGCGUGUCCGGUGCCGCGGACGCCUCCUUGCGCGCAUGGACUCGGGGGAAACGACGGGGAGGGCACAGGGGAGAGCUCUCAUGGGUCAGAGGAGGCCAAAGGAGCACGGGGAAGAUGGCGACGACGACGAAUAGAUCCAAACCGCCAGUGUACGUCCGUGGGCGCGCAGCAGUUUGCGUCGGUGAGGUAGCUGUCGGAGGGGGAGAAGGCUCCAUCGGAACGGCGAUGAUGAGAUGCAGCCACUGGACACUGUCACUGGCUCUAAGACGACGAGAGGGAGCAGUGCCAAAGCACAAACAGUGCUCUGGACACGCCACAGUGCACAGAGCGCAUGCACAGGCAUGCCAGCUGCACGGUCACCACACGACAUGGCACAUUAAAUGCUCUAUAGCACCCAAAAUGUUGUCUAUUGGAUAGUCCUUCCUGGGGAGGUCUCAACUACGGUGGUAACUAGGUUAAACAGGCUUUGGAUAAAAAGUUAGUGAGCUCUGAAGUUUACUGCAGUAAACUUUAUCAUCUCAAUGUAAUCAACAGGGGGCUGCUAGGUGUCAAGUGUUACAUCUAGAGUGUUUAGGCUAGGAAGGACUACUACCUUGGGAAUUUGGGAAGAAAUGGACCAAUAUAAAUCAUAGUUGCUUCACAACUGCAUAUCUAGUCCAGAAAUGAAGAUUAGGAUGGUGCACUCACAUGGAGUGUCAACUUGAGCUGAAAUUGGGCAAGGCUUAGUCAUUUGGUCAUAUCAAGAUGCUUACAAAGUAUCAUACCAUUUGGCAAAGCCAAAAUGGUACUUGCUUCACAAACAUCUCCUCUGGACAGAAACAUGAAAUAAUAUUGGUGGUCAAAUGGAUCAAUGAAAUGAUGCCAAAUUGGGUGGAGAGAAGUUUUAUGGGUAUAAUCAUGAUCUAGUAAUUCAUCAGGAUUUUUGAAGCAAUAUAAAAUGCACCUGCUUCACAACCUAAAAAUAAGGCCAGAAUCAAUGAUUUGCUCCUGUGCACACAUAGAUGAUUGCAUGGGGCUGAAAAUGGGUGAAGGGGUUUAAUAUGAGCACAUUAAGGAGUGUGCAAAAGUUCAACUUAUUUGGAUACACCUAGAUAGUACUUCCUUCACAAAGCCUUCUGUCUGACAAAAACUUUGAAAAUUCACUGAGGAAGAUUGACUAGGCAAAUAAAUUUGAACUUGUGCAUGGGACAACUAUUUGGACAUAUAAACAUGCCCAAAAAGAUUGGGAGCCACUAGGAGAAAUAUAAAUGACACUUCCUUCACAAAGUGCCAUUCAGGGCAGAAUAGAAAAAGGAAUAUUGGGGAAUUAUUUUUGAACUGGCCAAGGCAAUGUUUGGCCAUAUUUGAGCUAUAUAUGACCCAAAUGAAUUAUGAGAAUUAUUUGGAGAUUUUUGGAUGGACAAAAAUAUAGGUUGCUUCACAACCUAGGGCAGAUAGGGUUAUUCCUUUAAUGAAAAAGGAAUUUUCCCUAGAAAAAGAUUUUAGGGUUUGAUCAAGGAGUAAAGUGACAUGAUCUUUGGCAAGGUAUUUUGAGAAUGAUGAUCCACUGGGGAGGAGGAAUGAUGAUGAUUUCCCAGGUGGCAAGGCCACAGAACCACUCCAAAAAGAAAAACAGAGCAAAAACCAAAUAAAUCAAAGGAAAAAGAAAGGGCCAAAAUCCAGGCUGUUACAAAGGUGAGAGUGCGUAUAAUCCAUGGACUCAACAUUAGUCAUAAAGAACUCAUAUACUUAUUGCAAAAAUCUACAAGUCAUCACAAACAAAGUACUACGCGCAUGCUCCUAGGGGGAUAGAUUGGUAGGAAAAGACCAUCGCUCGUCUCCGACCGCCACUCAUAAGGAAGACAAUAAAUAAAUAAAAUUGUGCUCCAACUUCAUCACAAAGCGGUUCACCAUACGUGCAUGCUACGAGAAUCACAAACUUUAGCACAAGCAUUCUUCAAAUUCAUAAUCACCCAACUAGCAUGACUUUAAUGUUACCACCUCCAUAUCUCAAAACAAUUAUCAAGCAUCAAAUUGAUCAUAGCAUCCAAUUCACUUUCUAUGAUAGUUUUUAUUAUACCCAACUUGGAUGCCCAUCAUUCUAAGACCAAAUUUAUAACCAUAGCAAAUACCAUGCUGUUCUAAAAGACUCUCAAAAUAAUAUAAGUGAGGCAUGAGAGACUAAUAAUUUCUAAAAAAUUAAGCCACCGCCGUGCUCUAAAAGAUAUAAGUGAAGCACUAGAGCAAAAACUAUCUAGCUCAAAAGAUAUAAGUGAAGCACAUAGAGUAUUCUAAUAAAUUCCAAUCAAGUGGGCUUCUCACAAAAGCUAUGUACAGCAAGGAUGAUUGUGGAAAACUAAAAAUCAAAGACUAAUAUCAUACAAGACGCUCCAAGCAAAACACAUAUCAUGUGGCGAAUAAAAAUAUAGCUCCAAGUAAAGUUACCGAUAAAGGAAGACGAAAGAGGGGAUGCCUUCCGUGGCAUCCCCAAGCUUAGGCUCUUGGUUGUCCUUGAAUAUUGCCUUGGGGUGUCUUGGGCAUCCCCAAGCUUAGACUCUUGCCACUCUUUAUUCCAUAGUCCAUCGAACCUUUACCCAAAACUUGAAAACUUCACAACACAAAACUCAACAGAAAACUCGUAAGCUGUGUGAGUAUAAGAAAAUAAAAUCACAACUUAGGUACUGUAAUGAACUCAUUCUAAAUUCAUAUUGGUGUAAUAUCUACUGUAUUCCAACUUCUGUAUGGUUCAUACCCUCCGAUACUACUCAUAGAUUCAUCAAAAUAAGCAAACAACACAUAGAAAACAGAAUCUCUCAAAAACAGAACAGUUUGUAGUAAUGUAUAUCAAACGUAUAUUUAUGGAACUCCAAAAAUCCUACAAAAUUAGGAAGUCCUAAGAAAUUUGUGUACCAACCCAUAGCAAAAUGAAUCAGAUCAGAAUCACGUUUGUGUGAAUUACCAAAACUAAUUUACUGGGUGCAAAAGUUUCUGAUUGUCAGCAGGAUCAACACAACUAUCACCGUAAGCUAUCGUAAAGGUCUUACUUGGCACUUUAUUGAAACAAAAGUUAUAAAACAUGAUUACUACAGUAGCAUAAUCAUGUGGACACGCAAUAAUAAUAAGGAUAAAUAUUGGGUUGUCUCCCAACAAGCACUUUUCUUUAAUGCCUUUCUAGCUAGGCAUGAUGAUGACAUUGAUGCUCACAUAAAAGAUAAGAAUUGAAACAUAGAGGGAGCAUCAUGAAGCAUAUGACUAGCACAUUUAAUCCUAACCCACUUCCUAUGCAUAGGGAUUUUGUGAGCAAACAACUUAUGGGAACAAUAAUCAACUAGCAUAGGAAGGCUCAACAAGCAUAACUUCAAGAUUUUCAACACAUAGGGAGGAAACUUGAUAUUAUUGCAAUUCCUACAAUCAUAUGUUCCUCCCUCAUAAUAAUUUUCAGUAUCAUAAUGGAUGAAUUCAACAAUAUAACCAGCAUCUAAAGCAUUCUUUUCAUGAUCUACAAGCAUAUAAAAUUUACUACUCUUCACAUAAGCAAAAUUCUUCUCAUUCGGAAUAGUGGGAGUGUCAUAAGAGACUUGAAUACUAUAGAUUGUUUCCACAGUAAAAGAGUAAUGUUCAGAAAAAGGGUAAUCAUUACCAUGACAAGUUUUAUAAAUAUAAUCAUCACUACUUUUUAUAGCAUAAGUUUCAUCACAAUAAUCAUCAUAAGUAGCAACUUCGUUCUCACCAUAAUCGAUCGAAACCUCUUCCAAGAUAGUGGAAUCAUCACUAAAUAAAGUUGACACACUUCCAAACCUACUUUCAUCAAUAUAAUCAUCAUGGGUAAGAGGCAUGCUAUCAUCAUAACAACUUUGCAUAUCAAAACUUGGGAAACUAAAAAUAUCAUCUUCAUAAAACGUAGCAUCCCCAAGCUUGGGACAAAUAUUAAUUUCAGCAAAUAAAUUCUCAAAUAUUUCAUCCUCAUCAAACAUAGCUUCCCCAAGCCUGGGCCUUUUCAUAUCAUAAGAAUAAUCACUCUCAUCAUUAAUAGUAUGGAUAGCACCAAUAGUAUAGCAAUUAUCAUCAUCACAAUGAGUAGUGGGAGCAACAUCAUUUUGGAGGGAUACCUUUUUACCUUUGUUGCUCCUUGUUUUCUUUUUCUUCUUCACAUUAUGUGUGGGUUCAACCUUGUUCUUUGAGAUCCUUAUUAGUGAGAUUGAUUGAAUAGAAAGCUCCUCCUCGUUACCUGAUUCAUCAUAAGAAAUAAUAGGAGGUAGUGGGAAGUCUCUUCCCUUUCAUUAGUAUUCUCAUCAUCUUCUAUUUGCUAUUCAUCAUAAGGAUUUUCAAUGCAAUUCACCGCACAAUACAUAUAAAUUUCCUCUAGAUCAAACUGAAGAAGGUUAUAACGGGCAAAUUUUGGAAGAAAUUUAGUUAAACUUUUCAUUUCUUCGUAACCCAUAAGCAAACUAAGUUCAUUAUAAUGUGCAAGGGAGAUCAAAUCAUCACAAUUGUGGGACACGAUUCGAUCAUGAAACAAUUUGCAUCGGAUAUGUAAAUGACAACUUUCAUUGCAAAGUUCACAAGUACCGCGAAGGAAAUAUAAUUCUUUAGCACUCACCCUUAGCCUUUAUUGCAACAAUUUAGUUUCUACAUGCUUAUGCCUCUUGCAGUAUCUAUCUUCUCUAUUUGGUGUUGAAGGAAAUAUGCCCUAGAGGCAAUAAUAAAGUUAUUAUUUAUUUCCUCAUAUCAUGAUAAAUGUUUAUUAUUCAUGCUAGAAUUGUAUUAACCGGAAACAUGAUACAUGUGUGAAUACAUAGACAAACAUAUAGUCACUAGUAUGCCUCUACUUGACUAGCUCAUUAAUCAAAGAUGGUCAUGUUUCCUGACCAUAGACAUGUGUUGUCAUUUGAUUAGUGGGAUCGCAUCAUUAGAAGAAUGAUGUGAUUGACAUGACCCAUUCUGUUAGCCUAGCACUUGAUCGUUUAGUAUUCUGCUAUUGCUUUCUUCAUGACUUAUAUAAAGUUCCUGCAACUAUGAGAUUGUGCAACUCCCGUUUACCGGAAGAACACUUUGUGUGCUACCAAAUGUCACAAUGUAACUGGGUGAUUAUAAAGGUGCUCUACAGGUGUUUCCGAAGGUACAUGUUGAGUUGGCAUAAUUCGAGAUUAGGAUUUGUCACUCCGAUUGUCGGAGAGGUAUCUCUGGCCCUCUCUGUAAUACUCAUCACCUAAGCCUUGCAAGCAUGUAACUAAUGAGUUAGUUAUGAGAUGACGUAUUACAGAACGAGUAAAGAGACUUGCCAGUAACGAUAUUGAACUAGGUAUUGGAUACCGACGAUCAAAUCUCGGGCAAGUAACAUACCGAUGACAAAGGGAACAAAGUAUGUUGUUAUGCGGUUUGACCGAUAAAGAUCUUCGUAGAAUAUGUAGGAACCAAUAUGGGCAUCUAGGUCCCGCUAUUGGUUAUUGACCAGAGACAUGUCUCGGUCAUGUCUACAUUGUUCUCGAACCGUAGGGUCCACACGCUUAAGGUUUCGAUGACAGUUAUAUUAUGAAUUUAUGUAUUUUGAUGUACCGAAGGUUGUUCGGAGUCCCGGAUAUGAUCACGGACAUGACGAGGAGUCUCGAAAUGGUCGAGACAUAAAGAUUGAUAUAUUGGACGGAUAUAUUUGGACACCGGAAAGGUUCCAGGAGAGUUUGGGAAUAUGCCGGAGCUCCGGGAGGUUACCGGAACCCCCCGUUAAGUAUAUGGGCCUUAUUGGGCCCAAGUGGAAGGAAGGGAGAAGGAGCAAGGGAGGGGGGCGCCCCCCCCCCCCAAGCCCAAUCCGAAUUGGGGAGGGGGCCGGCCCCCCCUUUCCUUUCUCCUUCCCUCUCUUCCUUCCUACUACUAGUACUCCUUCCUUCCCCCUCCAAGUUGGAUUAGGAAAAGGAGGGGAAACCUACUUGGAGUAGGUUUCCCCCUCCCUAUGGCGCGCCCCCCCUUGGGCCGGCCACCUCCUCCCUCCCUCCUUUAUAUACGGGGGUAGGGGGCACCCUAGACACGCAAGUUGAUCAUUGAGAUCGUUCCUUAGCCGUGUGCGGUGCCCCCCUCCACGAUAUUACACCUCGGUCAUAUUGUAGCGGUGCUUAGGCGAAGCCCUGCGACAGGAGAACAUCAAGAUCAUCACCACGCCGUCGUGCUGACGGAACUCCCCCCUGCGCCUCUGCUGGAUCGGAGAUAGGGGGUGCGUCAUCGAGCUGUACGUGUGUCAAGAACUCGGAGGUGCCGGAGUAAUGGUGCUUGGAUCGGUUGGACCAGGAGGACGUACGACUACUUCCUCUACGUUGCGUCAACGCUUUCGCUUCGGUCUACGAGGGUACGUAGACAACACUCUCCCCUCGUUUCUAUAUCAUCACCAUGAUCUUGCGUGUGCGUAGGAAAUUUUUUGAAAUUACUACGUUCACCAAGAGUGGCAUCCGAGCCCAGGUUUUAUGUGUUGAUGUUAUAUGCACGAGUAGAACACAAGUGAGUUGUGGACGAUAUAAGUCAUACUGCCUACCAGCAUGUCAUACUUUGGUUCAGCGGUAUUGUUGGAUGAAGCGGCCCGGACCGACAUUACGCAUACGCUUACGCGAGACUGGUUUUACCGCCGUGCUUUGCACACAGGUGACUAGCGGGUGUCUGUUUCUCCAACUUUAGUUGAACCGAGUGUGGCUACGCCCAGUCCUUGUGAAGGUUAAAACGGAGUCUAUUUGACAAACUAUCGUUGUGGUUUUGAUGCGUAGGUAAGAACGGUUCUUGCUAAGCCCGUAGCAGCCACGUAAAAUUUGCAACAACAAAGUAGAGGACGUCUAACUUGUUUUUGCAGGGCAUGUUGUGAUGUGAUAUGGUCAAGACGUGAUGCUAUAUUUUAUUGUAUGAGAUGAUCAUGUUUUGUAACCGAAGUUAUCGGCAACUGGCCGGAGCCAUAUGGUUGUCGCUUUAUUGUAUGAAAUGCAAACGCCCUGUAAUUGCUUUACUUUAUCACUAAGCGGUAGCGAUAGUCGUAGAAGCAAUAGAUGGCGUAAACGACAACGAUGCUACGAUGGAGAUCAAGGUGUCGCGCCGGUGACGAUGGUGGUCAUGACGGUGCUUCGAAGAUGGAGAUCACAAGCACAAGAUGAUGAUGGCCAUAUCAUAUCACUUAUAUUGAUUGCAUGUGAUGUUUAUCCUUUAUGCAUCUUAUCUUGCUUUGAUUGACGGUAGCAUUUUAAGAUGAUCUCUCACUAAAAUUAUCAAGAAGUGUUCUCCCUGAGUAUGCACCAUUGCCAAAGUUCGUCGUGCCGAGACACCACGUGAUGAUCGGGUGUGAUAAGCUCUACGUCCAUCUACAACGGGUGCAAGCCAGUUUUGCACAUGCGGAAUACUCAGGUUAUACUUGACGAGCCAGCAUAUGCAGAUAUGGCCUCGGAACACGGAGACCGAAAGGUCGAGUGUGAAUCAUAUAGUAGAUAUGAUCAACAUAGUGAUGUUCACCAUUGAAAACUACUCCAUCUCACGUGAUGAUCGGUCAUGGUUUAGUUGAUUUGGAUCACGUAAUCACUUAGAUGACUAGAGAGAUGUCUGUCUAAGUGGGAGUUCUUAAGUAAUAUGAUUAAUUGAACUUUAAUUUAUCAUGAACUUAGUCCUAGUAGUAUUUUGCAAAUUAUGUUGUAAGAUCAAUAGCUUGCGUUGUUGCUUUCAUAUGUUUAUUUUGAUAUGUUCCUAGAGAAAAUUGUGUUGAAAAAUGUUAGUAGCAAUGAUGCGGAUUUGAUCCGUGAUCUGAGGUUUAUCCUCAUUGCUGCAUAGAAGAAUUAUGUCCUUGAUGCACCGCUAGGUGACAGACCUAUUGCAGGAGCAGAUGCAGACGUUAUGAACGUUUGGCUAGCUCAAUAUGAUGACUACUAGAUAGUUUAGUGCACCAUGCUUAAACGGCUUAGAAUCGGGACUUCAAAGACGUUUUGAACGUCAUGGACCAUAUAAGAUGUUCCAGGAGUUGAAGUUAAUAUUUCAAGCAAAUACCCUAGUUGAGAGAUAUGAAGUCUCCAACAAGUUCUAUAGCUAAAAGAUGGAGGAGAAUCGCUCAACUAGUGAGCAUGUGCUCAGAUUGUCUGGGUACUUCAAUCGCUUGAAUCAAGUGGGAGUUAAUCUUCCAGAUAAGAUAGUGAUUGACAGAAUUCUCUAGUCACCAUCACUUAGUUACUAGAACUUCGUGAUGAACUAUGGUAUGCAAGGGAUGACGAAAAUGAUUCCCGAGCUCUUCGUGAUGUUGAAAUCAAGGAAGGUAGAAAUCAAUAAAAGACCAUCAAGUGUUGAUGAUUGACAAGACCACUAGUUUCAAGAGAAGGGCAAAGGGAAAGAAAGGGAACUUCAAGUGGAAAGACAACCAAGUUGUCACUCCUGCGAAGAAGCCCAAAGCUGGACCAUAGCCUGAAACUGAGUGUUUACACUGCAAAGGAAAUGGUCACUGGAAGCGGAAAUGCCCUGAAUAUUGGGUGGAUAAGAAGGAUGGCAAAGUGAACAAGGGUAUAUUUGAUAUACAGAUUAUUGAUGUGUGCCUUACUAGUGUUUAUAGUAACCCCUGAGUAUUUGAUACUUGCUCGGUUGCUAAGAUUAAUAACUCGAAACAGGAGUUACAGAAUAAACAGAGACUAGUUGAAGGGAAAGUGACGAUGAGUGUUGGAAGUAGUUCCAAGAUUGAUAUGAUCAUCAUUGCACACUCCCUAUACUUUCGGGAUUAGUGUUAAAACCUAAAUAAAUCUUAUUUAGCAUUUGCGUUGAGCAUGAAUAUGAUUUGAUCAUGUUUAUUGCAAUACGGUUAUUCAUUUAAAGUCAGAGAAUAAUUGUUGUUCUGUUUACAUGAAUAAAACCUUCAAUGGUCAUACACCCAAUGAAAAUAGUUUGUUGGAUCUCGAUCGUAGUGAUACACAUAUUCGUAAUAUUGAUGCCAAAAGAUGCAAAGUUAAUAAUGAUAGUGCAACUUAUUUGUGGCACUGCCAUUUGGGUCAUAUCGGUGUAAAGCGCAUGAAGAAACUCCAUAAAGAUGGAUUUUCGGAAUCACUUGGUUAUGAAUCAUUUGAUGCUUGCGAACUGUGCCUUUUGGGCAAGAUGACUAAAACUCCGUUCUUCGGAACAAUGGAACGAGCAACAAACUUGUUGGAAAUAAUACAUACUGAUGUAUGCAGACCAAUGAGUAUUAAGGCUCGUGGCGAGUAUCGUUAUUUUCUGACCUUCACAGAUGAUUUAAGCAGAUAUGGGUAUAUCUACUUGAUGAAACAUAAGUCUGAAAUAGUUGAAAGGUUCAAAGAAUUUCAGAGUGAAGUGGAAAAUCAUCGUAACAAGAAAAUAAAGUUUCUGCGAUCUGAUCGUGGAGGAGAAUAUUUGACUUACGAGUUUGGCCUUCAUAUAAAACAAAUGUGGAAUAGUUUCACAGUUCACGCAACCUGGAACACUACAACAUUAUGGUGUGUCCGAACGUCGUAAUCGUAUUUUAUAAGAUAUGGUGCGAUCUAUGAUGUUUCUUACCGAUUUACCAAUAUCGUUUUGGGAUCAUGCAUUAGAGACAGCUGCAUUCACGUUUAAAAGGGCCCCAUCUAAAUCCGUUGAGAGGACACCGUAUGAACUAUGGUUUAGCAGUAAACCUAAGCUGUCGUUUCUUAAAGUUUGGUGUUGCGAUGCUUAUAUGAAAAAGUUUUUCAACCUGAUAAGCUCGAACCCAAAUCGGAGAAGUGCGUCUUCAUAGAAUACCCAAAGGAAACUGUUGGGUAAUCCUUCUCUCACUGAUCCGAAGGCAAAACAUUCAUUGCUAAAAAUGGAUCCUUUCUAGAGAAGGAGUUUCUCUCGAAAGAAGUGAGUGGGAGGAAAGUAGAACUUGAUGAGGUAACUGUACCUGUUCCCUUAUUGGAAAGUAGUUCAUCACAGAAAUCAGUUCCUGUGACAAAUACACCAAUUAGUGAGGAAGCUAGUGAUAUUGAUCAUGAAACUUCGGAUCAAGUUACUACAAAACCUCGUAGGUCUUCCAGAGUAAGAUCCGCACCAGAGUGGUGUAGUAAUCAUGUUUUGGAAGUCAUGUUACUAGACCAUGAUGAACCUACGAACUAUGAGGAAGCGAUGAUGAGCCCAGAUUCCGCGAAAUGGCUCGAGGCCAUAAAAUCUGAGAUAUGAUCCAUGUAUGAGAACAAAGUAUGGACUUUGAUUGACUUGCUCGAUGAUCGGCAAGCCAUGUUAAAUAAAUGGAUCUUCAAGAGGAAGACGGACACUGAUAGUAGUAUUACUAUCUACCAAGCUCGACUUGUUGCGAAAGGUUUUCAACAAGUUCAAGGUGUUGAAUACGAUGAGAUUUUCUCACUUGUAUCGAUGCUUAACUCUGUCUAAAUCAUGUUAGCAAUUGCCACAUUUUAUGAAAUCUGGCAAAUGGAUGUCAAAACUGCAUUCCUUAAAGGAUUUAUUAAAGAAGAGUUGUAUAUGAUGCAACCAGAAGGUUUUGUCAAUCCUAAAGGUGCUAACAAAAUAUGCAAGCUCCAGCGAUCCAUCUAUGGACUGGUGCAAGCAUCUCGGAGUUGGAAUAUACGCUUUGAUAAGUUGAUCAAAGCAUAUAGUUUUAUAUGGACUUACGAUGAAGCAUGUAUUUACAAUAAAGUGAGUGGGAGCACUACAGCCUUUCUGAUUAGUAUAUGUGAGUGACAUAUUGUUGAUCAGAAAUGAUGUAGAAUUUUUCUGCAAAGCAUAAAGGAGUGUUUUAAAGGAUUUCUUUAAAAGAAAAGACCUCAGUAAAAGCUACAUACAUAUUGAGCAUCAAGAUCUAUUGAGAUAGAUCAAGACGCUUGAUAAGAUUUUCAAUGAGUACAUACCUUGGCAAGAUUUUGAAAUAGUUCAAAAUGGAACAGUCAAAGAAAGAGUUCUUGCAUGUGUUGCAAAGGUAAUUGAGUAAGACUCAAAUCCCGACCACAGCAGAAAAUAGAAAGAAUGAAAAGUCAUUCCCUAUGCCUCAGUCAUAGGUUCUAUAAAGUAUGCUAUGCUAUGUACCAGACCUAUUGUAUACCUUGCUCUAAAUCUGGCAAGGGAGUACGAUAGUGAUCUAGGAGUAGAUCACUGGACAUUGGUCAAGAAUAUCCUUAGUAAGGACUAAGGAGAUGUUUCUCGAUUAUGGAGGUGAUAAAAGAGUUUGUUGUAAAAGUUACAUCAGUGCAAACUUUUACACCGAUCCAGAAGACUCUAAGUCUCAAUCUGGAUAAAUAUUGAAAGUCGGAGCAAUUAGCUAGAAUAGCUCCGUGCAGAGCAUUAUAGACAUAGAAUAUUUGCAAAAUACAUGCGGCUCUGAAUGUGACGGAACCGUUGACUAAGCUUCUCUCACGAGCAAAACAUGAUCAGCACCAAGACUCCAUGGGUGUUAGAAUCAUUACUAUGUAAUCUAGAUUAUUGACUCUAGUGCAAGUGGGAGACUGAAGGAAAUAUGCCCUAGAGGCAAUUAGAAAGUUAUUAUUUAUUUCCUCAUAUCAUGAUAAAUGUUUAUUAUUCAUGCUAGAAUUGUAUUAACCGGAAACAUGAUACAUGUGUGAAUACAUAGACAAACAUAUAGUCACUAGUAUGCCUCUACUUGACUAGCUCAUUAAUCAAAGAUGGUCAUGUUUCCUGACCAUAGACAUGUGUUCUCAUUUGAUUAGUGGGAUCACAUCAUUAGAAGAAUGAUGUGAUUGACAUGACCCAUUCUGUUAGCCUAGCACUAGAUCGUUUAGUAUUCUGCUAUUGCUUUCUUCAUAACUUAUACAAAGUUCCUGCAACUAUGAGAUUGUGCAACUCCCGUUUAUCGGAAGAACACUUUGUGUGCUACCAAACGUCACAACAUAACUGGGUGAUUAUAAAGGUGCUCUACAGGUGUUUCCGAAGGUACAUGUUGAGUUGGCAUAAUUCGAGAUUAGGAUUUGUCACUCCGAUUGUCGGAGAGGUAUCUCUGGGCCCUCUCGGUAAUACUCAUCAGCUAAGCCUUGCAAGCAUGUAACUAAUGAGUUAGUUAUGAGAUGACGUAUUAUAGAAUGAGUAAAGAGACUUGCCAGUAACGAGAUUGAACUAGGUAUUGGAUACCGACGAUCAAAUCUCGGGCAAGUAACAUACCGAUGACAAAGGGAACAAAGUAUGUUGUUAAGCGGUUUGACCGAUAAAGAUCUUCGUAGAAUAUGUAGGAACCAAUAUGAGCAUCCAGGUCCCGCUAUUGGUUAUUGACCAGAGACGUGUCUCGGUCAUGUCUACAUUGUUCUCGAACAGUAGGGUCCACACGCUUAAGGUUUCGAUGACAGUUAUAUUAUGAAUUUAUGUAUUUUGAUGUACCGAAGGUUGUUCGGAGUCCCGGAUAUGAUCACGGACAUGACGAGGAGUCUCGAAAUGGUAGAGACAUAAAGAUUGAUAUAUUGGACGGAUAUAUUUGGACACCGGAAAGGUUCCGGGAGAGUUUGGGAAUAUACCGGAGCUCCGGGAGGUUACCGGAACCCCCGGUAAGUAUAUGGGCCUUAUUGGGCCCAAGUGGAAGGAAGGGAGAAGGAGCAAGGGAGGCGGGCGCACCCCCCCAAGCCCAAUCNNNNNNNNNNNNNNNNNNNNNNNNNNNNNNNNNNNNNNNNNNNNNNNNNNNNNNNNNNNNNNNNNNNNNNNNNNNNNNNNNNNNNNNNNNNNNNNNNNNNNNNNNNNNNNNNNNNNNNNNNNNNNNNNNNNNNNNNNNNNNNNNNNNNNNNNNNNNNNNNNNNNNNNNNNNNNNNNNNNNNNNNNNNNNNNNNNNNNNNNNNNNNNNNNNNNNNNNNNNNNNNNNNNNNNNNNNNNNNNNNNNNNNNNNNNNNNNNNNNNNNNNNNNNNNNNNNNNNNNNNNNNNNNNNNNNNNAUUAGGAAAAGGAGGGGAAACCUACUUGGAGUAGGUUUCCCCCUCCCUAUGGCGCACCCCCCCUUGGGCCGGCCACCUCCUCCCUCCCUCCUUUAUAUACGGGGGUAGGGGGGCACCCUAGACACACAAGUUGAUCAUUGAGAUCGUUCCUUAGCCGUGUGCGGUGCCCCCCUCCACGAUAUUACACCUCGGUCAUAUUGUAGCGGUGCUUAGGCGAAGCCCUGCGACAGGAGAACAUCAAGAACGUCACCACGCCGUCGUGCUGACGGAACUCCCCCCUGCGCCUCUGCUAGAUCGGAGAUAGGGUGUGCGUCAUCGAGCUGUACGUGUGUCAAGAACUCGGAGGUGCCGGAGUAACGGUGCUUGGAUCGGUUGGACCAGGAGGACGUACGACUACUUCCUCUACAUUGCGUCAACGCUUCCGCUUCGAUCUACGAGGGUACGUAGACAACACUCUCCCCUCGUUGCUAUAUCAUCACCAUGAUCUUGCGUGUGCGUAGGAAUUUUUUUGAAAUUACUACGUUCACCAAUAGGUGUAUCCAUGCAAACCCAAUGCUCUCCACAAAAAUCGACAUGCUUAUAAGAGACAUUUUCAUCAUAACUAGUGCAAUCAUCAUUAGUACUAUGGAUAUUCAAGGAUUCACACUAACAACAUUGCAAUCAUGCUCAUCAUCCAAAGAUUUAGUACCAAACAUUUUAAUGCAUUCUUCUUCUAGAAAUUGAGCACAAUUUUCCUUUCCAUCAUACUCACGAAAGAUAAUAAAAAGAUGAAGCGUAUGAGACAAACUCCAAUCCAUUUUUUUGUAGUUUUCUUUUAUAGACUAAAAUAGUGAUAAAACAAGAAACAAAAAGAUUCGAUUGCAAGACCUAAAGAUAUACCUUCAAGCACUCACCUACCCGGCAACGGCGCUAGAAAAGAUCUUGAUGUCUACUACACAACCUUCUUCUUGUAGACGUUGUUGGGCCUCCAAGUGCACAGGUUUGUAGGACAGUAGCAAAUUUCCCUCAAGUGGAUGACCUAAGGUUUAUCAAUCCGUGGGAGGCGUAGGAUGAACAUGGUCUCUCUCAAACAACCCUGCAACCAAAUAAUAAAGAGUCUCUUGUGUCCCCAACACACCCAAUACAAUGGUAAAUUGUAUAGGUGCACUAGUUCGGCGAAGAGAUGGUGAUACAAGUGCAAUAUGGAUGGUAGAUAUAGGUUUCUUUAAUCUGAAAAUAUAAAAACAGGAAGGUAACUAAUGAUAAAAGUGAGCACAAACAAUAUUGCAAUGCUUCAAAACAAGGCCUAAGGUUCAUACUUUCACUAGUGCAUGUUCUCUCAACAAUAAUAACAUAGAUAGAUCAUAUAACAAUCCCUCAACAUACAACAAAGAGUCACUCCAAAGCCACUAAUAGCGGAGAACAAACGAAGAGAUUAUGGUAGGGUACGAAACCACCUCAAAGUUAUCCUUUCUGCUCGAUCUAUUCAAGAGUCCGUAGUAAAAUAACACGAAGCUAUUCUUUCCGUUUGAUCUAUCAUAGAGUUCGUACUAGAAUAACACCUUAAGAAACAAAUCAACCAAAACCCUAAUGUCACCUAGAUACUCCAUUGUCACCUCAAGUAUCCGUGGGCAUGAUUAUACGAUAUGCAUCACACAAUCUCAGAUUCAUCUAUUCAACCAACACAAAGUACUUCAAAGAGUGCCCCAAAGUUUCUACCGGAGAUUCAAGACGAAAACGUGUGCCAACCCCUAUGCAUAGGUUCAUGGGCGGAACCCGCAAGUUGAUCACCAAAACACACAUCAAGUGGAUCACGUGAUAUCCCAUUGUCACCACAGAUAAGCACGACAAGACAUACAUCAAGUGUUCUCAAAUCCGAUAAGAUAACUUCAAAGGGAAAACUCAAUCCAUUACAAGAGAGUAGAUGGGGAGAAACAUCGUAAGAUCCAACUAUAAUUGCAAAGCUCGUGAUACAUCAAGAUCAUAUCACCUCAAGAACACGAGAGAGAGAGAGAGAGAGAGAGAUCAAACAUAUAGCUACUGGUACAUACCCUCAGCCCCGAGGGUGAACUACUCCCUCCUCGUCAUGGAGAGCGCUGGGAUGUCGGUGGGAAAUGACACCUAUGGGAUCACUGGAAUCCCUACUACGGUUGCGGGACGUGGGGAUCGUGAGAAGAGCGGGACUAACAGACGACACAAAGGGGAUUUAACAGGUUCGGGCCGCAAAGAUGCGUAAAACCCUAAGAUCCUGCUUUGGUGGAUGUAUUUAGUGUUCUUGAGCUCUUGAACUAGCUCUGGGUGCUGGUAGGUUUGAAAGAGCCGAAUCCUUCUCCAGUGCGCCAUGGGCCCCCUUUUAUAGGUGAAAGCGGCUGCCAGAGUGGCACACAGGAGGUGGAAAGUGCUACAGCGCUGUGAGCUUAUCGCUGGUAUUACAUGACAAAGUGCAUUUAAUGCGAGGCUUAGGUGUCCGUUCACUUUAUCUGGGACGGGGGCGAGGCCCAUCCCGUCCGUCGCCGUUCCUCCUUGCUUCGACACGCGCCCUGUCCAGCGAUGCAUGCGGUGCCAUGUAGGCAGGCAGGCAGCUGAGGUGGCGCGGUGGUGGAGCCUCCAUGAAGGGCUGCAUGUUGCCACGCACGUGCCUACCCAGCUGGUUGGGUCGGCAGCUGCAUGUGAACGGUGGCGGAGACUUGGCUGGCGUGGGCCUGGCAGUGGCCCUACUGGCGUGCUUGGCGAGGGUUUUGUCGGGCGGCCCGGCAAGGGUCUUGCCGUGGUGCGCUGGCGUCCCCGGCAAGGAUCUUGCUGGGGGUCUUGUGGGUUUCUUCGGUGAUGAUGGUUGCCUCCCCAUCCUCAUUUGAUCUUGACUAUUCUUUGUCUUCACAAAGAUCUGCAUGCCACCAUGGAGCUGCCUCCCGAGCCUUGUCCCAAUGCGCCUGUUUAGCGUUGGUGGGCUCAAAGGUGGCUCACUCAGUUGGUGUGGGCAAGCUGCCCCGGAAAGGGUCUUGCCGGGGCUGCUGAGGCUGCCCAGACAAGGGUCCUUGCCAGGAAACCUGCUUCGUCCAUCCGAUCUUUGUGGCCUUGGUCCUUGUCGUUGCUUUGCUUGUCUUGUGCCUUCGACUUCUCUCUAGCAUCCCUUCCCUGUUAUGUGUGGCCGUGGCGGGUGGCUCUGACUACCCGUGCACAAGUAAAGGGGUCAAAAGCAGAGCCCCUACUUUUGUACACUGACAGGAGCCCCCGGGAUUGGGCCAUACAUAAGCGCAGUACGUUGUUGGGCCAGGCCCAGAACGGUGCGCGGGCAGUUGGGGCAGAUUUUUACCGUGGUAACUGCUCCGUCUGCUGCGCUUCCCCACGACCCGUGUUGAACGCGUGACGUGGGGGUUGUGCGCACGCAUGAUGGAAGCAUGCUGGCGUCAUCCCGUGGCAGACAGUAAAGAGGCAGCUUGCAUGUCUCUUUGAGACCGCAGGGCCGCUGCUCAUUUACUGCCCUCACUUGGGAACCGUCACUCCAUGCGUCCCACUGCGCCUAUCCCUCGCGCCAUGUUCGCUGCAUGCAUGACACAGGGUGAAUGAUAGGCGCGCGGGAUGUGAGAAGUCGUGCACGUGCGUGGGUCGAUUCCCACGCGGCUUCAAUGCAGCGGGGUGGGCGGUCGACGGCCCUGCUUGCUGUCACUUCAACGGGCCGGAUUGGCCGAGAGGGGGUGACCGAGCCUUGCCCAUGCCCCUUUAUAAAGAGGGGAGCGGGAGGAACGAUGCCUCUCAACCCUUCGCCAUCUACCUCUCCCCAUUCCUGCUUUCUCCUUUCUUCUGCCAUGGCGAGGGGGCGUGGCGACGCUUCAUCGGUGGCGGCGAGGGUUUCGGCCAGACAGCGCAUCGCUCCUCCCCAAGAGCUCAUUGUCGGAUUUCAGGUUCCGGCAGACCCUUGAGGUUCGAACACUGGGGUGCGCACGAAGACCUUUCCCCUACCAGCUCACGCGUCGAAGUCUCGCAACGAUCUAGGCUUGAAAGAAGAACACACAAGGGACGCGAGAUUUAUACUGGUUCACGCCACCAUUGUGGUGUAAUACCCUACUCCGGUGUGUGGUGUGGUGGAUUGCCUCAGGGGCUGAUGAUGAAUAGUACAAAGGGAGAACAGCCUCGCGAGGGGCUGAUCUUGAGCUGGUGUGAUGAACUGCUAGGGUGAGUUCAGUCGCCUCUCUCUAGUCGCGUCUUCUUGAGAUAGAUGCUCGAUGCGAUUCCUAGAUGCCUCUACCCUGUGGGUGGCUAGUCCUAUUUAUAGAUGGAGGCCCUGGGCCUCUUCCCAAAUAAUGAGCGAGAAGGGCGCCAACACUUGGCCAUUUUGAAGGGGAACAUCUAGUACACUUAUCCUCACUAAAGUUGUGUCAGGACCCCGACUCAAUGCCACAUUGAUCUAGCAUGUAACACCUCAUAUCACUUUGCGGCCUCACGCACGGUAUCCCCACGGCUGUCGCCUUACCUUUGCCCGGGACCGUUUGUGCCUUUUGGCACACGUAUAUGAUAGUGUCGCUAGCAUCCAUAUGAUAAGGAGCCUGGGCUGACAUGGCUAGUCGUAGACCCAAAGUGGCACAAACUUACAAGGACAGGCAUCCAUGACCUAGCAUCGAACGUGUCGGUCAUCAGCGAGUGGAUCCAGGCUGUAGCACUGGGCUAGCAGGACUCCGGUGAACCGGGCUGUAGCGGGCUAACAGGACUCCGGUAUUCAUCGCGUGACAUUUCCCGGAAGGGACAGACACAGGAACGAAGAAGGACACAUGCCGGCCAGCCUAAGUGUUCCGGAGCAGUAGCAAGCUACCAUGGCUUAGUGGAAGCACUAGGAGACAUUUCCCGGUAAGAGAGGCUACUAAGGAUAAACAACUAGCCAGUCAGAUCCCACACAUACCAAGCAUUUCAAUAACAUACACACAAUAUGCUCAAUAUGUGCAAAUACAACAUGGCAUCACAACAUGACUCUACAACUCAAGUAUUUAUUCAAUAGGCUCCAAGGAGCGAGAUAUUACAAACAUGGGUCUCAUGACCCAACAUUCAGAGCAUACAAGUCAAAGCACAAGCAGAAGCUUAACAUGUCUGAGUACAGACAACUACAAAUGAAAAAGGCUGAGAAGCCUGACUAUCUACCAGAUCCCACCGAGGGCACAAGAUCGUAGCUGAGGUAACAAGCUAAACGUUGAAGUCCACGCGGAACUACUAGCGAGACUGAAGUCUCCCUGCAAAUACGUAAAAUAGGCAAACGUGAGUACAAAUGUACCCAGCAAGACUUACAUCAGAACUAACUACAUAUGCAUCAUUAUCAACAAAGGGGGUGGUGGAGUUUAACUGCAGCAAGCCAGCUUUGACUCGGUGGCUAACCUGAACUACGACUGCAAGUAACUCUUUUGAGGUGGCGCACACGAGUCCACAUAUUCAGCAUAUCAAUACACCACUAUGUAUCCGCUCCCGUCUCCCUACGAGAACGCCAUCCAUAGCACUCACACUUAUCUUGCGCAUUUUAGAGUAUCCACUUUCACUUGUCUAUGAACUGUACAGGCAACCCAGAAGUCCUUUACUGCGGACACAGCUAUUCGAAUAGAUCAUAUUAACCCUGCAGGGGUGUACUUCUUCACACAUGCUCUCGCCACUUACCGCCAUGUACACGUCAUGUGUCUCGGCAACCUUCAAGCGGAAGCCUGGCGAGGGUGUCGUCCACGACCUGACUAACCACACAAGUCUCUAGUCCAGGUUUAUCGCCUAUUCGGGUUCCAUCCGCAAGGAGAUCCGGCCGGGGUGUCGCUCACGGCCCCAAACGAUGUGAGCAGGGUUCCCAAGCCCACCUCGACGGGUGGAUCUACGCUUGGUACACCGUGCCAUGGUGCCUAGUCUGUCCCAAGCCCACCUAUACCGGGUACCACUUGGUAGACUACUAACACUACCUACAAGCACCAGAAACUAGUUGCGACUCCUGGACAGGGAUCAAGUUGGUUAAUAAGUCGAGAGAGUCAAUUAAGGAUCCCAAUGUGUGGUAGUAGCUGUUCAUGGAUCACAAACACAGAACUCAGUUCCUGAGGACGGUUUCAAUGAGACAACCCACCAUGUACUCCUACAUGGCCUCUCACCGCUACCUUUACCAAAUCGUGUUCACACACUUAGCUCACACAUAGUAAGACAUGUUCACACACCUCUGAUUCAUCCCCGAUGAAUCAGACCUGACUCAACUCUAAGCAGUAGCAGGCAUGACAAACAGGCAUGAAUGAGUAGGCACAACAGGGCUCAAGCAACUCCUACUCAUGCUAGUGGGUUUAAUCUAUUUACUGUGGCAAUGACACGUCAUGCAGAGGAUAAAGGGGUUCAGCUACCGCAGCAAGUAACAGAUGAAUCGUUGUUGUCCUAAUGCAGUAAAAGAGAGCAGGAGCAAGAGAGUAGGAUUGUAUCGGAAUGAACAAGGGGGUUUUGCUUGCCUGGCACUUCUGAAGAUAAUAUAGAUCUUCAUUGGUGUCAUCGAACUCAUCGUCGGAACCACGUCUAUCGAGAGGGGACAAAUACUGGCAACACAGAAGGGAACACAAUCAAUGCAAUGCACAAUAUGAUGCAUGAUCAUGACAUGGCAAAAUGAGUGUGUUGGGCUAAUGCACCUAUAAUAAGAUGGGUUUGAGUUAGUUUGAACCCAAAGUUUAAGUUCAAAUUGAAACUAUGACUUAAUAAAGUGCAUUAUCAUGUUUUGAUAUAAAUAGCAGGUUUAAGUUGCUUAAACAUGCAUGAAAACCAGUGCAGAUGGAUAGAUUGGAUUUGUCUGAUCAUUUUUCAUAUAUAACUUAUUUCAUUUGGAGUUACAGAUUAAUUUCUAUGAAUUUUAGAAGUUUAGGCAAUUUUAUGGAUUUGCUGAAUAAAAAUAAAUACAGAAAAAGAUUAACUACGUCAGCAUGACGUCGGGGUGACGUCAUCAGGUCAAAGGCGCCAGGCAAGGUUAAACCUGAUGGCUGGGGCCCACAUGUCAGUGUAACAGCUAACUAACAGGGUUAGUUAGUGUUACGUUAGCACUAACCUAGGUUAAUUAGGGCCUGGGCCAACUGGUUAGUGACUAAACUAACUGUCAGGGUUAAUUAGCACUAAUCUAAGUCUAACUAAAGGUUAACGGAGACGGGCCCGCACAUCAGUGACCCUGGGGGGUCAAACCCCAGGUCAAACGAGUCAAACCCCGCCGGUCAAAGCGGUCAACACGCUGGCGUUUAGCCACCGGCGAGGCCAGAUGCGGCGGCGGGCUUCGGAUUUGUCCUCCGUCGACCAAAUCGACGGCGGAGAUGCGCUACACGUAGCUGGGGAGCUACCGCAUCCACUGGUGCGAGUGCUUGGACACGGGGACGCCGGAAACGACGCCGGCGAGCUCGACAACGGCGGCCAGAGUUCGGCUGUGCACGGGGCCGCGGCUGCAGCGAGCAAACCCGCGGACUAUAGCGCGGGCGAGGCACUAUGCGGUGCGGCGGACGUGAUUGGCACAUUGACGCGACCAAAUGGUCACUGGAGCAACGCCGGCGACAAGCUCUUGCGGCGGAGCAUCUCGGCUCCGGUGGAGGAGGCGGUUAGAGGGCUCAAACGACACAAAGAAGAGGAUGAGACGGCGUGGAAGCUCACGGCGGUUCGGGCGAGGCGGUCGGCGAGCUCGGGGAGGGGCUAGUGAUGAUGGGAGGUCGCCGGCGAUCUCGGUGGCCAGAGGGAGAAGAAGGCGAUGCAGGCGGCGAUGCAGGGCGGACGAGCUCGCGUGACUCGUCGAGGAGGAAGAGGUGGUCGUGGGAGAUCUUCUGGAGGCGGAGAGAGGUUCAGGGGGAGGCGGUGGCUACGGUGAACGGCGUUGGUGGCGAUGAGCCCCGCUCGGUGGGGAAGAGAGAGGGAUCCAGGGGGAAGUGAGGGUGAGGGAGAGAGCGAGGAGGGUCCAGGAGGGUGUGUGGCAUCCUCAGGGCGACGGGGAGACACACAGAGAGGCAGGAGGUGGCCUGGGCGCGUGGGCGCGCGCGUCGGCCACACGCGUAUUCGUCCUCCUGGCAGGGGAGGAAGACGACAGGGAGGAGAGGGAUGGGCUGGGCCAGCACAGGUGAGGCCCAGGUGGGCUUGGUGGGCGCCAGGUAAGUGCCCAGGUGAGUCUCUCUCUCUCUCUUAUUUUAGUUUUUCUAUUUCUGUUAUUUUGUUUUGGUUUAGUUUGGAAACUAAACCAUUUUAAAAUUUUAUGUAAAUUUUUAUGUGAGCUCAGAGAGAUAGUCCAAGGUCACAUGCAAACUUACAAAAUAUUUGAACAUUAUUUCUUAUAUAGCAGAAAUAAUUCCAACCCAAAUAUAUUAUUGAUUUAAAUCAAAGACCCAAAAUAAAUUAUUUCUGUGACUCUGAAAAUAUUGGUUUGAAUUUUACCUCACACCAAUAUUUUCAUAGAAUAACAGGAACAUUUUCUUGGACUCAUUUGAUGAGAUUUAACUGUUGGUUAUUUUUAGAGGUUUUCUGAGGCUUUUGAAAAUUCCUCAAUUCAAGUUUCAUUUGAAUUUAAACAUGAUGCUCACAUGGAAGGGCUAGCCUAGUGCAUACCAGAACUAGGUAUGUGACAGCUCACCCCUACUAAACAAGAAUCUCGUCCCGAGAUUCAAGCGUAGGGUAAGAUGAAGGGGGAUCGCAAACUAACAUAAUCUUCACAAUCCAGGUGGCACUUCAAAGAACGUUGACUCGAUUACCAUCAUUGUCUCGAUGUCUUGCCCCGAGAACUCCAACUAACAUGACAAUGAAAGGGAAAGGAAAACUCUAGAGGGAUCGAUCUUAUUAAAGGUCGAACAACUUAGGAUCAACUCAGGGAAUGAGACAUAGCAACAUCUCUCAAGCCGAGACACAAAGCACACAUCUAGAGGGAUGGAGUGGAACAGGUGACGAGGAUUCACUAGAUAGACAACAAUUCCACACUUAAGAAGAUGGUAACCAAUUGUCAGUGUAGCAAGGAGUUGAGUUGCCAUGAUACCAUAACGGGGCACCUUAGGGAAGGUGACUUGCAGAAUUAUCCCUUAAGUGGCAAAAAGAAUUACCUUUGAUUCAAUGAUCAUUGAAACUCUUUAUACCAGCUUAAGGCAAACCACAAUCGAUCAUUUGGAGGAGUUCGGUAGAAUGACAUGCUCGGACUAGUAUGGAUGAUGUGGAUUACCUUGUUGAAGACAACACAAGGGGUGAUUUUGCUUGCGCGUGCUCUCAAGAACUUCAGCAUUUCCAUAUUGAUCAAGGUUUUACCAAUAUCCGUGUCAAGGAUCCUGGGAACACAACGUACUACCAUGAUGAAUACCGGUGGAGGAUGCAGAUGCAAAGGAAAGAUAACACUUUCUCAGAUUUCACCUUAGCGAGGCCAUGGAAACAAAAUCUGGAUGAUUGACCGAGAGACAUUUAGCACUCCACUUCUAAUGUUCUCCUUGAUGUGAUAGCAUAAUCCAUUCAUAAAUAUGGUUUGACAUCUAGAACAUAAAGUAAAAGGUCGGACUUUGGGAACACAAGAGUCCAUAAGGAAUAACUACUGAAGUAAACCCUAUGAGAUCCUUAUGGGGAGGUGGCCAACUUCCUCAAUCAAGAUACUACAAUAACAGGUCUUCCGGCUAGGUGUGUUGGCCACAACAUCCACUUUACAGGUUUAGAGAGACCAAUAUUAUAGUUCUUGGAAAAUGCUCCAACCAUUAUAUCUGCCUGAGGUUCAGAUCUGGUUGGCGUCAGGAUAUUCUAGACUCAUCAAGUCUAGGAAGGAAAAUGAAAGUCUGCAACACAAAUCGACGAGACGAUGUUGCGAGAUUCUCGGGGAAUGAACUGCGACAGCAAGCUCCAAAACAUGAGCUGGUUCUGCUACAACAUGUGAACACGUUGUCCGAGACAAGCAUGACCACAUAGUAGUCCUAUAAUAAAACACUACCGAGUUCAGGUUGGGAACCAUCAUCGAGGAUUUCGAAGUCUUUACGCAAGUCCAUGGAUUAGAUCCCAAGCAUAGACUUCUUUUCCUUGAACAAGUCAAUCGGUGGCUUGGUGUGCUAGGGAAUACAUAUGGAGUGGAGGUAAUUAAUCUACCAAACCAUAGAAUACAUUCACACAUGCAUAAUUGAUUUGGGAUGGUACCAGAGGAAACAAAAACAAUCUUUCUCGAACUCACGGCGGCAACUUGCACCAAAUGCACAUGAAUUCGAGGAAGUCACUUCUUCCAUCCAAGCAUAAGCUUCAUGAACGAAACACGAAGGCGUUGCUUUCAAAGUUUCCAACACUAGCCUGAUGUUCAACACGAAUCAUGGUGGAGACAAAAUGCCGCUGAUGGGCUCAACAAGAACUCAUCGGAAUUUCCAUAUCACUGGACUUCCACCAUUAUGUGAACAAUGUGAUAGUAUUGGUCAGACCCAAAGAUGUAAUGGUGUAUGCUCAAGGAAUCAACCACGAGUAAGACAACAUUAUGAAUAUCGUUGGUUCUAACUUGAUUUGAUGAUAGCCCAUACUCAAAUCAAAGAUGGGGUAAGACAAUAGGUCCAACAACUGAUCACAAGGACCAAUUGAUGAAGAUAUCAUCUUUCUUCAACACACACACACACACAAAAAGAUAUCCCUUAACAUGAUCUAGAUCAGACAAGCUUUUAUCUUCCAACUCUCCAAGUUGUUGUUUAGCUUGACCAACUAGCUCAGAGGUAUCCCACACAGAUUCUUGGAGAAGGGGUGGUUUACAAGAAACCAUCUUGAUCUCGAACUCAACAUAGCGGUCAGGUGACGAUCUGGUGAUACUUCUGAGAAGAUAUUUGGAAAAUCAUGAACCACCGAUAUGUUACUAAGCUCGAGAACAAUCUUGCUUUUCAGGGCAAGACGAUAUGAUCAACAGAGCGAGGGAUUGAUGCAAUCCUAACUCAUUGAUCAGAGGGUGCACCGGAAAUAAGGACUAGGUAGCACGAUCAAUCUUAGAAUGAUGAUUCCAUAACCAACACACUAAGAAUGAGAUUUCCUUCCAUUAACCACUAAGCAACAUGGUUGCUAGGGGUAUUGAUUUCACACAUCAUAGUUCACAUGUCGGCAUUCCGGUUGCAACAACACGGGAGACGAGAAAUCAAUAAUGAGAGUGAGAAGUAUCACUAUAUCAAGAGUUCAUAGGAUGGUGUGCAAUUCCCAUGACAUUCCUGAUGUAAAUAUGGUAAUACUUCAAGGUAGAAUAGACCAGAAGCUGGAUUGUAUUUUGAUCUGCGAGGUACAACUACUUUGACCCAAUGCUGGAUGUGGAUGAGGUACUGGAGUUUGUUUCUCCUAGUCAUUCCGGGAUAGAAUGGCUUGACGGACCACAACAUUAAUAGGCAUCGAUGAAUGAAUGCAUGCAUACUCUUGACUAUCAACUGAUAGACAAAGGUCAGAAUACAACUAAAGAGAGGGACAACUCAAAGGAACAUAUAUCUUUCUGAGUUGUGGAUGCAUAGAUUAGUAUGUCAAGCCAAGUUCAACAUAUUUCUUCCGAACAAUCCAUGCAGAGAGGUAGGACUGGCAGAGUCACAACAUAGAAUGGAGAACUCAUCAAGAGCCCUCUAGUUGUGAUCUUUUGGUUCAAAAGAACUCCUGCCAAGAAUGGUUCAUGGUAUUUGGAAGAACGAUAUACCACGGACCUCGAGGACUAUCGCAAAGGUUACUAAUAUCCUAAAGGAACUAGCAACACUAUCAACACGAGGUAAGUAGGGUGAAUCUCGGGUUCAAAACCCAAGGAGUAGAAUACCUACUACUAAAUGGCAUCACGGGAUGCUUUCGAGAAUGAUGGCCAUAAUCAUCACACUAGAACACGGAACAUGGCUAGAUUACUAGGUGAUACUCUAGACACCUAAGGUCAUAAUAAUAGCUCCAACAUAAAUGCCGAGGCAAUAGAGUACCUCAACUUAGCAAUUAGUGUGAUUAACCUGGCCUAAAAGGACAUCAAAACCAGAGGGAAAGGAUUUUGCAAAUGCAUCAGACUCUUUAGAAACCUGGGAUGACUCGGACAGCAUAACGGCUGUAAAUGCUCAAAAGAAUUUAGACAUGCUACAAAAAUGGUGGCAUCGCCACUCAGAAACACAAUAUCAAGGUUUCGAGAUCAACAAUUAACAUACGGAAGUAGUAGGAACUUAACUGAGGCUUGAAACCAACAAUCCUAUAAGUCUACGGAUUAGUAACACGUGAUCCUGAUAGAAAGAAGAGAAGGCCUAGUUCUUAACCCCGUAGAGAAGAAGAGGGACAUAAGGUAAAGGAGUAAAAAGAGCCUUACGUUCCAUACCACAAUCAAUUCCCUUAUACAACUAAAGAAUUUCUAGACUCAACUUCGACCAGUUUGGCUUGGUAAUCCUACAGGCAGUCAAGCUCUGAUACCAAAGCUGUCAGGACCCCGACUCAAUGCCACAUUGAUCUAGCAUGUAACACCUCAUAUCACUUUGCGGCCUCACGCUCGGUAUCCCCACGGGUGUCGCCUUAACGUUGCCCGGGACCGUUUGCGCCUUUUGGCACAUGUAUAUGAUAGUGUCGCUACCAUCCAUAUAAUAAGGAGCCCGGGCUGACAUGGCUAGUCAUAAACCCAAAGUGGCACAAACUUACAGGGACAGGCAUCCAUGACCCAACAUCGAACGUGUCGGUCAUCAGCGAGUGGAUCCAGGCUGUAGCACUGGGCUAGCAGGACUCCGGUGAACCGGGCUGUAGCGGGCUAACAGGACUCCGGUAUUCAUCGCGUGACAUUUCCCGGAAGGGAUAGACACAGGAACGAAGAAGGACACAUGCCGGCCAGCCUAAGUGUUCCGAAGCAGUAGCAAGCUACCAUGGCUCAGUGGAAGCACUAGGAGACAUUUCCCGGUAAGAGCGGCUACUAAGGAUAAACAACUAGAUAGUCAGAUCCCACACAUACCAAGCAUUUCAAUAACAUACACACAAUAUGCUCAAUAUGUGCAAAUACAACAUGGCAUCACAACAUGACUCUACAACUCAAGUAUUUAUUCAAUAGGCUCCGAGGAACGAGAUAUUACAAACAUGGGUCUCAUGACCCAACAUUCAGAGCAUACAAGUCAAAGCACAAGCAGAAGCUUAACAUGUCUGAGUACAGACAACUACAGAUGAAAAAGGCUGAGAAGCCUGACUAUCUACCAGAUCCCGCCGAGGGCACAAGAUCGUAGCUGAGGUAACAAGCUAAAUGUCGAAGUCCACGCAGAACUACUAGCGAGACUGAAGUCUCUGUACAAAAACGUAAAAUAGGCAAAGUGAGUACAAAUGUACCCAUCAAGACUUACAUCAGAACUAACUACAUAUGCAUCAUUAUCAACAAAGGGGGUGGUGGAGUUUAACUGCAGCAAGCCAGCUUUGACUCGGUGGCUAACCUGAACUACGACUGCAAGUAACUCUUUUGAGGUGGCGCACACGAGUCCACAUAUUCAGCAUAUCAAUACACCACUAUGGAUCCGCUCCCGUCUCCCUACGAGAACGCCAUCCAUAGCACUCACACUUAUCUUUCGCAUUUUAGUGUAUCCACUUUCACUUGUCUAUGAACUGUACAGGCAACCCAGAAGUCCUUUACCGCGGACAUGGCUAUUCGAAUAGAUCAUAUUAACCCUGUAGGGGUGUACUUCUUCACACACGCUCUCGCCAUUUACCGCCAUGUACACGUCAUGUAUCUCGACAACCUUCAAGCGGAAGCCUGGCGAGGGUGUCAGCCACGACCUGACUAACCACACAAGUCUCUAGUCCAGGUUUAUCGCCUAUUCGGGUUCCAUCCGCAAGGAGAUCCGGCCGGGGUGUCGCUCACGGCCCCAAACGAUGUGAGCAGGGUUCCCAAGCCCACCUCGACGGGUGGAUCUACGCUUGGUACACCGUGCCACGAUGCCUAGUCUGUCCCAAGCCCACCUGUACCGGGUACCACUUGGUAGACUACUAACACUACCUACCAACACCAGAAACUAGUUGCGACUCCUGGACAGAGAUCAAGUUGGUUAAUAAGUCGAGAGAGUCAAUUAAGGAUCCCAAUGUGUGGUAGUAGUUGUUCAUGGAUCACAAACACAGAACUCAGUUCCUGAGGACGGUUUCAAUGAGACAACCCACCAUGUACUCCUACAUGACCUCUCACCGCUACCUUCACCAAAUCGUGUUCACACACUUAGCUCACACAUAGUAGGACAUGUUCACACACCUCUGAUUCAUCCCUGAUGAAUCAGACCUGACUCAACUCUAAGCAGUAGCAGGCAUGACAAACAAGCACGAAUGAGUAGGCACAACAGGGCUCAAACAACUCCUACUCAUGCUAGUGGGUUUUAUCUAUUUACUGUGGCAAUGACAGGUCAUGCAGAGGAUAAAGGGGUUCAGCUACCGCAGCAAGUAACAGAUGAAUCGUUGUUGUCCUAAUGCAGUAAAAGGGAGCAGGAGCGAGAGAGUAGGAUUGUAUCGGAAUGAACAAGGGGGUUUUGCUUGCCUGGCACUUCUGAAGAUAAUAUAGAUCUUCAUUGGUGUCAUCGAACUCAUCGUCGGAACCACGUCUAUCGAGAGGGGCUCAAAUACCGGCAACACAGAAGGGAACACAAUCAAUGCAAUGCACAAUAUGAUGCAUGAUCAUGACAUGGCAAAAUGAGUGUGUUGGGCUAAUGCAACUAUAAUCAGAUGGGUUUGAGUUAGUUUGAACCCAAAGUUUAAGUUCAAAUUGAAACUAUGACUUAAUAAAGUGCAUUAUCAUGUUUUGAUAUAAAAAGCAGGUUUAAGUUGCUCAAACAUGCAUGAAACCAGUGCAGAUGGAUAGAUUGGAUUUUUCCGAUCAUUUUUCAUAUAUAACUUAUUUCAUUUGGAGUUACAGAUUAAUUUCUAUGAAUUUUGGAAGUUUAGGCAAUUUUCUGGAUUUGCUGAAUAAAAAUAAAUACAGAAAAAGAUUAACUACGUCAGCAUGACGUCGGGGUGACGUCAUCAGGUCAAAGGCGCCAGCCAAGGUUAAACCUGACGGCUGGGGCCCACAUGUCAGUGUAACAGCUAACUAACAUGGUUAGUUAGUGUUACGUUAGCACUAACCUAGGUUAAUUAGGGCCUGGGCCCACUGGUUAGUGACUAAACUAACUGUCAGGGUUAAUUAGCACUAAUCUAAAUCUAACUAAAGGUUAACAGAGACGGGCCCGCACGUCAGUGACCGUGGGGGGUCAAACGAGUCAAACCCCGCCGGUCAAAGUGGUCAACACGCCGGUGUUUAGCCGCCAGCGAGGCCAGAUGCGGCGGUGGGCUUCGGAUUUGGUCCUCCGUCGACCAAAUCGACGGCGGAGAUGCGCUACGCGUAGCUGGGGAGCUACCGCAUCCACUGGUGCGAGUGCUUGGACACGGGGACGCCGAAAACGACACCGGCGAGCUCGACAGCGGCGGCCGGAGUUCGGCUGUGCACGGGGCCGCGGCUGCGGCGAGCAAACGCGCGGACUAAAGCGCGGGCGAGGCACUACGCAGUGUGGCGGACGUGAUUGGCACAUUGACACGACCAAAUGGUCACCAGAGCAACGCCGGCGACAAGCUCUUGUGGCGGAGCAUCUCGGCUCUGGUGGAGGAGGCGGUUACAGGGCGCAAACGACGCAAAGAAGAGGGGGAGACGGCGUAGAAGCUCAUGGCGGUUCGGGCGAGGCGGUCGGCGAGCUCGGGGAGGGGCUGGUGAUGACGGGAGGUCGCCGGCGAUCUCGGUGGCCGGAGGGAGAAGAAGGCGACGCAGGCAGCGAUGCAGGGCGGACGAGCUCGCGUGACUCGUCGAGGAGGAAGAGGUGAUCGUGGGAGAUCUUCUGGAGGCGGAGAGAGGUUCAGGGGGAGGCGGUGGCUACGGUGAACGGCGUCGGUGGCGACGAGCCCCGCUCGAUGGGGAAGAGAGAGGGAUCCAGGGGGAAGUGAGGGUGAGGGAGAGAGCGAGGAGGGUCCAGGAGGGUGCGUGGCAUCCUCAGGGCGACGGGGAGACAGGCAGAGAGGCAGGAGGUGGCCUGGGCGCGUGGGCGCGCGCAUCGGCCACACGCGCAUUCGUCCUCCUGGCAGGGGAGGAAGACGACAGGGAGGAGAGGGAUGGGCUGGGCCAGCACAGGUGAGGCCCAGGUGGGCUUGGUGGGCGCCAGGUAAGUGCCCAAGUGAGUCUCUCUCUCUCUUAUUUUAGUUUUUCUAUUUCUGUUAUUUUGGUUUGGUUGAGUUUGGAAACUAAACCAUUUUAAAACUUUAUGUAAAUUUUUAUGUGAGCUCAGAGAGCUAGUCCAAGGUCACAUGCAAACUUACAAAAUAUUUGAACAUUAUUUCUUAUAUAGCAGAAAUAAUUCCAACCCAAAUAUAUUAUUGAUUUAAAUCAAAGACCCAAAAUAAAUUAUUUCCGUGACUAUGAAAAUAUUGGUUUGAAUUUUACCUCACGCCAAUAUUUUCACAGAAUAACAGGAACAUUUUCUUGGACUCAUUUGAUGAGAUUUAAAUGUUGGUUAUUUUUAGAGGUUUUCUGAGGCUUUUGAAAAUUCCUCAAUUCAAGUUUCAUUUGAAUUUAAACAUGAUGCUCACAUGGAAGGGCUAGCCUAGUGCGUACCAGAACUAGGGAUGUGACAAGUUGGUCUUCGGCUGCCAAAGGCUCUGACGAUGACGGUGUCCUGGGCUCCACUGACCUCCAUCCUGCUGUUCUACUGGUCUGGGUCUUGUUGCACCGAAAUGGUAACCUUUGCCUGAUGCCUCGGUCUGUGCUUGCCCCCUUUGCACCGAAAGGGAAACAAGGACACUAUGCAGGACGGCGCCCGCCUAGUCUCGAUCGUCGUGGCUUGCGUCACGGGCUCCUUGGGAGGUACCCUGCCUUGAUCUCCCCGCCUCCUCGCGAGCCUGCCGGAGGAGGCUGCUCCUGAGGAAGCUUCCUGUCGUCCGCCCCGUGAGGCUUGGCCCCUUGCAAGGGUCUUGAGCUUGAGCUGAUAAAGGUGGGUUGUGCUGGGCCCCCAUUUGAGCCAUGCCGCAGGCCACAGGCAGGCAAGUCUGGGGACCCCCGUUCCCAGAACGCCGACAGUAGCCCCUGGGCCCAAGGCGCACCCGAAUUUGGCUUAGUAGAGAAGCAAAGGGGCAAGUGCGAAGCGCCACGGGCCCCAACAGCCUGCGGCCUUGGGCGCUGCGUGGCGAUUGAUUGGACGUGGGCGUCUCCGCUUCCCCACGACGCCUCGGCAACCGCCCUUCGGACAAAAAGAGGUGCCCGGGCCAGACUUACCUGCUCUGUUGUCGCCUGCCUUGCUCUAGAUCACCUUUCUCGCUCUUCUCCUUCCUGCUUCCGAAAUCCUCUAGAUCUGCCUCAAUCCUUCCCAUCUGGCAAGCCAUGGCGCCUCGCAAGACCCCGACCGAGGCCUGGUACUCGCCGGCUCUGGAUCCCCCGAAUGUGUCAGAGAAGAAUCUUGCCCUCAUGCGCCUGAGGACGGUGGCACAGGGCAACGCGGGAGCGACUGUGUUCAAGGCCGGCUCCGACCAUCCUGAAGGCAAGGGGAGCACCUUCUACCCGCUUUUUGUGAGCGCCAUCAUUGCUGGUCUGGUGCCCCCUUUUUCCGAGUUCUUCCUUGAUGUUCUUCGCGUGUACAACUUGCAAGCUCUGCACCUCCACCCCAACUCUGUUCUUCUCCUGGCGAUUUUCGCCUACUAUUGUGAGGCUCACGUUGGGGUAAAGCCCUGAGUGGCCUUGCUGCGCCAUUACUUUUACCUCUGGGUUUCUCGCGGUCCCAUCUCCGCAUGCGCGAGUUUUAUCGCAUACUCCGGCUCCAACGCCAUCUCGAAGCCCGGGAAGAGGAUCGAGGGCUUCCGGAGCAAGUGGGUCAUGGUGGGUGUCGGGCGCCUCCACCCCCGACUGGUGCUGCCCAUGGGGCAGCCCAAGGCCGUCGAUGCGUGUUCUCGAGCGGAGCUUGUUGACCUGCACGCGAGGGCGGUGUUGAAGAGGAUGGACGCGGACCUGAGGCCAAGCAACCUGGGGGCGGCAAAGCUGACCAGGGCCACGCUCCUGAGGGAGUUCCUGGAGCACCGGGUGGCUCCACUCCGGGAGCACUCGCUCCCAUUGUGGAGGCUUGGGGAAGCAGAUGUAACGCCCCGGAUUCGACGCCAGUUGUCUGCCAGUUAUUCGCCAUCUUUGCCAUGUCUUUUGCUUGCGUGUUGCACUUUGCCAUGUCAUCAUCUGCAUUUCAUAUCAUGUCAUCAUGUGCAUCUCAUGUUGCAUACAUGUUCGUCUCAUGCAUCCGAGCCUUUUCCCUGUUGUCCGUUUUGCAAUCCGGCGCUCCUAUGUCAUCCGGCGUCCCUUCUUCUCUCCUUUUGUGAGCGGGUGUUAAACUUUCUCGGAAUGGCCCAAGGUUUGCCAAGCGGCCUUGGUAUAGCACCGGUAGACCGCCUGUCAAGUUUCGUGCCAUUUGGAGGUCGUUUGAUACUCCGACGGUUAACCGGGUAACCAUAAAGCCCUCUUUGAGUUGCAGCCCAACACCCUUUCCAAAGUGGCCCAAAACCCAGCAAACUCCCCUCCAUGCUCUCGGUCGUUCGAUCUCGAUCGCGUGGCCGAAAACCACACCUCAUUUGGACUCUCCUAGCUCCCUCUACCUAUAAAUAUGUGCCCCUCCCCGAUUUUUCGCGCAGUCCAACCCUAGCGUCUUCCUCUUCGCGCCGCCGGACACGUCCGUCCGCGCCGGACGUGUCCGCCGGACACGUCGCUCCGACCAAUCCCGUGACGCCACGUCAGCCCGCCGCCGCCCUCGUCCAACCGGGCGCCGCCNNNNNNNNNNNNNNNNNNNNNNNNNNNNNNNNNNNNNNNNNNNNNNNNNNNNNNNNNNNNNNNNNNNNNNNNNNNNNNNNNNNNNNNNNNNNNNNNNNNNNNNNNNNNNNNNNNNNNNNNNNNNNNNNNNNNNNNNNNNNNNNNNNNNNNNNNNNNNNNNNNNNNNNNNNNNNNNNNNNNNNNNNNNNNNNNNNNNNNNNNNNNNNNNNNNNNNNNNNNNNNNNNNNNNNNNNNNNNNNNNNNNNNNNNNNNNNNNNNNNNNNNNNNNNNNNNNNNNNNNNNNNNNNNNNNNNNNNNNNNNNNNNNNNNNNNNNNNNNNNNNNNNNNNNNNNNNNNNNNNNNNNNNNNNNNNNNNNNNNNNNNNNNNNNNNNNNNNNNNNNNNNNNNNNNNNNNNNNNNNNNNNNNNNNNNNNNNNNNNNNNNNNNNNNNNNNNNNNNNNNNNNNNNNNNNNNNNNNNNNNNNNNNNNNNNNNNNNNNNNNNNNNNNNNNNNNNNNNNNNNNNNNNNNNNNNNNNNNNNNNNNNNNNNNNNNNNNNNNNNNNNNNNNNNNNNNNNNNNNNNNNNNNNNNNNNNNNNNNNNNNNNNNNNNNNNNNNNNNNNNNNNNNNNNNNNNNNAGCCCCUCCGGCGCGCCCCGCCCGUCGCCCCGGCCAGAUCCGGCCACGGGAGGGCCGGAUCCAGCCUCCUCCGCCCUCUCCCUCGACUCCGGCCGCUCUCCGGCGACGAACUCCGGCGAGAUCCCGGCGCCGUGGAUAUUUUCCCCGAGGUCCAAAUCCACUAAGUCCCCGUUUCCUGACAUUUUCAUGCCAUGUUCAUCGCAUCACAUCUCUGCAUCCGUAGCUCCGUUUCGUGCGUACAAUAUGUCAAAUUGUUCGCCUCGAUGAGUACUUCAUUUCAUUCCAUUGCAUCAUUUUCAUUUGAGCUCAUCUUGAUGCCCGAUAUGCUGUUGGAAGAGUGCAUGUUAAUGUUAAUCUGCUGAAACUGUUAUAACUUGCUCAUUUGUCAUUUUUGCCAUGAUUGAUGUGUGCAUCCUAUGAGGUUGAUGUCUACAUGUGUUUUGAUCUAUGCCAUGCCAUCUUUCCAGGGGUGUAUGCCAUGUAUUUUUGUGAUCAAUGUGGUGACUAGCACAAGCAUGCAAACUAGGCUUCGUGAUAUUGCUGAUUUUAGUCCCUGUUCUGCUAUUAUUUUGAUGCCAUGUAAACUUGAUGCUACAGAGCGAUCCAUGCAUAUUUAUAGAUACUUCAGUAAGGGUGUUUUGAACAUACGGUUAUUGUCUAUCAAUUAAUGCCCUUUUUUGCAAUUAUGGAGUAGCCUAGCAUGUCAUUUUGGUGCUCUACGUUUGCUUCAAAAUGUUUCCUGGCAGAUUGUUUACAUGUUAUUCAAUAUGGCCAAGCUUGCUAUAGUUCAUCCUUGUAUGCUAUGGACUUGUUAUUUCCUUGGUUUGUUACACAAACAUGCCUUCUUGAUUAUGCUAUUCUUAUCUUGUCAUGCAAUGACUUGUGGUGAGUGAAUCGAGCUUGUUAAGUAGUGUACAUGAUGUUGCUGUUUUGCUAGACAGAUUCUGUAAUUUUGUGAUGCCAUGUUAACAUGUUGUUACUAAUCAUUCUAUGCAUAAUCUGGAGAUGUUCUAUAGAUAUGUUUUGAUCUACAUGUCAUGCUCUAUCCAUUCAUGCCCUUAGUUGCAAUUAUAGCCUGCUGGGACAUGUUUUAAUCUUGCUCUAAAGUUGCUUGAAAAUGUUGCUAUCAGCCUGUUAACAUUAAGUUCCAUGUUUCCAUGAUUGUUUGCUAGUGAUCCAUGCACCCUAUGACCUUGAUAUUGCCAUUCUUAGCUUCAUAAUCAUGUCUUCUUACUAUUGGUUGCCUUUCCAUGCCAUGUAUUGCUCUGUGGUGAGUGGUUCAAGCUCACGAACAUGCCUAGUUAUUGUUGUUCCUGCCAUGUAUGAAUCUGUAAUAUAACUUGCCAUGUUUACAUGGGUGCCAUCAUAUUUUCUGUGCCUUUUUGGCUCAUGGUCAGUAAGGGACUUUUGAUCUAUGCAAUUAGUAUAUUCAUGCCAUGGCUUUGUUUGCCAUGAUAUGUUCCUGUAAAAUGUUGUUUGAUAGCUCUAAACAUUGCAACCUGAUGUUAUUUCUGCCAAGUCUGAAACUGUUAUAAUUUGCAAUCUUCCCAUGUCUUUUCGAGCAUGUUCUAGAUGUUUCUGGAGAUAGCUCAGUGUUCAUGUUUUGUUAUGCUUUACCUGUACAUCAUGCCCAUGCCUUUUGUUAUUAUGUUGGGGUGCUGUAGCAUAUUGUUUUCGUGCUUGCAAUAUGCCUAGUUGCUGUUUUGGACAGAUUGUUGUUAUGACUUGUAUAGUGUGCAUGUGUUGAACCGUUGCUCCGUUUUGAGUGUGCUCUAUAUGAAACUUGCUUGAUUUUGCAUGUAGUUUCAUAUCAUCAUGUUGCAUCCUUGUUUUGAGGUGUUUUCUUGAUGUUUGGGUGCAUUUUGCAUCAAUGCCAUGUUUAACUUGUUUUGCUCAUAUCUUCUAGGCCGUAGCUCCGAAUCUUAUGAACUUUAUAUGUAACUUGACUAGAAUUUCAUGUAGAUCAUCUUGGUGCAUCUUAACUUGCUGUUUAACAACUUGAACAUAAGGUUUAUUCAGUUCUGGACCAAUUUCGAAAUUUGCAUAUGAGGACUUACCGGAAUUGUUAUAUGUUGUUUCCGGCCUCAUUUAAACUUGCCUUGAUGUGUUGUUCUUGUUUGCAUCAUCUCUUGCCAUGAGUAGGCUCAUCUAGCUUUCUCAUGCAUCAUGCAUGUUGUGCAUCAUGUCUUGUCUAUGUGUGGUGUGUUUACUAUGUUGUGUGCUUCUUCUUGUUAGUUCAUAUUUCGUUGCGAUCGUGAGGAUUCGUUCGUCUACGAUUGGUUCGGCUUCAUCCGUUCGUCUUCUUCAUGGACUCGUUCUUCUUCCUAGCGGGAUUUCAGGAAAGAUGACAGCUACCCUGGAUCUCACUACUAUCAUUGCUAUGCUAGUUGCUUCGUUCUAUCGCUAUGCUGCGCUACCUAUUACCUGUUUAUCAAGCCAUCCCAUAUUGCCAUGAACCUCUAACCUUUGACACCUUUCCUAUGCAAACCGUUGUUUGGCUAUGUUACCGCUUUUGCUCAGCCCCUCUUAUAGCGUUGGUAGUUGCAGGUGAAGUUGAAGAUUUCUCCAUGGUGGACAGGAUUUUGGUUGGGAUAUCACAAUAUCUCUUAUAUUAUUAAUGCAUCUAUAUAUUUGGUAAAGGGUGGAAGGCUCGGCCUUAUGCCUGGUGUUUUGUUCCACUCUUGCCGCCCUAGUUUCCGUCAUACCGGUGUUAUGUUCUCGGAUUUUGCGUUCCUAACGCGGUCGGCUAAUUUAUGGGACCCCCCUGAUAGUUCGCUUUGAAUAAAACUUGUCCAGCAAGGCCCAACCUUGGUUUUACCAUUUGCCUCACCACCACCUACUUUUUCCCUUGGGAGUCGCUCUCUCGAGGGUCAUCUUUAUUUUAGCCCCCCCGGGCCAGUGCUUGUCUAAGUGCUGGUUCGUACCGAGUAGACUGCGGGGCCCCCUCGGGGCAAGUCGAGGUCUGGUUUUACUCGUAGGAUGUCUCAUCCGGUGUUGCCCUGAGAACGAGAUAUGUGCAGCUCCUAUCGGGAUUGUCGGCGUAUCGGGCGGCUUUGCUGGUCUUGUUUUACCAUUGUCGAAAUGUCUUGUAAACCGGGAUUCCGAGACUGAUCGGGUCUUCCUGGGAGAAGGUCUAUUCCUUCAUUGAUCACGAGAGCUUGUCAUGGGCUAAGUUGGGACACCCCUGCAGGGUUUAAACUUUCGAGAGCCAUGCCCGCGGUUAUGUGGCAGAUGUGAAUUUGUUAAUGUCCGGUUGUAGAUAACUUGACACCAGAUCCGAAUUAAAAUGCAUCAAUCGCGUGUGUAGCCGUGAUGGUCUCUUCUCGGCGGAGUCCGGGAAGUGAACACGGUUUCCGGGUUAUGUUUGACGUAAGUAGGUGUUCAGGAUCACCUCUUGAUCAUUGCUAGCAUCACGACCAUUCCUUUGCCUCUCUUCUCGCUCUUAUUUGCGUAUGUUAGCCACCAUACUUUCUUAGUCGCUGCUGCAACCUCACCACUUUACCCCUUCCUUUCCCAUUAAGCUUUGCUAGUCUUGUUACCCACGGUAAUGGGAUUGCUGAGUCCUCGUGGCUCACAGAUUACUACACCAACAGUUGCAGGUACAGGUUAUGCGAUGAUCAUGACGUGAGAGCGAUGCUUGCUUAUUUGGAGUUCUUCUGUUUCUUCUUCGAUCAGGGGAUAGGUUCCAGGUCAGCAGACUGGGCUAGCAGGGUGGAUGUCGUUUGAGCUUCUGUUUGUGUUUCAUCCGUAGUCGGAUGUUGAUCUUAUGUGAUGUAUUUGUCACAUCCCUAGUUCUGGCCUGACCUAUGCUAGCUUCCAUGUGUGCAUCAUGUUUAAAUCAUAGUGGUUUAAAUUCAAAUGAAAUUUGAAUUGAGGAAUUUUCAAAAGCCUCAGAAAACCUCUAAAAAUAACCAACAUUUAAAUCCCAUCAAGUGAGUCCAAGAAAAUGUUCCUGCUAUUCCGUAAAAAUAUUGGCAUGAGGUAAAGUGCAAACCAAUAUUUUUGGAGUGACUGAAACAUUUAUUUUGGGCCUUUGAGUUAAUCCAAUAACUAUUUGCAUUGGAUAUAUAUAUUAUAUAUAAUUAAUACAUGUCCAAUAAUUCUGGAACAUUUUAUGUGGUUUGGUAUAUUUUAGUUCUAGCCACAUAAUUAUUUUCAGGAUUUUAUAAGAUGGUUUAGUAUUUUUACUAAACCAAAACAAAACAGAACAAAAUAGAAAACAAUAAAUAAAAGCAGAGAGAGAGAACUUACCUCAGCUUACCUGGCGCCUACCAAGCCCACCUGGGCCUCCCCUGGCCGGCCCAGCUGGCAGCCCAGCCACCAGCCCAGCCCACUAGCCUCCCCCCUGUCGUCUUCCACGCGACAGUAGGACGCAGGGCGUGUGGCCGCCGUGCGCGCACACGCGCCUCGUCCACCUCCUGCUUUCCGCUCCCCCUCGACGCCCUGGCCUUCUCUGGUGGUGCCACGCACCUCCCUGCCUCUCUCCCUCACACUCCUUCGCUCCUUCCCCUCCUCUGUUUCUCCCUCCCGCGAACAGCCGAGCGAGUUCGUCGCCGCCGUUCACCAUAGCCGCGGCCACCGCCUCCCCCUCGACCCCUCGCCGUGCCUGCGAGCUCCGUCUCGACGUCCCCGACCCCCUCGACGACCCACGAGGCCCCGGACGCGCUGCAACGCCGCCACCGAUGCUUUUCCACUCCUCGGCUGCCGGAGAUCGAUCUCGCCGCCCCGCUCAGCUCCGGCCUUCCCCGAGCUCGCCGUCUGCACCUUUGCAACCGCCGUAAGCCUCUCCCUCGAACCCCCCUCUCUGUUGUCCCAUUUUCACGCCGUAGCUCCUAGUUCACUGGCGGACGAGAGCAUCUCGCCGCCGGCCAUGGCAUAGCCGUCGCCACAGCCGCGCAAGCUCGCAACCGAGCGCGCCACCGUGCUCAGCAUGUUCUCAGGAGUCGACCGCGACCACCCGCGGCUCCUGCCGUUCCCUGCAUCGCCUAACCCGUCGUGCGCCGAACUCCAGCCGCCGCAAAGCUCGACGUCGCCGUCGUUUCGGACCACCCUAGCUGCUGCUUCUUACACUGUUUGAUGCGCGAGAUCUCCAGCUAUGCGUAGAGCUCCUCCGCCGCUCUUUUGGUCGCCGGAACAACGUUUCCGAAGCCCUCCGCCGUCUCCUCCGCCGGCGACGAGCCGAGGGUCAACUCCGGCGAGUUUGACCCGGGUUUGACCGCGCUUUGACCCGCUCUGGCUCACUGACGUGUGGGCCAGGCACUGUUCAUUUAGGUGUUAGAUUAGUUAUCACUAAUUAAUUUAGUUAAUUAAUUAAGCCAUUGACAUGUGGGCCCAUGCCCCACUGACCCUUUAGUUAGGAUUAAAUUAGCACUAACACUCCCUGUUAAUUAGCCUAGUCACUGACCAGUGGGUCCCAACAUCAGGUUUGACCUGCAACAGCGUCUGUUGACCUGCUGACGUCAUAGUGACGCUAUGCUGACGCAAUAAGUAUUUUCUGGAUUUAUUCUUAUACAGGAAAUUCCAGAAAAUUGUGCUAACUUCUAAAAUUCAUAGAAAUUCAACCGUAGCUCCAAAUGAAACAAGUUAUAUAUGAAAAAUGAUCAGAAAAAUACAAUCUAUCCAUCUGCACUGGUUUCAUGCAUGUUUAAGCAACUUAACCUUGCUGUUCAUCUCAAAACAUGAUAAUGCACUUUAUGAAUUCAUAGUUUGAGUUUGAAUUUGAAUCUUUGGUUCGAAUAAGCUCAAACCUUUCUGUUCUUAGCUGCAUUAGCCCAAAUCACAGCAUAUUGCCAUGUCAUAGCAUGCAUCAUAUUGUCGCAUUGCAUUGAUUGUGUUCUUGUGUGUUUGCCGGUAACUGUUCUCUCUCGGUAGACGAUGUUUCGACGAUGAGUUCGAUGACACUGAUGAAGAGAUAUACUAUCUUCAGAAGUCCCAGGCAAGCAAAACCCCCUUGUUCAUUCCGAUACAAUCCUACUCUCUCGCUCCUGCUCUCUUUUACUGCAUUAGGACAACAACGAUUCAUCAGUUACUUGCUGCGGUAGCUGAACCCCUUUAUCCUUUGCAUGACCUGUCAUUCCACAGUAAAUAGAUGAAACCCACUAGCAUAAGUAGGAGUUGUUUGAGCCUUGUUGUGCCUACUCAUACAUGCUUGUUUGUCAUGCCUGCUACUGCUUAGAGUUGAGUCGGGUCUGAUUCAUCGAGGAUGAAUCAGAGGUGCGUGAACAUGUCCUACUGUGUGUGAGCUAAGUGUGUGAACACGAUUUGGUAAAGGUAGCGGUGAGAGGCCAUGUAGGAGUACAUGGUGGGUUUUCUCAUUGCAGCCGUCCUCAGGAACUGAGUUCUGUGUUUGUGAUCCAUGAUUCAGCUACUACCACGCAUUGGGCCCGAAACCAAUGGACCCUCUCGGCUUCUUAAUCACCCUUGUCCUCUGUCCAGGAGUUGCAAGUAGUUUCUGGUGCUUGUAGUAUGCUGGAGGCUGUGCGGAGCACUGACCGUAGGGGUGGGCUGUGAUGCGGUAGGCACGUGGCACGGUGUACCGGGCGCCCGUUUGGUGUCUCGGGAACCCUGCUCACAUUGUUUGGGGCUGUGAGCGAAACUUCGGCCGGAUCUCCUCAUGGAUGGAACCCGAAUAGGCGAUAAACCUGGACUAGGGACUUGAGUGUUUAGGUAGGUCGUGGCCGACACCCACGUUGGGCUUCCGCUUGAAGGUUGCCGAGUACAUGUCGUGUAAACGGCGAUAAGUGGUGAGAGCGUGUGUGAAGAAGUACACCCCUGCAGGGUUAACAUCAUCUAUUCGAAUAGCCGUGUCCGCGGAAAAGGACUUCUGGGUUGCCUGUACAGUUCAUAGACAAGUGGAAGUGGAUACUCUAAAAUACGCAAGAUAAGCGUGAGUGCUAUGGAUGGCGUUCUCGUAGGCAGACGGAGCGGAUCCAUAGUGGUGUAUUGAUAUGGUGAAUAUGUGGACUCGUGUGCGCCACCUCAAAAGAGUUACUUGCAGUCGUAGUUUAGGAUAGCCACCGAGUCAAAGCUGGCUUGCUGCUGUUAAACCCCACCAUCCCCUUUAUUGAUAAUGAUGCAUAUGUAGUUAGUUCUGAUGUAAGUCUUGCUGGGUACAUUUGUACUCACGUUUGCCUAUUUUAUGUUUUUGCAGAGAGACUUCAGUCUCACUAGUAGUUCCACGUGGACUUCGACGUUUAGCUUGUUACCUCAGCUACGAUCUUGUGCCCUCGGCAGGAUCUGGUAGAUAGUCAGGCGUCUAAGCCUUUUUCAUUUGUAGUUGUCUGUACUCAGACAUGUUAGCUUCCGCUUGUGCUUUGACUUGUAUGCUCUGAAUGUUGGGUCAUGAGACCUAUGUUUGUAAUAUCUCGCUCCUCGGAGCCUAAUGAAUAAAUACUCGAGUCGUAGAGUCAUGUUGUGAUGCCAUGUUGUAUUUGCACAUAUCGAGCAUAUUGUGUGUAUGUUAUUGAAAUGCUUGGUAUGUGUGGGAUCUGACUAUCUACACUACUAGGGAAAAGCCUAUUCACAGAAUCUUAGCAGCAGCGAGGGUUAAAAACCCUCGCUACUGCUACUUACUAGCAGCGCAGGUUUUUAAACCUCGCUACUACUAAGUUGAUAGCAGCAGCGCGGGUUUGUAACCCUCGCUACUACUAAGUGGUCUCUGCCGUGCCACCCCGGGACAUGCCAUAGUAGUAGCGAGGGUUAUAAAACUGCGCUACUACUUUGUGAAUAGCUGUAGCGCAGGUCAUCUGCCCACGUUACUAGUAUAUUCCCACACCACUCACCCCCGGUCCACCCCCAUCAACCGUCCCACUCCACCCACCACUGUUUGUCUAAAAAAACGCCCAACCCUGGAUCGAUCCCCUCCUCUCUUCUCCUGAUUCACCCCUCGUCUCCCUCCCAUCCCACGCCGCCGCCGCCGUCCACCAAAUCUCCUCCCCUCCCACCUCCUCCUACUCCAGAAGCCUCUCCCGGCCCGCGGCUCCGGCUCCACGCGGGGAGGGCUCGGCGGGGGCUGCUCUGAUUCGCCGGGCGCGCUCCGGCGAGGAAUGCUCUACCUCAAGCUGCCGGCCGGGGAUUUAGGGUUCGGCGGGAGCGGGCGCGGUGGCGGUCCCGUUGCGCGCGGAGUCGGGGUCUGAGGCGGCGGGCACACAAGCAAGCAAGCGGGCGGGGAGGAGAGGUGACGGCGGUGCGCAGCGCCGGCCAGCAGCACAAAACAAGCCGGGAGCGACGAUGGGUGCGGCGGCGGGGAGCGGCGGUGGCGGCGUGGUGAAGCACCUCGUCAUCGUGCAGUUCAAGGAGGACGUGACGCCGGAGCGGCUGCAAGGGCUCAUCAGCGGCUACUCCGGCCUCGUCGACAAGGUCCCCUCCAUGAAGGCCUUCCACUGGUACGGUAGCCGACCUCAACGCCGCCAACCCCCUGUCGAUUCUCGCACCUUCCUGCCUCUGCCGCCUUUCGGGUGAGCUAUCGCUGUAGCUGCUCGGGUCGCGCCCUACAGGUGCUCGACGAAAUGCCUGCCUGGGCUGUGAUUCUUCCCUAUGCGGCCGCUGGCUUGGAAGCCAUGUGAUCGUUUGAAAAUGACGGAUUCAAGUAGUAAACCAGCUAGUGUUUUUCUUGGAUCCAACAGGGGAACUAGUGUAGUCAAACGAACAAGUAAAGCUGAUCCAGCCAAUGCAAACUACUGAAGCAUCUGACCUCAUGUUACAAAUAUCUUGACAGGGUAUCCUGAACAUUUAGCCUCAUGUGGUUUGAUUUAUGAUGUUUUUGUUGGUGAUAUUGAGUUGACAUGGAAAUAAUUUAUUCAUUCGCAACAAGAAUGAAUCAAGGCUUCUUGUGUUACUAGUGUCCGGCCAGAACUAGUAAGUUGUGAUCAACGUGGCCGUAUAAUUAGAUUAGGAAAAAUACUAACUUGAGUCCGGCUAGGGAUCUGUGGCAGCAGCUCAUAGAUUAGAAUUAGAUUUGAUAAUUGGAGAUGGAUUCCUGAACCAAUUUGCAAAUUCGUUGGUGAUUUCAGUGCUUAUACUUAUUUGGUUUUGGUGCCUGGUCGGACCUUCUCUAUGUUAGUUCCUUUGCUUAGCCAAAUUAGUUAGGGAUAUAGCCCAUCCAUGAUGUUGCGAGGUGUUGAUUGCCUUCUAGGAAACAUCUAGAGCGUUGGGUAUCUCUGGCUGUAAACUGAAUCUGGCUCAGUUAAAAACUGCACUGUCAAAUCUGGACAGCCAGCUUCUAGGUGAAAAAUGAGUUAGUAAUUCUCAGAAUUUCGAGUUGCCUCUAUAUGAAAUUUGUAAAGCAAGUUCCAAGCUUUCCGUAGAGUAUUUAUUUGAGUCGUUUGGAUGUAUGGUUUGAGAGCAGCCAUCGUUUUAGUUUGUUGUCCUGAAAGUUAGUAUCCUGAGCGCAUUGUUUUCGUAUGCCAGUUUACGGCCUUGUAGAGGCUGUUUUAAAAAAAGUUUGCACCUUAUAAAGUGGUAUCUGCUUAAUAUUAAGAUCAUUUAUCAGUUCUGUAUCUAUAAUAUUACAAGUAAGAAUGGAUAUUGGCUAUCAAGAGUCUCAACUUUUAUCUCAUUUACUGAAUGCAGACGCAGCAUCUUCACUUCUUUCCUUGCACAUUCCUGUUAAGGAAGCAAAGGUAACCCUGCUAUCCUGGUAUAUACAGAUAGAAUAAAAAUACAAUACAAUAUUUGACUACCAAUGGAUCACGAUGUUUUCCUACUUAUUCUGCUUGAAGGGAUGGUGUUGAUAGUGUUGCAACCAGUGCUGCUGUUUUAUUUUGUUGAGACUACCAAUGAUGCUGCAGUCAAUUAAUUACAACUCACACUUGUUGAGGGGGACUGCAACUUAGUUCAGUGUCGAUGUUCAUUGCGAGUUUAGUAGUACCAUAUGAGGAGGUGAAAUAAUGUUCUUAUAGUUCACAGCAAGUGGUCUGAUGGGCCGUUUGUUUGUCCUUGUUGGUCUGCUUUCGUUUUGGAAAAUCAUCCUAUAAGAUUUGUGUUGUCCUAUCGAGCAAUUGAUCUGAUGGGUUGUGAGCUUUUUAGCUGUCCAGCAUCACCCUAUGGCAGAUAAUCAUUUCUAUUAUGUGUUAAUGCUUUCCUUUUAAACUACUUCAAAAAAACAAAGAAAUUGGAUUCUUUUAGCCGUAUUAUCCUUUGAACAUCUAUAUGAAAUGAUCUAAGUUUAAGUAUAUUUAGUUUUUAAGAAAACUAAAGGCAAUUAAUGUGAAAAUUAGAUAUGUCCUAUUACCUGGCAAUAUAUAGUUUUGUAGCUAUUACAUAGGCGAUCUCUUGUUAAUAGAAAUCACUCACUUUUUUGUUUUCGUAUAUUUAUUCCCGUAGCUACUAUACAUCACAGCAUGCAAGGAAAUAUAUGUCAUCUGAAAUUUAAUUUAAUUUGUUCUUUGCUCUUUACAGAAAUCUUGGAUUCAUAAAUGGGAGAAGCACAUAAGGGAGAAGAAGAUGAUUGCAAGGAUGGAGAGGGAGCAAAUCAUUUGGAGGGAUAGAAUGCCACUGUUUGGUGUUUUUAUGCAUUUUUGUUUGCUUUCAACUAUGUUUGCACUAGCUGGGAAUAAGUGACUAGGCAAUAAGUGUGGAUGUAUGGAUAUGCUCUAAUGCUCCUGGUUACUAUAAAUCUUCAAUUUGGAAUGAUGUGUAAUGAUGUUGGUUUAUUACAAAUCUGGGCUUGUUUUAGUUGUUAGAAUUGUAUGCAUAAAAUGGAAUUGAUGGAUUUUAUUUUUUUUAAUUCCUAAUUAGUUAGUAGUAGCGUGGGGGUGAAAUCGAGCACUACUAGUAUUUAGGAUACUAGUAGCGUGUGGUACUACAGACGCGCUACUACUAUUUCGUUAGUAGUAGCGCGGGUGACAUCCGCGCUACUAGUAAAAUGUUAGUAGUAGCGCGGGUUUACCCCGCGCUACUACUAACUAUUAGCUGUAGCGCGAUACUAGUAGCGCGGGUACCCGCGCUGCUAGUAGCCAUUUUACCCGCGCUGCUAGUAGCCUUUUUCCUAGUAGUGCUAGUUGUUUAUCUUUAGUAGCCUCUCUUACCGGGAAAUGUCUCCUAGUGUUUCCACUGAGCCUGGUAGCUUGCUACUGCUCCGGAACGCUUAGGCUGGCCGGCAUGUGUCCUUCUUCGUUCCUGUGUCUGUCCCUUCGGGGAAAUGUCACGCCUUGAGUACCGCAGUCCUGCUAGCCCAGUGCUACAGCCCGGAACUCACUCGCUGAUGACCGACACGUUCGAUGCUGGGUCAUGGAUGCCUGUCCCUGUAAGUCUAUGCCACUUCGGGUUUACGACUAGCCAUGUCAGCCCGGGCUCCUUAUCAUAUGGAUGCUAGCGACACAAUCAUAUACGUGUGCCAAAAGGCGCAAACGGUCCUGGGCAAAAGUAAGGCGACACCCGUGGGAAUACCGUGCGUGAGGCCGCAAAGUGAUAUGAGGUGUUACAGGCUAGAUCGAUGUGACAUUGAGUCGGGGUCCUGACAGUAUUAUUGUAUUCAUGUGGCAUUGUACGCCUUUUGUAUGUAUCCCCAUCUAUUAUGUAAUGUUGAUGUAAUGAUAUCCACCUUGCAAAAGCGUUCCAAUAUGCGGGUCUAUCCUUGGUGGGACCAUCGAGUUCCUUUUGGAUAGGGUCGCAUAUUGGGCGUGACAAGUUGGUAAUCAGAGCCUCGACCGACCCUAGGAGCCCCCCUUGAUUGAUCGUGUAGUUUGGCCGUUGUUGAGUCUAGAAGAAAACUGUUUUCGGAGUCUAGUUAUAUCGGAGAGUAGGAAUUCUUUUUACUCCUCAGCCCCUUCGUCGCUCUGGUGAGGAAUCUUGACGUAGGUGUUUUGAACUACUCCUCUUCCCCUUCAAAUUUUCUUUAGGUUCACGCAGUUGGUUUUUCGUUUGUUGGUUCUCAGCUUCUUUUCAUCCAGUGCAUUUCUCGUCAAGUUGACUCGAGCCUCUUCAUCUUUGUCAAGUUCAAUCCUUAGUUGUUUUCUUUUCCCACCCGCCCACCCUUCUUAUUCUCGAAUCCGGAGUCCGUAAUCGAGUAUCCAUCAUACUCGUGCGAAGCCUUUGCAUUCUCUCCUCAAUGAUUUCAACUGGUGUUUUCUUUUCAAGAUAUUCAUUGGUUCUCCCUUCCAGUUGCCUGUGUUUUUCCCGCCCUCCCACCCUUUUUCGUCCCGGAGCCUGAGUCUCUUUCGACCAUCAAUUUCAUUCGUGUGGAGUCUCUUCAUUCUUCCCUCAAUUAUUUCAUCCGAUGAACUCUCGUCUCGCUCGACAUUCUUCAUCUAUUUUUUCUUUUCCGGUGGAUUCAAUUCAAUUUUUCGGUAGUGAUUAUAUUCUUUCCCUCGGCUCAAGUGUUUUCCUCGCUCGUUCGCCUCUCGCCAGUUUAUCCUUCCGGAGUGCUCAAGACAUCUCAGGAGAUUCAUCUGUAUUCGAAUUAAUUCAAGUUUGUCACCUCAUUCAAAUAUUUCAAUUGUUCCGGUGCAUCAUCUAUCUGUUCAACAUCCCUUUCCAACGGUGUUUUCUUCAGUGGGCCCUAACCCACAGGUCUUUUCCCAGGAUCUUACCUGACUCUUCUAAUUAUUCCAGAGACAUUCCUAAUUCUUUUCAAGUGGGAUGUAAGAAUGGAUUUCAUCAGUCACAUGCCUUAUCCAAUAUCGUUUUCAAAUUCUUUUCAUUGUUGGCUCAACCUCUGCGCUUUUCAUUCUCCCGGAGUAUCUCAGUAAUUUUGGUGGUGUUUCUCGUCAUCAUUUGAAGAUUGAAGAAGAGUUUUUCCUCUAAAUCUUGCCCGUUCUCUCGAAGUUUCGUGGUUCUAGUUUCAUGUUACCCUCUCAUUUUGUUCCGUUUGUCAGUUAUUCUUUAUUACCCAUCCGGAGUAUUUCAAGAGUUGUUUUCCAUUUCUUUUCACCGGAGUAUUUCCCGGUGAUUCUUUCUCUUUCAUCAGUCAUUUUGAAUUCUUACGGUGGUUCAUUCAGAUUCUUUUUCCUUUGUCAUCAUUUAAAUCCAUUCGUUCUUUUCUAUCCUACCGGUGGUUCAUGAAGACCUUCUCAAGUUUGCGAUAUGUCACUUCUCAAUUCUUUUUCAAGAAGGAUAAGUAGUAUGCAAAAUCCAUUGCUUCUCAUCAAUUUAAUUUGAUGAAGGAUAAGCAUACAAUAAAUCUUAUUCUUAUUUCAUCCAAGCGAUUAAUCCCUUCUUUCGGAGUUUGUUCUUGGUGAAUAAAUUCUAGUUCCAAGUGUUUUCAUCUUUUCUUUUCCGGAGUUCAAAUUUCCUCGGCCAUCUCGUCGGAACCUCCAUCUGAAUCAUCGCAAGGUUUUAAUCUUAUUCUUUCAUCCUUCAUUCUAUCUCAUCAUCCUUUAUUUUACCGGAGUACUUCAUGGAGAUUCUUCAUGAUUUAAUUCAUUCUUCAAGAGUUCAUCAAGUACCAUUCCAUCCUCUCAAGUUCGUUCUAAUCCUCCCAUUUUCAGCCGGAGUGCUGCCUAAAUCCUUUCAGACUUAUUCGUUUCUUUUCUCAUUCUAACCACUCCGGUUAGAACGAGUGAUGUCAUAGUCUAUCUGAUUCCGUGAGCUUUUCGAUUCUCGUCAUCCUCGUUGUUUCCUCUCUUCUUCUCGAGUGAUCUCGAUUCUUUGCUUCUUCCCUUGAGUUCUUGUUUCACCUCAUCCCUUUUCCCUUCCGUCUCGGUCCUAAGAUCUCGGGACGAGACCUCUUGUUAGUGGAGGAGUGUUGUAAUGCCCCGGAUUCGAUGCGCCAGUUGUCUGCCAGUUAUUCGCCGUCUUUGCCAUGUCUUUUGCUUGCGUGUUGCACUUUGCCAUGUCAUCAUCUGCAUUUCAUAUCAUGUCAUCAUGUGCAUCUCAUGUUGCAUACAUGUUCGUCUCAUGCAUCUGAGCCUUUUCCCCGUUGUCCGUUUUGCAAUCCGGCGCUCCUAUGUCAUCCGGCGUCCCCUUCUUCUCUCCUUUUGUGAGCGGGUGUUAAACUUUCUCGGAAUGGCCCGAGGUUUGCCAAGCGGCCUUGAUAUAGCACCGGUAGACCGCCUGUCAAGUUUCGUGCCAUUUGGAGGUCGUUUGAUACUCCGACGAUUAACCGGGUAACCAUAAAGCCCUCUUUGAGUUGCAGCCCAACACCCUUUCCAAAGUGGCCCAAAACCCAGCAAACUCCCCUCCACGCUCUCGGUCGUUCGAUCACGAUCGCGUGGCCGAAAACCGCACCUCAUUUGGACUCUCCUAGCUCCCUCUACCUAUAAAUAUGUGCCCCUCCCCGAUUUUUCGCGCAGUCCAACCCUAGCGUCAUCCUCCUCGCGCCGCCGGACACGUCCGUCCGCGCCGGACGUGUCCGCCGGACACGUCGUUCCGACCAAUCCCGUGACGCCACGUCAGCCCGCCGCCGCCCUCGUCCNNNNNNNNNNNNNNNNNNNNNNNNNNNNNNNNNNNNNNNNNNNNNNNNNNNNNNNNNNNNNNNNNNNNNNNNNNNNNNNNNNNNNNNNNNNNNNNNNNNNNNNNNNNNNNNNNNNNNNNNNNNNNNNNNNNNNNNNNNNNNNNNNNNNNNNNNNNNNNNNNNNNNNNNNNNNNNNNNNNNNNNNNNNNNNNNNNNNNNNNNNNNNNNNNNNNNNNNNNNNNNNNNNNNNNNNNNNNNNNNNNNNNNNNNNNNNNNNNNNNNNNNNNNNNNNNNNNNNNNNNNNNNNNNNNNNNNNNNNNNNNNNNNNNNNNNNNNNNNNNNNNNNNNNNNNNNNNNNNNNNNNNNNNNNNNNNNNNNNNNNNNNNNNNNNNNNNNNNNNNNNNNNNNNNNNNNNNNNNNNNNNNNNNNNNNNNNNNNNNNNNNNNNNNNNNNNNNNNNNNNNNNNNNNNNNNNNNNNNNNNNNNNNNNNNNNNNNNNNNNNNNNNNNNNNNNNNNNNNNNNNNNNNNNNNNNNNNNNNNNNNNNNNNNNNNNNNNNNNNNNNNNNNNNNNNNNNNNNNNNNNNNNNNNNNNNNNNNNNNNNNNNNNNNNNNNNNNNNNNNNNNNNNNNNNNNNNNNNNNNNNNNNNNNNNNNNNNNNNCCGGCCCGGCUCCCUCCGGUCUCCCCGACCCCGGCCGCCGCCGGCCACGGGAGCGCGCUGCCGCGCCGCCCCAAGCCCCUCCGGCGCACCCCGCCCGUUGCCCCGACCAGAUCCGGCCACGGGAGGGCCGGAUCCAGCCUCCUCCGGCUUCUUCCUCGACUCCGGCCGCUCUCCGGCGACGAACUCCGGUGAGAUCCCGACGCCGUGGAUAUUUUCCCCGAGGUCCAAAUCCACUAAGUCCCCGUUUCCUGACAUUUUGAUGCCAUGUUCAUCGCAUCACAUCUCUGCAUCCGUAGCUCUGUUUCGUGCGUAUAAUAUGUCAAAUUGUUCGCCUCGAUGAGUACUUCAUUUCAUUCCAUUGCAUCAUUUUCAUUUGAGCUCAUCUUGAUGCCCGAUAUGCUGUUGGAAGAGUGCAUGUUAAUGUUAAUCUGUUGAAGCUGUUAUAACUUGCUUAUUUGUCAUUUUUGCCAUGAUUGAUGUGUGCAUCCUAUGAGGUUGAUGUCUACAUGUGUUUUGAUCUAUGCCAUGCCAUCUUUCCAGGGGUGUAUGCCAUGCAUUUUUGUGAUCAAUGUGGUGACUAGCACAAGCAUGCAAACUAGGCUUCAUGAUAUUGCUGAUUUUAGUCCCUGUUCUGCUAUUAUUUUGAUGCCAUGUAAACUUGAUGCUACAGAGCGAUCCAUGCAUAUUUAUAGAUACUUCAGUAAGGGUGUUUUGAACAUAUGGUUAUUGUCUAUCAAUUCAUGCCCUUUUUUGCAAUUAUGGAGUAGCCUAGCAUGUCAUUUUGGUGCUCUACGUUUGCUUCAAAAUGUUUCCUGGCAGAUUGUUUACAUGUUAUUCAAUAUGGCCAAGCUUGCUAUAGUUCAUCCUUGUAUGCUAUGGACUUGUUAUUGCCUUGGUUUGUUACACAAACAUGCCUUCUUGAUGAUGCUAUGCUUAUCUUGUCAUGAAAUGACUUGUGGUGAGUGAAUCGAGCUUGUUAAGUAGUGUACAUGAUGUUGCUGUUUUGCUAGACAGAUUCUGUAAUUUUGUGAUGCCAUGUUAACAUGUUUCUACUAAUCAUUCUAUGCAUAAUCUGGAGAUGUUCUAUAGAUAUGUUUUGAUCUACAUGUCAUGCUCUAUCCAUUCAUGCCCUUAGUUGCAAUUAUAGCCUGCUGGGACAUGGUUUAAUCUUGCUCUAAAGUUGCUUGAAAAUGUUGCUAUCAGCCUGUUAACAUUAAGUUCCAUGUUUUCAUGAUUGUUUGGUAGUGAUCCAUGCACCCUAUGACCUUGUUAUUGCCAUGAUUAGCUUCAUAAUCAUGUCUUCUUACUGUUGGUUGCCUUCCCAUGCCAUGUAUUGCUCUGUGGUGAGUGGUUCAAGCUCACGAACAUGCCUACUUAUUGUUGUUCCUGCCAUGUAUGAAUCUGUAAUAUAACUUGCCAUGUUUACAUGGGUGCCAUCAUAUUUUCUGUGCCCUUUUGGCUGAUGGUCAGUAAGGGACUUUUGAUCUAUGCAAUUAGUAGAUUCAUGCCGUGCCUUCGUUUGCCAUGAUAUGUUCCUGUAACAUGUCGUUUGAUAGCUCUAAACAUUGCAACCUGAUGUUAUUUCUGCCAAGUGUGAAACUGUUAUAAUUUGCAAUCUUCCCAUGUCUUUGUGAGCAUGUUCUAGAUGUUUCUAGAGAUAGCUCAGUGUUCAUGUUUUGUUAUGCUUUACCUGUAAAUCAUGCCCAUGCAUUUUGUUAUUAUGUUGGGGUGCUGUAGCAUAUUGUUUUGAUGCUUGCAAUAUGCCUAGUUGCUAUUUUGGACAGAUUGUUGUUAUGACUUGUAUAGUGUGCAUGUGUUGAAUCGUUGCUCCGUUUUGAGUGUGCUCUAUAUGAAACUUGCUUGAUUUUGCAUGUAGUUUCAUAUCAUCAUGUUGCAUCCUUGUUUUGAGGUGUUUUCUUGAUGUUUGGGUGCAUUUUGCAUCAAUGCCAUGUUUAACUUGUUUUGCUCAUAUCUUCUAGGCCGUAGCUCUGAAUCUUAUGAACUUUAUAUGUAACUUGACUAGAAUUUUAUGUAGAUCAUCUUGGUGCAUCUUAACUUGCUGUUUAACAACUUGAACGUAAGGUUUAUUCAGUUCUAGACCAAUUUCGAAAUUUGCAUAUGAGGACUUACCGGAAUUGUUAUAUGUUGUUUUCGGCCUCAUUUAAACUUGCCUUGAUGUGUUGUUCUUGUUUGCAUCAUCUCUUGCCAUGAGUAGGCUCAUCUAGCUUUCUCAUGCAUCAUGCUUGUUGUGCAACAUGUCUUGUCUAUGUGUGGUGUGUUUACUAUGUUUUGUGCUGCUUCUUGUUAGUUCAUGUUUCGUUGCGAUCGUGAGGAUUCGUUCGUCUACGAUUGGUUCGGCUUCAUCCGUUCGUCUUCUUCAUGGACUCGUUCUUCUUCCUAGCGGGAUUUCAGGCAAGAUGACCGCUACCCUGGAUCUCACUACUAUCAUUGCUAUGCUAGUUGCUUCGUUCUAUCGCUAUGCUGCGCUACCUAUUGCCUGUUUAUCAAGCCAUCCCAUAUUGCCAUGAACCUCUAACCUUUGACACCUUUCCUAUGCAAACCAUUGUUUGGCUAUGUUACCGCUUUUGCUCAGCCCCUCUUAUAGCAUUGCUAGUUGCAGGUGAAGUUGAAGAUUUCUCCAUGGUGGACAGGAUUUUGGUUGGGAUAUCACAAUAUCUCUUAUAUUAUUAAUGCAUCUAUAUUUUUGGUAAAGGGUGGAAGGCUCGGCCUUAUGCCUGGUGUCUUGUUCCACUCUUGCCGCCCUAGUUUCCGUCAUACCGGUGUUAUGUUCCCGGAUUUUGCGUUGCUAACGCGGUCGGGUGAUUUAUGGGACCCCCCUGACAGUUCGCUUUGAAUAAAACUUGUCCAGCAAGGCCCAACCUUGGUUUUACCAUUUGCCUCACCACCACCUACUUUUUCCCUUGGGAGUCGCUCUCUCGAGGGUCAUCUUUAUUUUAGCCCCCCCCCCCCCGGGCCAGUGCUUGUCUAAGUGCUGGUUCGAACCGAGUAGACUGCGGGGCCCCCUCGGGGCAACUCGAGGUCUGGUUUUACUCGUAGGUUGUCUCAUCCGGUGUUGCCCUGAGAACGAGAUAUGUGCAGCUCCUAUCGGGAUUGUCGGCGCAUCGGGCGGCUUUGCCGGUCUUGUUUUACCAUUGUCGAAAUGUCUUGUAAACCGGGAUUCCGAGACUGAUCGGGUCUUCCUGGGAGAAGGUCUAUUCCUUAGUUGAUCGCGAGAGCUUGUCAUGGGCUAAGUUGGGACACCCCUGCAGGGUUUAAACUUUCGAGAGCCGUGCCCGCGGUUAUGUGGCAGAUGGGAAUUUGUUAAUGUCUGGUUGUAGAUAACUUGACACCAGAUCCGAAUUAAAACGCAUCAAUCGCGUGUGUAGCCGUGAUGGUCUCUUCUCGGCGGAGUCCGGGAAGUGAACACAGUUUCCGGGUUAUGUUUGACGUAAGUAGGUGUUCAGGAUCACCUCUUGAUCAUUGCUAGCUUCACGACCGUUCCUUUGCCUCUCUUCUUGCUCUUAUUUGCGUAUGUUAGCCACCAUACUUGCUUAGUAGCUGCUGCAACCUCACCACUUUACCCCUUCCUUUCCCAUUAAGCUUUGCUAGUCUUUUUACCCAUGGUAAUGGGAUUGCUGAGUCCUCGUGGCUCACAGAUUACUACACCAACAGUUGCAGGUACAGGUUAUGCGAUGAUCAUGACGUGAGAGCGAUGCUUGCUUAUUUGGAGUUCUUCUGUUUCUUCUUCGAUCAGGGGAUAGGUUCCAGGUCGGCACCUUGGCUAGCAGGGUGGAUGUCGUUUGAGCUUCUGUUUGUGUUUCAUCCGUAGUCGGAUGUUGAUCUUAUGUGAUGUAUUGUUGUAUUCAUGUGGCAUUGUAUGCCUUUUGUAUGUAUCCCCAUCUAUUAUGUAAUGUUGAUGUAACGAUAUCCACCUUGCAAAAGCGUUCCAAUAUGCGUGUCUAUCCUUGGUGGGACCAUCGAGUUCCUUUUGGAUAGGGUCGCAAAUUGGGCGUGACAGCGGACGCUACCCUUCGCUUGAGCUCUGCCGCCCUGGCCGACGAAGAUCUGGUCGCCGCCCACCACUCCUUUGUUGGGGGAGACGUGGCGAGGCCGGACGGUGCUCCCGUCCCCCUGUUUCUUCACAGCUAUUGGGAGCAGGUGGUGAACGCCAUGCCCACCUUCAACGGUGAGGGGCUGGUGCUCGCAGUGGCUCCCGACGAUCUGGCGGCGUUGCCGAUGGUGAAUGUGUCCUCCAGCGACUCCGGCGGGAGUGAGGAGGAAGAAGAGGAGGAGGAAGAAGAGUCUGACUUCGAGGUGACUGGAGGGGAGUCGGAGGAGGCCUUUCCCCGGCGCAGGUCCCGUGCCCUCCGUUCCAUGCCAGACGACGACGAGGCCAGCGCCAGGCGAGGAGGGUAGGAUUCUCCCUGGUCCCGAGGAAGGACAGGUCGGGGCUGGUGCUCCCGGGAUCCGCUCUAGCUCCGGGGCGGUCUGAGGCCAGCUCCGGCCCUCUCGGCGCGUCCUCUGCUUCCGUGCCUCCCAAUGCUGAUCCCAGCUGCAGGCUCUCGGGCUUCAAGUUUGGCCGGAGGCUACUCGAGCCCGCGAACAAUGACCAGUAAGUGCUCGACACGCGCUUUGCUUUGUUUCUGCUGCCGAGACUUGACAUCUGCACUCUUUUGCCCAAGCUUCUGCGACCCCGCUUGAGGCGAGUUCGUCUGCCGAGGAUGUGCCUCUGUCUGCGGGGAAAAGAGGCAUUGAGGCCCGAGCCUUCCCUGUCUGGUCACCCUCGCGAGCCCAGCAGGGAUACUCUGGCGAGGAGUCAGCCCCCGUGGCCCCGCUGACCCUGGAGGUUCCUGGGCUUGACGCUGCCGCUGAGACGCCCAAGGCCCGGGAGGCUCCUUCCUCCCAACCCGUGAUCACCUUUUCGUCCUCUCCGCCUGCUCCACCGGCUCCCAUCUCUUCUGAUUCCUCGGCGGUCUUGGACCAGGCCGCCAAUGAACUGAGUCGGCUGCGGGAGGAUCUCCAGAGACAGGACCCCCACCUGGUGGUCGGGCGCCUGGAGCUAGCUUCUGGUUGGGCCCGCUCUGCCGCCUCUGUCCAAGCGGCGCUGAGCCAGGCUGCGUCUGCCUCUGACGAGGAGAAGCAAGCCGCUCGCCAGGCCAAGGCCGCUCACGAUGCUGCCAAGGGUGACGCUGCGGAUGCUCGAGGCCGCUGCAAGGCGCUGGAGGUCGAGUUACAAGACCUGCCUGAUGCGCUCGCAAAGGAGGUCCGCAUCCGCCAGGAGAAGGAGGAGGGGAUGAACGCUCGGGGGGCUGCCGUCAAGGACCGGGACGCCGAGCUUGAUGACCAUCGUGGCCGGUUGGAGACGCUGGAGCAGGCGCUGAAGGUGGAGUGGACCGAGCUAGACCGCAAGGCGAAGGUCCUGGCCGAGGAUUGAGUGGCCUUCGCCAAGCUGGAGGAGAAGGCUCGCACUGUGCUGAAGACGCUCUAUGAGGGCGGCUUAGAGGAGCCGUUGGCUGGCGAAGAGGACGGCCCUGCCGAGCUGCUUCCCUUCCUGGUCCGCGCGCUUGAAGAUGCCGCGGACGGCCUUGGCCCUAGGGUCGAGGCCGAGGCGCGUGCCCUGCCGUUUACAGCGCUGACGCACGUGUUCAGCCAUGUCUACCGUCGCCACCCCAACGUCGACCUCGACAGCCUAAUGGAACCCGUGAGCGGCGACCUUGCCGCCGCAGCUGCUGAGGCCAUGAAGGGCCGAGCCGAGGCUUUGCUGGGAUGGUUCCGUGCCUUCAGCACCUUGCCUAGAUGCGACGCCACUAGUUCCGCGGCUUCAGGAGGCGGAGCCGCCCAGCGUGACUCCACCACAGGCGGCGGCGCCACUAGAACGUGAUCCCUUUGCGGUUUUUGUCCUGUUUUAAUUCCUGCAACAUGCACCAUGCCUCGUGGAGGCGUUUAAACUUGUGUUUGGUGUUGUGAAACACUCUAUGGCUUGUAAUAUUUGCUUUUGAAUUCCCUAGAAUUUGCAUUUUUCCUGUCCUAUUUGCUUGUGUUCUACGUCGGAAACCAGGACGAGACUAAUGACUGAGAGGCUACGUGGCAAGUUAGGCUCCUGAGUCGCGAUGCUCAGGAGUCCCCCUUGACGCGCAAACAGCAAGUAGGGAAGGGAUGCGUAGGAGUGGAUUUUUCGUUCUACGUCGGUAGGGCCCGGCCCGCGCGCACACCUGAGCCGCUGUUAGCCCCGACCGGAAACCAAGACGGGACUAAGGAGUGAGGGGCUACGUGUCCAGUUAGGCUCCUGAGUCGCGAUGCUCAGGAGUCCCCCUUGACGUGCAAACGAGUCUUCAUACCUUGGCUCCGCUCGGGGAGAGGAGCGCAACGACCAGGUCCGAGGGACCUGGCUGGGUGGCGUGCGUUCGGGCGUAGCCCGGACGCAACCCCCAUGUCCAGCCCCCUCGCGCGGCACUCCUGAGGGGAGGCGUUGCGAUGGUGCCAGACACUAAGCUCUGGGCUCCCUGAGGUUCAUACGGCCGUGGGCCACCCUCAGUUGUUUAUCACCAGUGCGUAGCAUAGCACUUCCAUAUGUGUACGGCAGUGUCGUUAGCCAGCGGGGAGCAUGGUGCUUCCACUGGUACGUGGGAGGGGGCUCCCCUCCGGGAGGAGCCCCCGGGGUGUGUACAGCCCCGCCCUAACACGUGGCCGGCACGGUAGGGCUUGGAGAGGUGUAUCUGGGCACCCGUGAGCCGGCGCGGGACUCACGAGGCCCUACCUCGAGGCGGGUUGCGCCUGGCUCUGGGCCUUUAUCAAUGGAGUGUUCCUGCAGGGUGGUUAGAAUGCAAAUGCUCUACGUCCUUAGGUCCCGGCCCUCGAGUGAGCUCAGCCGCCGCUGGUAUGACAGGUCGCCAUGGCGCCUCGCAAGACCCCGACUGAGGCCUGUUACUCGCCGGCUCUGGAUCCCCCGAAUGUGUCGGAGAAGAAUCUCGCCCUCAUGCGCCUGAGGACGGUGGCGCAGGGAAACGAGGGAGCGACUGUGUUCAAGGCCGGCUCCGACCAUCCUGAAGGCAAGGCGAGCACCUUCUACCCGCUUUUUGUGAGCGCCAUCAUUGUGUUGGGGAACGUAGUAAUUUCAAAAAAAUUCCUACGCACACGCAAGAUCAUGGUGAUGACAUAGCAACGAGAGGGGAGAGUGUUGUCCAUGUACCCUCGUAGACCGUAAGCGGAAGCGUUAUGACAACGCGGUUGAUGUAGUCGUGCGUCUUCACGAUCGACCGAUCCAAGCACCGAACGUAUGGCACCUCCGAGUUCAGCACACGUUCUGCUCGAUGACGAUCCCCGAGCUCCGAUCCAGCAAAGCUUCGGGGAUGAGUUCCGUCAGCACGACGGCGUGGUGACGAUGAUUGUCGGUGUCAAAACCGGCGGAUCUCGGGUAGGGGGUCCCGAACUGUGCGUCUAGGCGGAUGGUAACAGGAAGCAAGGGUCACGAUGUUUUACCCAGGUUCGGGCCCUCUCGAUGGAGGUAAAACCCUACGUCCUGCUUGAUUAGUAUUGAUGAUAUGGGUAGUACAAGAGUGGAUCUACCACGAGAUCAAGGAGGCUAAACCCUAAAGCUAGCCUAUGGUAUGAUUGUUGUAAUGUAUGUUGUGUCCUACGGACUAAAGCCCUCUGGUUUAUAUAGACACCGGAGAAGGCUAGGGUUACAUAGAGUCGGUUACAAUGGUAGGAGAUAUACAUAUCCGUAUCGCCAAGCUUGCCUUCCACGCCAAGGAAAGUCCCAUCCGGACAUGGGACGGAGUCUUCAAUCUUGUAUCUUCGUAGUCUUGGAGUCCGGCGGACGAUGAUAGUCCGGCUGUCCGGACACCCCCUAGUCCAGGACUCCCUCAGUAGCCCCUGAACCAGGCUUCAAUGACGAUAAGUCCGGCGCGCAUAAUGUUAGGCAUUGCAAGGCGGGUUCCUCCCUUGAAUAAUCCAGAGAAGAUCAUGAACACCAGGAUAGUGUCCGGCUCUGCAAAAUAAAUUCCACAUUCCACCGUAGAGAGAAUAAAAUGCACACCAGUCCAAUCUGCUGACGUGUUAUGCGGCAUGACAUCACACCGCUACCAAGCCUUUAUUUGAAUCAUUUUUUAUUAUACCACCUCAACACGUUUAGCGAAGCAGUUUCCUUGGCACGUCCUGUCGAAGCAGAGAUCGUGUUCCCCUUAUUCCGGGAUUCUCAUCAAUACGAACGUGGGUAACCCAACCGCGCCAUUGAUGGUGGCGCUUGGGAGAUAAGCGAGUUUUACCAGGCUGGUGGGGGACGCAUAGUCUCCGUCCUCCUAUAUAUAUAAGGGAUAAGGAUUUACCUUCUCACCUACGCCUUCUCCUUUGCUUAUCCAUCUCCGCGCACUCAAGCUCCAACACGCAAGCUCGCGCAUCUCGCCUUGACCUUCUCCGAUCAUGUCCGGAGCGGGAGGCAAAUGGUUGGCAUCCACCGUUAAGGAGGAGCACAUCACCAAGCUGUGCAGCGCCGGAUACCUUUCCGGCGACAUCGCGCAUCGGCUGCCCGACGAGGGGCAGCUCAUCCCCACCCCCGGGCCCCAUGAGUGGGUUGUUUUCCUCCCCCACUUCCUCCGCGGACUGGGCUUUCCACUCCACCCAUUCGUCUGGGGGCUCAUGUUUUACUACGGCCUGGAUUUCCACGAUCUGGCGCCGAACUUCAUCCUCAACAUCUCGGCGUUUAUCGUCGUGUGCGAGGCCUUCCUCUGCAUCCGGCCCCACUUCAGCCUGUGGCUCAAGACCUUCAACGUCAAGCCGAAGGUUGUGAAGGGCACGCAAGCGGAAUGCGGAGGCGCCAUGUUGGGCAAAUUGCCCAACGUCCUUUGGCUCGAAGGGGCCUUCAUGGACUCUGUUAAGGGGUGGCAAUCGGGGUGGUUCUACAUCACCGAGCCGCGCGAACCCAUGUGGGCGGCGGCCCCCGAGUUUAGAUCUGGUAUUCCCACGUAGCUCACCUCCUGGAAAGAGAAGGGCUUGUUGUGGGGCAAUCCGAAGGAGCUGACGGGACUCCGAGCCUGUAUCCAGAAGCUGGUGAACCAUCAGCUCAGGCUCGUCGACGUGGUCCAAGUCAUGCUCAUCCGCCGGAUUCUCCCAUGCCAAGAACGGGCAUUCAAUCUGUGGGAGUUCAAUCCGAAACAGCACCGGGCGCUAAGCGGGCUCUUCCACACGACGUACGAAGGCGCCUGGAGGGUGCUGUUUAAGGGCGCCGAAGCCCCCGCAUCCGCGACGGAAGAUCGCGGAUUUUUCUCGCAGCAUCCAGCUGACGAGGUAAGUGAUUCAACCCCUUUACGGGACACUUGUGGUGAAUAGAUCGAUUCUAAGAGGGUUUCAAUCUCUCUUUUCCUUUGGCAGGAAUGGAUGGAGAAGGCCGAGCAGCUCAUCUGUCCGGCUCCCAUGCCAGAAGACCCAGUGGACGCCCGUCUAGCGGGGCUGCUGGUUCCGGCACCGCACGUGGUGCCGGAGAAGAAGGCCAAGAAGGUGGCCACGGGGACUCGAAAGAGUUCCCGUAAUCAGGUGUCCGACGACGAGGCGGAAUCCUCCCCCGAAGACGAGGAGGAGGAAGAAGACUCUCUCCCAGAGGAGGGAGAGAAGAAGAGGAAGGCUUCCCCGAUAGGGGAGGCCGAAGGGUCCAAGAGGGGAAGCACUAUUCCCCCGGACAGCUCUGCCAACAUCGACAUUGGCGAGGAGGAGUGGCCUUCAAGGACCAGGCCUCCGGCGAGAUCGUAAGUAUCCGGAUCCCUGAUAUACAAUUUCUUUUGUGUCACAUAGUGUCCUACUAAUGCCGCAUACUGUCCGCAGUCCGGCCGAUGAUGAUCUCCCCGCUUCAUCGAGCGGGUCGUUGGCCCCAUCGGAUGUGGAUUUCACUUCCGACUUCCUCUACCCCCGCGCCGACGAGGACGCCGAGGUGGGAUCCCAGAGAGGGACCCAUCAGGAGGAGGCUCCGGAGGCGCCACCAGGCAGCCUCUCGGACUUUGCGCCGGACUCUACAUCGGAACCUGCAAUGGUUCCGGAGUCCGACAGGCGGCCCCUUCGAAAGAAGGGCAAGGCCGUGACGCCGGCGGCCUCCGUCCAGCCGGAGGCGCCGGACAAGUUGCUGGAGGCACUCAAAGGUGCUUCCAUCGAGGAAGAACACCACACUAUCAUGAGUGCGGUGAUUUAGAAGGUUCAGCUUGCCAAGAGCGGGCUGACCGAAGCCUGCAAUAGCCUUCUAACAGGCUUUGAGGUAAGAAGUUAUAAUUAUGUAAUGUAAUACCGCACAGACAGUAGCCCCUGAUGCUCAGUUCGGUGUUCGGAAAGAAGAGCCGGACUGAGGAUCUAAAAAGAUAUGCGCAGGGUUGCUUAAAAUAUGUCAAUAUGGGUUUGCAGGCUGCGCUGCUGACCUCUGCCGCAUUGACUGCGAAGGUCGAUGCGUUGAAGCAGGAUCUCGAGCGGUCCAAGCAAGAGCUCGGCCAUGCCAAGAAGUGGCUCGAGGACAAAGAAGGUGAGUAACACCACUUUGAAUAGUUACCUUACAUAAAAGGAUUUAGGUUGCAAUAAAAUUAACAAGGAUAAUAUGAGUAUUGCAGGGGCCACGAACGAGGUGGCAGCCCUGAAGGAGGCUGUGUUCGCAGCCAAACGCAGUGCGGCCGCGGAACGGGCAGAACGGGAAAAGCAGGAGGCACAGGUGGCGGAAGUAUGGCAAGAGCUCCGGGCUCUCAUGGAGAAGCAUGAGAGCUUGGGGCGUGACUCCAAGACUCGAGAGUCCGAGCUUGCCUCGGCUCUCGAAAGUGCCAAGUCCGCCAAGUCCGAGGCUCGUAAGGCCCUUCAGGAGGUUGAAGAUUUAAAGAAGAUAGCGGCGGGUAAGGCAUUUUUCAUGCAAAGCAAGCAUGUUAAUGUAAACUACCUGACACUUACCCGCAUUCGGAGCUCUCCAGGGGCGUUUGCAGAUCUGCCGCGCAGUGUGUCCGAUGCUGCCGCCUUCUACCGUGGCGAGGAGGGGAGCUCAACGGAGAAGGUCUUCUGGUCUCAGUACGCUGAGGCCAGCCAUCCGGUGCCCCCGAGCGACCAGUUGAAGCCGCUGGUCGAACUCCACAAGGUAGCUGAGGAGGCCAUGAAGGGCCUUAUAGUCCGGCUGUGGCCUGGACAGGCCAUGCCUGGGAGCUACUUCGGCCUCGUGCGGCGGCUGGUGGAUGCGUGUCCCUGGGUGGAGGUCAUCAAGCGCUCCGCCUGUAUUGAAGGUGCUCGUCGGGCCCUUGCCCGCACAAAGGUGCAUUGGGGCAGGUUGGAUGCGGAGAAGCUUCUCACGGACCCACCGCCACCGGGCAAGGAGUAUCGCACGCCCGAAAUGUAUUAUAAAACUGUCCUGAAGGGAGCCCGCGAUAUUGCGGAUGAGUGCCCCAGAGAUGUAAUUUUUGAGUGAACUUGCUAUGUAUUAUCCUGUGCGCUGAAAACUUUGUUCAUAUGCGCCUUAAGCAACGCUGGUUUAAUUUAAAAUAUUACCUUCUGUGCGGCCGUUUAUAAAAUCUGAGAGAUGGCAAGUCGUUGGCUUCAGCCCCCGAGCCGCGAGUGCUGGGGUGUUCGGGAUAAACUUGAGCACUCUUGUUCCCAUUUUUGGGUCCAUCUAGGGAGGCGCUCAACACAAUGAACAAGGCACCGGACUUAUAAUGCUUGAACACUCUCACUUAUCCAUAGAAUUCUAUAAUUUUAAAUUUCGGCGAAGCCCCUGGUAUUCAGAAGACCAAAUCCGGGGCGCUAUCCACGCCUUCGUCGGACAUUAUCCGGAACUUCGCUCGAAGCGGCGCGAGUCUUUAAGGACCCGAAAAGACCUCUCGAACAGCGACCAGUCUCUCGCCUUAUCAUGUCGGUCAGUUUUAGCUUUCUCCACUGAGGCGCUCGCCCGGCUCAAUCGGGGCGCAAUCGUAGUGGUUCUCCCAGUGCCACCUUAGCCGACAGAACGGAACAUAAGGCACCAAAAUGUGGGAGCCGGGCAAACCCAGCUAUUGACCCAAGACAUGAUUCGGAGCCGAUUCAUAUAAUGCUAUAAGUUCGGGGUGCCACACUUAUGAAAGUGUUCGGACUUAUCACACCAUAAUGUGGGGAACAUAAGCCCCUGGUGUAUUAGGCCGUACCAAAAUAUACGGGUGCAAGAUGUCAUGUGAUGAACAUAUAUAUAUAUAUAUAUAUAUAUAUAUAUAUAUAUAAAGUAAUGUAAUUGUAGUCAAAAAGUGCUACAUUAUUUUUUAAAGGAAGUCUGCAAUGAGUGCGGACUGAUACAAAUAGUGCGGUAAGCAAGGGAUUUGGACUAAUUAAACAUGUCCCCCUCCAGGGGUGAGCUGCGGACUUGGUGUAUAUAAUCGAAUUUAAUGCUCGUAAUUGAGACCACCUUAGUGUUCGUCGCAGCCUUCUUUCUUCCCUGGCUGUUGCAUCAUGAGUUCGGCUGGUUCACCGCCGGACAGGGCCUCUGGUUAACGGAGUCCUGUGUAUACAAAGAAGGAAAAUAAUAAUAAUAAAAAAAGGGGGCACGCUUGCGAGCCCCUGGUGUGGUCGAGCUGCACUCUGGGUCCAUUGUGAUCGUGCCCCUUCCCCUGCGCCCAUGGUAUCUCCAAGGCGUAAUGAUGUACGCGGAGGGUUGUUCUUGCAAUCAUGCGAGGGCGGGGGUCAGGGCCGCAUUGCGACGCGGGCUCUGAUCGUGCCAGGUGGUCUUGGUUGGUAUUGCUUCGGGCACGUUUUGCUAUAUCCGGCCAUUUAACGGCCGGACUCGAAAAUUGCCUUAAAAGGCUGCUCUGUACUUCUGCCGCGAGAGCCGCUGUAUGUUCCUCCGUUCGGAGGGAGCGUUCCGUAUUUCCAUUGACCGUGAUGACUCCAUGAGGGCCUGGCAUCUUGAGCUUGAGGUAUGCAUAAUGCGGCACCGCGUUGAACUUUGCAAACGCGGUUCGUCCGAGCAGAGCGUGAUAGCCGCUGCGAAAUGGGACUAUAUCGAAGAUUAACUCCUCGCUCCGGAAAUUAUCCGGGGAUCCGAAGACCACUUCUAGUGUGACUGAGCCUGUACAAUUGGCUUCCACACCUGGUAUGACACCUUUAAAGGUUGUCUUUGUAGGUUUAAUCCUUGAAGGGUCUAUGCCCAUCUUGCGCACUGUAUCCUGAUAAAGCAGGUUCAGGCUACUGCCGCCGUCCAUCCGGACUCUCGUGAGGUGAAAUCCAUCGACGAUUGGGUCUAAAACAAAUGCGGCGAAUCCGCCAUGGCGUAUGCUGGUCGGAUGGUCUCUUCGAUCGAAAGUGAUCGGACAAGAGGACCAUGGAUUGAACUUCGGGGCGACUGGCUGCAUCGCAUAGACGUCCCUUAGUGCACGCUACCGCUCCCUCUUGGGUAUGUGGGUUGCGUAAAUCAUGUUCACCAUCCGUACUUGUGGGGGGAAACCCUUCUGUCCUCUAUUGUUCGGCAGUCGGGUCUCUUCCUCGUCGUCGCUGUUUAGCCCCUUGUCAUUGUUUUCGGCAAUUAACUUGCCUGCCUGCGUGAACACCGAGCAAUCUCUGUUGGUGUGAUUAGCUGGCUUUUCAGGGGUGCCAUGUAUCUGGCAUAAGCGGUCGAGUAUUCGGUCCAAAUUGGACGGACCCGGAGUGGUUCUUUUGAAUGGAUUCUUCUGUUGACCGGGUUUAGAGCCUCGGAAUCCGGCGUUUACUGCCGUAUCCUCCUUGUCGUCGUCAUUAAUGCGGCGUUUAUUUUUACUUCGACGUGACCUGCCAUUGUUGUCCUUAGUAUCCGGACUGCCAGAAUUUUUACUGAGGUUGUUGCUGCGAGCUAGCCAGCUAUCCUCUCCCGCGCAAAAGCGGGUCAUUAAUGAUGUGAGGGCUGCCAUGGAUUUCGGCUUUUCCUGUCCCAGGUGCCGGGCUAGCCACUCGUCGUGGAUGUUAUGUUUGAAGGCUGCAAGGGCCUCUGCAUCCAGACAAUCGACGAUUUGGUUUUUCUUUGUCAAGAACCGUGUCCAGAAUUGUCUGGCAGAUUCGUCUGGCUGCUGAAUUAUGUGGCUGAGGUCAUUAGGUGCCCUGGAAGUUAUCGAGGAAUGCGGCUUCCAGGUCUUCCCAACACCCAAUUGACUCUGCGGGCAAGCUGUUAAGCCAAUGCCGAGCUGGUCCUUUAAGCUUGAGUGGGAGAUACUUGAUGGCAUGGAGAUCGUCGCCGCGGGCCAUAUGGAUGUGAAGAAGAUAAUCUUCGAUCCAAACCGCGGGGUCUGUUGUGCCAUCGUAGGAUUCGAUGUUUACGGGUUUAAACCCUUCAGGGAUUUGAUGAUCCAUUACUUCGUCAGUGAAGCAUAGCGGGUGUGCGGCGCCUCUGUAUUGAGCGAUAUCACGACGCAGCUCGAGAGAGCGUUGUCUGCUGUGUUUGGCCCGGCCAGGGAUAUUGUAUCCGGUGCGACGGUAUUCGUCGUGGCUCGUGGGGCGCCCUCAUGAUCCGUAGAUGGAUCUGGAUUGCCUUGCUUUGUCCUCCAAUACGUCUCGCAAGUCCGGCGCAUUCCCUUUUGGCUUCGUACUUUUGGAGCGAUGCCGGGGUACGGUCUUGGUUGAGGGCCUGGAUGCCUCUCUGUCGCGACCACGCGGUGGUCGGUCUGCCGUAUCGUGCGCUGGUGAUGAAGGUAUGUACGCUUCCUCCUCUAGUCGGGGGAGCAACUUGCGUCUUGGGUAGCUUUUGGAGGGGCGUUCAAGUUUAUACUCUUCGGCCGCGAGGACCUCGGUCCAUCGAUCGGCCAGCAGGUCCUGAUCAGCUUGAAGAUGUUGCUGCUUUUUCUUUAGGCUAUUUUCCGUGGCGAUAAGCCUGGGCUUGAACCGCUCUUGUUCGACGGGAUCCUCGGGCACGACGAAUUCGUCAUCGUUGAGGCUUGCCUCGUCUUCGGAGGGAGGCAUAUAGUUAUAAUCCUCGACCACUUCGUCUGCCACCCUCUCAUGAGGGCUUGCUUCUGCAUCCUCCUGCGCUGAGUCUUGCUGGAGGGGAUUAUCUUCGGCACUCUCUGGGGUAUUAUUAUCUCCUGUGCCGGAAUCUCCAUUCUUGCUGUGGCGGGAUUUAGAGCGGCGCCGCUGACGCCGGCGCUUGGGCUGCUUCUUUAAAGAAUCUGCCUCCGCUGCUUCUUCGCCGUCCCCGUCUUUUGGGGUGUCCACCAUGUAUAUGUCGUAUGACGAGGUGGUCUUCCAGUGCCCUGUAGGCGCUGGUUCCUGUUCGUCUCCGGCAUCGUCGUCCAUAGCGUCGAUGUCUUCGGAGUCAUAGUCUAGCAUGUCGGUUAGAUCGUCGACAGUGGCUACAAAGUGGGUGGUGGGUGGGCUCUGAAUUUCCUCUUUGUCCGUAUCCCAACCAUCCUGGCCAUAAUCCGGCCAGGACUCUCCGGAUAGCGAGAGAUGCUUUAGCGAAUUUAGGAUGUCGCCAAAGGGCGAGUGUUGGAAGAUGUCCGUGGUGGUGAAUUCCAUAACCGGCACCCAAUCAGAUUCGAUUGGCAGGGGCGCGGGAGGUCCGGGGUCCGGCAAGGAGUCCGGCACCUCGGAGUCACGAGCUUCGCGAGGGACAAGGGUAGUGUUCGGCUCCAUCGCCCUGGAAGUUGGAGCCCCCGAGGCGGUGUCCAACCACCGGUCCUCGAUCUGGGCGAUCGGCUCCGGUCUAAGGGCCAGAGCGGAUUGUUGUGCGGCCACCAAGGCACUGUUCGGUGACAGAGCUAGAUCAUGCCCAUCGUAACAGUGCGGCACGCUUGGCUAUGGCUCGAGCCCGUCGAAGAUCAAGUCCCCGCGGAUGUCGGCCGUGAAGUUUAGGCUUCCGAAUCUGACUUGACGGCCAUGGGCAUAGCUUUCGAUCUGCUCCAGAUGGCCAAGCGAAUUAGCCCAUAGUGCGAAGCCGCCGAAUACGAAGAUCUGUCCGGGGAGAAAAGUCUCACCCUGGACAGCGUCAUUGGUUGAAGAUGCCAUCGAACCUAUCGGUGACGACAUAGAGGAACUCUCAAUGAAAGCACCAAUGUCGGUGUCAAAACCGGCGGAUCUCGGGUAGGGGGUCCCGAACUGUGCGUCUAGGCGGAUGGUAAUAGGAGGCAAGGGACACGAUGUUUUACCCAGGUUCGGGCCCUCUCGAUGGAGGUAAAACCCUACGUCCUGCUUGAUUAAUAUUGAUGAUAUGGGUAGUACAAGAGUGGAUCUACCACGAGAUCAAGGAGGCUAAACCCUAAAGCUAGCCUAUGGUAUGAUUGUUGUAAUGUAUGUUGUGUCCUACGGACUAAAGCCCUCCGGUUUAUAUAGACACCGGAGAAGGCUAGGGUUACACAGAGUCGGUUACAAUGGUAGGAGAUCUACGUAUCCAUAUCGCCAAGCUUGCCUUCCACGCCAAGGAAAGUCCCAUCCGGACAUGGGACGGAGUCUUCAAUCUUGUAUCUUCGUAGUCUUGGAGUCCGCCGGACGAUGAUAGUCCGGCUGUCCGGACACCCCCUAGUCCAGGACUCCCUCAAUGAUGAUGCUCUACCGGCGCAGGGCUUCGCCUAAACUCCGCGACGAUAUGAGUGGAGGGGGGCACCGCACACGGCUAAGGACUGAUCCGUAGAUCAACUUGUGUGUACUAGGGUGCCCCCCGCCCCCGUAUAUAAAGGAGCAAGGGGGGAGGCCGGCCGGCCCUAGAGGGCGCGCCAGGAGGAGGAGUCCUCUUCCUAGUAGGAGUAGGACUCCCCCUUUCCUACUCCUAAUAGGAGGGGGAAAGGAAGGGGGAAGGGGAGAAGGAAAGAGGGGGCGCCGCCCCCAUCCUAGUCCAAUUCAGUCAAGAGGGGGAGGGGCGCGCGGCCCACCCUGGCCGCCCCUCUCUCUCUCCACUAAGGCCCAUAAGGCCCAUUACUUCUCCCGGGGGGAGGAGGGGUUCCGGUAACCCUCCGGCACUCCGGUUAUCUCCGAAAACAUCCGGAACACUUCCGGUGUCCGAGUAUAGUCGUCCAAUAUAUCAAUCUUUAUGUCUCGACCAUUUCGAGACUCCUCGUCAUGUCCGUGAUCACAUCCGGGACUCUGAACAAACUUCGGUACAUCAAAACUUAUAAACUCAUAAUAAAUCUGUCAUCAUAACAUUAAGCGUGCGGAACCUACAGGUUCGAGAACUAUGUAGACAUGACCUAGAACUAUUCUCGGUCAAUAACCAAUAGCGGAACCUGGAUGCCCAUAUUGGUUCCUACAUAUUCUACGAAGCUCUUUAUCGGUCAAACCGCAUAACAACAUACCUUGUUCCCUUUGUCGUCGGUAUGUUACUUGCCUGAGAUUCGAUCGUCGGUAUCCAAUACCUAGUUCAAUCUCGUUACCGGCAAGUCUCUUUACUUGUUACGUAAUGCAUCAUUCCGUAACUAACUCAUUAGCUACAUUGCUUGCAAGGCUUAUAGUGAUUUGCAUUACCGAGAGGGCCCAGAGAUACCCUCUCCAACAAUGGGAGUGACGAAACCUAAUCUCGAAAUACGCCAACUCAACAUGUACCUUUGGAGACACCUUUAGUACUCCUUUAUAAUCACCCAUUUAAGUUGUGACGUUUGGUAGCACCCAAAGUGUUCCUCCGGUAGACGGGAGUUGCAUAAUCUCAUAGUUACAGGAACAUGUAUAAGUCAUGAAGAAAGCAAUAGCAACAUACUAAACGAUCAAGUGCUAGGCUAACGGAAUGGGUCAUGUCAAUCACAUCAUUCUCCUAAUGAUGUGAUCCCAUUAAACAAAUGACAACACAUGUCUAUGGUUAGGAAACAUAAUCAUCUUUGAUUAAUAAGCUAGUCAAGUAGAGGCAUACUAGUGACGUUGUGUUUGUCUAUGUAUUCACACAUGUAUUAUGUUUUCGGUUAAUACAAUUCUAGCAUGAAUGAUAAACAUUUAUCAUGAUAUGAGGAAAUAAAUAAUAACUUUAUUAUUGCCUCUAGGGCAUAUUUCCUUCAGUCUCCCACUUGCACUAGAGUCAAUAAUCUAGAUUACAUAGUAAUGAUUCUAACACCCAUGGAGUCUUGGUGCUGAUCAUGUCUUGCUCGUGAGAGAGGCUUAGUCAAUGGGUCUGCAACAUUCAGAUCCGUAUGUAUCUUGCAAAUCUCUAUGUCUCCCACUUGGACUUGGUCCCGAAUGGAAUUGAAGCGUCUCUUGAUGUGCUUGGUCCUCUUGCGAAAUCUGGAUUCCUUUGCCAAGGCAAUUGCACCAGUAUUGUCACAGAAGAUCUUCAUUGGUCCCGAUGCACUAGAUAUGACACCUAGAUCGGAAAUGAACUCCUUCAUCCAGACUCCUUCAUUUUCUGCUUCCGAAGCAGCUAUGUACUCCGGUUCACAUGUAAAUCCCGCCACGACGCUUUGUUUAGAACUGUACCAACUUACAGCUCCACCGUUUAAUAAAAAAACGUAUCCGGUUUGUGAUUUAGAAUCGUCCGGAUCAGUGUCAAAGCUUGCAUCGACGUAACCAUUUAUGACUAGCUCUUUGUCACCUCCAUAUACGAGAAACAUAUCCUUAGUCCUUUUCAGGUAUUUCAGGAUGUUCUUGACCGCUGUCCAGUGAUCCACUCCUGGAUUACUUUGGUACCUUCCUGCCAAGAUUAUUUCUAAGCAUACGUCAGGUCUGGUACAUAGCAUUGCAUACAUGAUAGAGCCUAUGGCUGAAGCAUAGGGAACAUCUUUCAUUUUCUCUCUAUCUUCUGCUGUGGUCGGGGAUUGAGUUUGACUCAACAUCUCACCUUGUAGAACGGGCAAGAACCCUUUCUUUGCCUGAUCCAUUUUGAACUUUUUCAAAAUUUUAUCAAGGUAUGUGCUUUGUGAAAGUCCUAUUAAGUGUCUUGAUCUAUCUCUAUAAAUAUUGAUGCCCAAUAUGUAAGCAGCUUCACUGAGGUCUUUCAUUGAAAAACUUUUAUUCAAGUAUCCCUUUAUGCUAUCCAUAAAUUCUAUAUCAUUUCCAAUUAAUAAUAUGUCAUCUACAUAUAAUAUCAGAAAUGCUACAGAGCGCCCACUCACUUUCUUAUAAAUACAGGCUUCUCCAAAAGUCUGUAUAAAACCAUAUGCUUUGAUCACACUAUCAAAGCGUUUAUUCCAACUCCGAGAUGCUUGCACCAGUCCAUAAAUGGAUCGCUGGAGCUUGCACACUUUGUUAGCACCUUUUGGAUCAACAAAACCUUCUGGUUGCAUCAUAUACAACUCUUCUUCUAGAAAUCCAUUCAAGAAUGCAGUUUUGACAUCCAUUGGCCAAAUUUCAUAAUCAUGAAAUGCAGCAAUAGCUAACAUGCAUCUCUACGGGUGAGAAAGUCUCAUCGUAGUCAACCCCUUGAACUUGUCGAUAAACCUUUCGCAACAAGUCGAGCUUUAUAGACAGUUACAUUACCAUCAGCGUCAGUCUUCUUCUUAAAGAUCCAUUUAUUCUCAAUGGCUUGCCGAUCAUCGGGCAAGUCAACCAAAGUCCAUACUUUGUUCUCAUACAUGGAUCCCAUCUCAGAUUUCAUGGCCUCUAGCCAUUUUGCGGAAUCUGGGCUCAUCAUCGCUUCCUCAUAGUUCGUAGGUUCAUCAUGGUCAAGCAACAUGACUUCCAGAAUAGGAUUACCGUACCACUCUGGUGCGGAUCUUACUCUCGUAGACCAACGAGGUUCAGUAGAAACUUGAUUUUAAAGUUUCAUGAUCAAUAUCAUUAGCUUCCUCACUGAUUGGUGUAGUUGUCACAGGAACCGGUUCUUGUGAUGAACUACUUUCCAAUAAGGGAGCAGGUACAGUUACCUCAUCAAGUUCUACUUUCCUCCCACUCCCUUCUUUCGAGAGAAACUCCUUCUCUAGAAAGGAUCCAAUUUUAGCAACGAAAAUCUUGCCCUCAGAUCUGUGAUAGAAGGUGUACCCAAUAGUCUCUUUUGGGUAUCCUAUGAAGACACAUUUCUCCGAUUUGGGUUCGAGCUUAUCUGGUUGAAGUUUCUUCACAUAAGCAUCGCAGCCCCAAACUUUAAGAAACGAUAACUUUGGUUUCGUGCCAAACCACAGUUCAUAAGGCGUCGUCUCAACGGAUUUUGAUGGUGCCCUAUUCAAUGUGAAUGCGGCCAUCUCUAAAGCAUAACCCAAAAACGAUAGUGGUAAAUCAGUAAGAGACAUCAUAGAUCGCACCAUAUCUAGUAAAGUACGAUUAGAACGUUCGGACACACCAUUUUGUUGUGGUGUUCCGGGUGGCGUGAGUUGUGAAACUAUUCCGCAUUGUUUCAAGUGUAGACCAAACUCGUAACUCAAAUAUUCUCCGCUACGAUCAGAUCGUAGAAAUUUAGUUUUCUUGUUACGAUGAUUUUCCACUUCACUCUAAAAUUCUUUGAACUUUUCAAAUGUUUCAGACUUGUGUUUCAUUAAGUAGAUAUACCCAUAUCUACUCAAAUCAUCUGUGAAGGUGAGAAAAUAACGAUACCCGCCGCAAGCCUCAACAUUCAUUGGACCACAAACAUCAGUAUGUAUGAUUUCCAACAAAUCAAUUGCUCGCUCCAUAUUUCCGAAGAAUGGUGUUUUAGUCACCUUGCCCAUGAGGCACGGUUCGCAAGUACCAAGUGAUUCAUAAUCAAGUGAUUCCAAAAGCCCAUCAGUAUGGAGUUUCUUCAUGCGCUUUACACCGAUAUGACCUAAAUGGCAGUGCCACAAAUAAGUUGCACUAUCGUUAUCAACUCUGCAUCUUUUGGUUUCAACACUAUGAAUAUGUGUAUCACUACUAUCGAGAUUCAAUAAAAGUACACCACUCUUCAAGGGUGCAUGACCAUAAAAGAUAUUACUCAUAUAAAUAGAACAACCAUUAUUCUCUGACUUAAAUGAAUAACCGUCUCGCAUCAAACAAGAUCCAGAUAUAAUGUUCAUGCUCAACGCUGGCACCAAAUAACAAUUAUUUAGGUCUAAAACUAAUCCCGAUGGUAGAUGUAGAGGUAGCGUGCCGACCACGAUCACAUCGACUUUGGAACCAUUUCCCACGCGCAUCAUCACCUCGUCCUUAGCCAAUCUUCGCUUAAUCCGUAGUCCCUGUUUCGAGUUGCAAAUAUUAGCAACAGAACCAGUAUCAAAUACCCAGGUACUCCUGCGAGCAUUAGUAAGGUACACAUCAAUAACAUGGAUAUCACAUAUACCUUUGUUCACUUUGCCAUCCUUCUUAUCCGCCAAAUACUUGGGGCAGUUCCGCCUCCAGUGUCCUGUCUGCUUGCAGUAGAAGCACUCAGUUUCAGGCUUAGGUCUAGACUUGGGUUUCUUCUCUUGAGCAGCAACUUGUUUGCUGUUCUUCUUGAAGUUCCCCUUCUUCUUCCCUUUGCCCUUUUUCUUGAAACUGGUGGUCUUGUUAACCAUCAACACUUGAUGCUCCUUCUUGAUUUCUACCUCCGCGGUUUUUAGCAUUGCGAAGAGCUCAGGAAUAGUCUUGUCCAUCCCUUGCAUAUUAUAGUUCAUCACGAAGCUCUUGUAGCUUGGUGGCAGUGAUUGAAGAAUUCUAUCAAUGACACUAUCAUCAGGAAGAUUAACUCCCAGUUGAAUCAAGUGAUUAUUAUACCCAGACAUUUUGAGUAUGUGUUCACUGACAGAACUAUUCUCCUCCAUCUUGCAGCUAUAGAACCUAUUGGAGACUUCAUAUCUCUCAAUCCGGGCAUUUGCUUGAAAUAUUAACUUCAACUCCUGGAACAUCUCAUAUGCUCCAUGACAUUCAAAACGUCGUUGAAGACCCGGUUCUAAGCCGUAAAGCAUGGCACACUGAACUAUCGAGUAGUCAACAGCUUUGCUCUGCCAGAUGUUCUUAACGUCGUCAGUUGCAUCAGCAGCAGGCCUGGCACCCAGCGGUGCUUCCAGGACGUAAUUCUUCUGUGCAGCAAUGAGAAUAAUCCUCAGGUUACGGACCCAGUCCAUGUAAUUGCUACCAUCAUCUUUCAACUUUGCUUUCUCAAGGAACGCAUUAAAAUUCAAUGGAACAAUAGCACUAGCCAUCUAUCUACAACAAACAUAGACAAGCAAAAUACUAUCAGGUACUAAGUUCAUGAUAAAUUUAAGUUCAAUUAAUCAUAUUACUUAAGAACUCCCACUUAGACAGACAUCUCUCUAGUCAUCUAAGUGAUUACGUGAUCCAAAUCAACUAAACCAUGUCCGAUCAUCAUGUGAGAUGGAGUAGUUUCAAUGGUGAACAUCACUAUGUUGAUCAUAUCUACUAUAUGAUUCACGUUCGACUUUUCGGUCUCCGUGUUCCAAGGCCAUAUCUGUAUAUGCUAGGCUCGUCAAGUUUAACCUAAGUAUUCUGCGUGUGCAACUGUUUUGCACCCGUUGUAUUUGAACGUAGAGCCUAUCACACCCGAUCAUCACGUGGUGUCUCAGCACGAAGAACUUUCGCAACGGUGCAUACUCAGGGAGAACACUUCUUGAUAAUUAGUGAGAGAUCAUCUUAAAAUGCUACCGUCAAUUAAAGCAAUAUCAGAUGCGUAAAGGAUAAACAUCACAUGCAGUCAAUAUAAGUGAUAUGAUAUGGCCAUCAUCAUCUUGUGCUUGUGAUCUCCAUCUUCGAAGCACCGUCAUGAUCACCAUCGUCACUGGCGGGACACCUUGAUCUCCAUCGUAGCAUCGUUGUCGUUUACGCCAUCUAUUGCUUCUACGACUAUCGCUACCGCUUAGUGAUAAAGUAAAUCAAUUACAGGGCGUUUGCAUUUCAUACAAUAAAGCGACAACCAUAUGGCUCCUGCCAGUUGCCGAUAACUUCGGUUACAAAACAUGAUCAUCUCAUACAAUAAAAUAUAGCAUCACGUCUUGACCAUAUCACAUCACAACAUGCCGUGCAAAAACAAGUAGACGUCCUCUACUUUGUUGUUGCAAAUUUUACGUGGCUGCUACGGGCUUUAGCAAGAACCGUUCUUACCUACGCAUCAAAACCACAACGAUAGUUUGUCAAGUUAGUGUUGUUUUAACCUUCGCAAGGACCGGGCGUACCCACACUCGAUUCAGCUAAAGUGAGAGAGACAGACACCCGCCAGCCACCUUUAAGCACGAGUGCUCGUAACUGUGAAACCAGUCUCGCGUAAGCGCACGCGUAAUGUCGGUCCGGGCCGCUUCAUCUCACAAUACCGCCGAACCAAAGUAUGACAUGCUGGUAAGCAAUAUGACUUGUAUCGCCCACAACUCACUUGUGUUCUACUCGUGCAUAUGACAUCUACGCAUAAAACCUGGCUCGGAUGCCACUGUUGGGGAACGAAGUAAUUUCAAAAAAUUUCCUACGCACAUGCAAGAUCAUGGUGAUGACAUAGCAAUGAGAGGGGAGAGUGUUAUCCACGUACCCUCGUAGACCGUAAGCGGAAGCGUUAUGACAACGCGGUUGAUGUAGUCGUACGUCUUCAUGAUCGACCGAUCCAAGCACCGAACAUACGGCACCUCCGAGUUAAGCACACGUUCUGCUCGAUGACGAUCCCCGGGCUCCGAUCCACCAAAGCUUUGGGGAUGAGUUCCGUCAGCACGACGGCGUGGUGACGAUGAUGAUGCUCUACCGGCGCAGGGCUUCGCCUAAACUCCACGACGAUAUGACCGAGGUGGAAUAUGGUGGAGGGGGGCACUGCACACGGCUAAGGAACGAUCCUUAGAUCAACUUGUGUGUACUAGGGUGCCCCCCCGCCGCCGUAUAUAAAGGAGCAAGGGGGAGGCCGGCCGGGCCUAGAGGGCGCGCCAGGAGGAGGAGUCCUCCUCCUAGUAGGAGUAGGACUCCCCCUUUCCUACUCCUACUAGGAGGGGGAAAGGAAGGGGGAAGGGGAGAAGGAAAGAGGGGGCGCCGCCCCCCUCCUAGUCCAAUUUGGACCAAAGGGGGAGGGGGCACGCGGCCCACCCUGGCCGCCCCUCUCUCUCUCCACCAAGGCCCAUAAGGCCCAUUACUUCUCCCGGGGGGUGGGUUCCGGUAACCCUCCGGCACUCCGGUUUUCUCCGAAAACAUCCGGAACACUUCCGGUGUCCGAAUAUAGUCGUACAAUAUAUCAAUAUUUAUGUCUCAACCAUUUCGAGACUCUUCGUCAUGUCCGUGAUCACAUCCGGGACUCCGAACAAAGCUCGGUACAUCAAAACUUAUAAACUCAUAAUAAAACUGUCAUGGUAACGUUAAGCAUGCGGACCCUACGGGUUCGAGAACUAUGUAGACAUGACCUAGAACUAUUCUCGGUCAAUAACCAAUAGCGGAACCUGGAUGCCCAUAUUGGUUCCUACCUAUUCUACGAAGAUCUUUAUCGGUCAAACCGCAUAACAACAUACGUUGUUCCCUUUGUCAUCGGUAUGUUACUUGCCCGAGAUUCGAUCGUCUGUAUCCAGUACCUAGUUCAAUCUCGUUACCGGCAAGUCUCUUUACUCGUUACGUAAUGCAUCAUUCCAUAACUAACUCAUUAGCUACAUUGCUUGCAAGGCUUAUAGUGAUGUGCAUUACCGAGAGGGCCAAGAGAUACCCUCUCCAACAAUCGGAGUGACAAAACCUAAUCUCGAAAUACGCCAACUCAACAUGUACCUUUGGAGACACCUGUAGUACUCCUUUAUAAUCACCCAGUUAGGUUGUGACGUUUGGUAGCACCCAAAGUGUUCCUCUGGUAGACGGGAGUUGCAUAAUCUCAUAGUUACAGGAACAUGUAUAAGUCAUGAAGAAAGCAAUAGCAAUAUACUAAACGAUCAAGUGCUAGGCUAACGGAAUGGGUCAUGUCAAUCACAUCAUUCUCUUAAUGAUGUGAUCCCAUUAAUCAAAUGACAACACAUGUCUAUGGUUAGGGAAAAUACCAUCUUUGAUUAAUAAGCUAGUCAAGUAGAGGCAUACUAGUGACGUUGUGUUUAUCUAUGUAUUCACACAUGUAUUAUGUCUCUGGUUAAUACAAUUCUAGCAAUAAUAAUAAACAUUUAUCAUGGUAUGAGGAAAUAAAUAAUAACUUUAUUAUUGCCUCUAGGGCAUAUUUCCUUCACAUUGCUGGUCUAGUGCCCCCUUUAUCCGAGUUCUUCCUUGUUGUUCUUCGCGUGUACAACUUGCAAGCUCAGCACCUCCACCCCAACUCUAUUCUUCUCCUGGCAAUUUUCGCCUACUAUUGUGAGGCUCACAUUGGGGUAAAGCCCUGAGUGGCCUUGCUGCGCCAUUACUUUUACCUCCGGGUUUCUCGCGGUCCCAUCUCCGCAUGUGCGAGUUUUAUCGCAUACUCCGGCUCCAACGCCAUCUUGAAGCCCGGGAAGAGGAUCGAGGGCUUCCGGAGCAAGUGGGUCAUGGUGGGUGUCGGGCGCCUCCACCCCCGACUGGUGCUGCCCACGGGGCAGCCCAAGACCGUUGAUGCAUAGUCUCGCGCGGAGCUUGUCGACCCGCGCACGAGGGUGGUGCUGAAGAGGAUGGACGCGGACCUGAGGCCAAGCAACCUGGGGGUGGCGAAGCUGACCGGGGACACGCUCCUGAGGGAGUUCCUGGAGCACCGGGUGGCUCCACUCCAGGAGCACUCGCUCCCAUUGUGGAGGCUUGGGGAAGUGGACACUGCCCUUCGCUUGAGCUCUGCAGCCCUUGCCGACGAAGAUCUAGUCGCGGCCCUCCACUCCUUGUUCGGUGGAGACGUGGCGAGGCCGGACGGUGCUCCCGUCUCCCUGUUUCUUUGCGGCUAUUGGGAGCAGGUGGUGAACGCCAUGCCCACCUUCAACGGUGAGGGGCUGGUGCCCGCAGUGGCUCCCGAGGAUCUGGCGGCGUUGCCGAUGGUGAAUGUGUCCUCCAGCGACUCCAGCGGGAGUGAGGAGGAAGAAGAGGAGGAGGAAGAAGAGUCUGACUCCGAGGCGACUGUAGGGGAGUCGGAGGAGUCCUUUCCCCGGCGCUGGUCCCGUGCCCUCCGCUCCAUGCCGGACGACGAUGAGGCCAGCGCCAGGCGGGAAGGAGAGGAUUCUGCCCUGGUCCCGAUGAAGGACAGGUCUGGGCUGGUUCUCUCAGGAUCCGCUCUGUCUCCGGGGCGGUCUGAGGCCAGCUCCAGCCCUCCCGACGCGUCCUCGCUUCCGUGCCUCCCAAGGCUGAUCCCAGCUGCAGGCUCUCGGGCUUCAAGUUUGGCCGGAGGCUGCUCGAGCCGGUGAACGAUGACCAGUAAGUGCUCGAUCCGCGCUUUGCUUUGUUUCUGCUGCUGAGACUUGACGUCUGCACUCUUUUGGCCAGACCGGCACCUGCAGCAAAGAAAUUGAAAGGGGCUUCUGCGACCCCGCUUGAGGCGAGUUCGUCUGCCGAGGCUGUGCCUCCGUCUGCGGGGAAAAGAGGCAUUGAGGCCCGUGCCUCCCCUGCCCGGUCGUCCUCACGAGCCCAGCAGGGACACUUUAGCGAGGAGUCAGCCCCCGUCGCCCCGCUGACCCUAUAGGUGCCUGGGCUUGAUGCUGCCGCCGAGAUGCCCAAAGCCCGGGAGGCUCCUUCCUCCCAACCCGUGAUCACCUUUCCGUCCUCUCCGCCUGCUCCACCGGCUCCCGUCUCUUCUGAUUCCUCGGCCGUCUUGGACCAGACCGCCAAUGAACUGAGCCGGCUGCGGGAGGUUCUCCAGAGCGCGGACCCCCGCCUGGUGGUCGGGCGCCUGGAGCUAGCUUCUAGUUGGGCCUUCUCUGCCGCCUCUGUCCAAGCGGUGCUGAGCCAGGCUGCGUCUGCCUCUGACGAGGAGAAUCAAGCCGCCCGCCAGGCCAAGGCCACUCGCGAUGCUACCAAGGGUGACGCUGCGGAUGCCCGAGGCCGCUGCAAGGCGCUGGAGGUCGAGUUACAAGACCUGCGUGACGCGCUCGCAAAGGAGGUCCGCAUCCGCCAGCAGAAGGAGGAGGGGAUGAAGGCUCGGGGGGCUGCCGUCAAGGACCGGGACGCCGAGCUUGAUGACCGUCGUGGCCGGUUGGAGACGCUGGAGCAGGCGCUAAAGGUGGAGAGGACCGAGCUAGACCGCAAGGCGAAGGUCCUGGCCGAGGAUUGAGUAGCCUUCGCCAAGAUGGAGGAGAAGGCUCGCACUGCGCUGAAGACGCUCUAUGAGGGUGGCUUAGAGGAGCCGUUGGCUGGCGAAGAGGACGGCCCUGCCGAGCUUCUUCCCUUCCUGGUCCGCGCACUUGAAGAUGCCGCGGACGGCUUGGCCCUACGGUCGAGGCCGAGGCGCGUGCCCUGCCGUCUACAGCGCUGACGCGCGUCUUCAGCCAUGUCUACCUUCACAACCCCAAUGUCGACCUUGAUAGCCUGAUGGGACCCGUGAGCGGCGACCUUGCCACCGCAGCUGCUGAGGCCGUGAAGGGCUGAGCCAAGGCUUUCCUGGGAAGGUUCCGUGCCUUCAGCACCUUGCCUAGACGCAACGCCAACAGUUCCACGGCUUCAGGAGGCGGAGCUUCCCAGCGUGACUCCACCACAUGGGGCGGCUCCACUGGAAACUUAUCCCUUUGCGGCUUCUGUCCUGUUUUAAUUCCUGCAACAUGCACCAUGCCUCGUGGAGACGUUUAAACUUGUGUUUGGUGUUGUGAAACACUCUAUGGCUUGUAAUAUUUUCUUUUGAAUUACCUAGAAUUUGCAUUUCCCCCUCCUAUUUGCUUGUGUUCUACGUCGGCAGGGCCCGGCCCCGCGCAUACCUUAGCCGCUGUUAGCCCCGACCGGAAACCAGGACGGGACUAAGGAGUGAGGGGCUACGUGAGCAGUUAGGCUCCUGAGUCGCGAUGCUCAGGAGUCCCCCUUGACGUGCAAACGAGUCUUCAUACCUUGGCUCCGCUCGGGGAAAGGCGCGUGAUGACCAGGUCCGAGGGACCUGGCUGGGUGGCGUGCGUUCGGGUGUAGCCCGGGCGCAGCCCCCGUGUCCAUCCCCCUCGCGCAGCACUCCCGAGGGGAGGCGUUGUGAUGGUGCUAGACACUAAGCUCUGGGCUCCCUGAGGUUGAUACGGCCGUGGGCCGCCCUCAGUUGUUUAUCACCAGCGCGGAGCAUAGCGCUUCCGUAUGUGUACGGGCAUAGCCGCUCCUCGGCAGUGUCGUCAGCCAGCGCGGAGCAUGGUGCUUCUACUGGUACGUGGGAAGGGGUUCCCCUCCGGGAGGAGCCCCCGGGGCGUGUACAGCCCCGCCCUAACACGUGACUGGCACGGUAGGGCUAGGAGAGGUGUAUCUGGGCACCCGUGAUCCAGCACGGAACUCACGAGGCCCUACCACGAGGCAAGUUGCGCCUGGCUCUGGGCCUUUAUCAAUGGAGUGUUCCUGCAGGGUGGUUAGAAUGCAAAUGCUCUACGUCCUCAGGUCCCGGCCCUCGAGCGAGCUCAGCCGCCGCUGGUAUGAUAGGUCGCAAUGCCGUGGGUCAAGGCCAGGGGGUGAGGGCUGGAGAGCCAGUAAGAGCCCAUGAGUCGCGAUGCCCAGGUGCCCCCCUUUUAACGUGCAAGCGCUUUGCAUGCGAGCGGAGAGGUCCACGAUAAGCAGCAAAUGAUAACCAUGGGGACCAGGUUAAGCUCAGAGCAGCAAAUUCAUUUAGAUAGAUGCAGAAAAAGCAAAUGCCACUGGGUUAGGCCCGAGCAGCUUGGGGAUAAUGCAGCCCGAGGGGCGCCCCCAACAAGGUAGGUAAAGGGCAUAAGCAAAACGGAUACACACCGCAGGGACGGACCCAAGCGACCUGGGAAUGAUGCAGCCCUAUGGGCGCUCCCAGCUGAAAAUGGAACUUGGAAAGAUGUCACCUGAUACCGUUGGGGAUGAAGUGUCGGAGUAGCUGACGACGCGUGGUGAAGAAGCCACCCCUCACGAGCCUUCGGAACCCUGAGCCUCGGGAGGCUCUGGGGGUCCGGGCGGCUCCUCAAGGUCCAUCUCCAUCUCCGCCAGGAACGAACGGUGCCUGGCCACCUGAGCCUCCAAGAUGCUCCUCUUCAUGCGCUGGUGGGCAGCAGCCGUGUUUGGUAGGCCGAAAGGCAUGCGAACGUAGCUGUGAGGUGGUCGCUCGCAACGCCCCACGCGUGAAGGCCAGAGGCGCUCCUGAGACGCGGCUCGGUUGAGCCCUAGUACGUCGAUGUAUACACGUAGCCCACCAUCCUCGCCGGGAUGUGGGGCUACGGUGGGUAGGCGGCGGCUGUCGCGCAUGACCCUUGACUCAUGUAGCUCCUGAAUGUUCCUCGCGAUGAACUCCUAAGGGUUUGGCCCUCCUUGCCUCAUACCUUCCUGAGGGAAACGUGCCUUGAAGCACGCCUCCAAGUGGUGCCCGAGCACCUCCCUCGUGAACUUGGCAAGGUCGGUGGCCCUCCAGGAGAGAGCCCCCGAGCCCUGCCCGAGGAGGGCACUGGGCGCGCCUUCUUAUGGGACAGAGGGUGGCGCCCCUUGAACGGGCGCGGAUCCUGACGCAAUGCCUCCGGAGGUGCCUGCCUCGUGAGUGUUUGGGCCAGGUGAAGCCUUCUUCUUCCUGGGGAUCGCCUCUAGGAGCCUCCUUCUCCUAUGAUCUGGGUCUUCGAGUGCCGCGGCCUGGAAGGCACGCUCAAGAGAACACAUUGCAUCCCUUUUCUUAGAAGGCAUUGUGAUGAUUCCACCACUUCCUGGCAUCUUGAGGACAUUGUAGCCAUGGUGAGUUACUGCCAUGAACUUGGCCAGAGCUGGGUACCCGAGGAUGGCAUUGUAUGGCAGACGAAUGUGAGCAACGUCGAAGUGAAUGAGCUUGGUGCGGUAGUUGUUGCGCUGCCCAAAGGUGACAGGAAGGCAAACUUUCCCUAUCGGAACAGUGGAACCAUCAGUGACUCCUGAGAAAGGCUUGGUCGGCUGAAGCUGAUCGUAUGGCACUUGGAGAUUGUUGAAUGUCUCAACGGACAGGACGUUGAGUCUAGCUCCACCAUCGAUGAGGGUCCUGGUGACUUGCACAUUGCUGAUGACUAGGGAACAAAGCAUCGGGAGGACUCCGGUCGUUGCUGCGCACUUGAGUUGAUCCGCUGAGCUGAACGUGAUAGCGCAUGCUGACCACCUGAGAGGGCAUGUGGCCUCAAUCUUGGGGAGGAUUGCAUUCACCUCGCGAGCAAACUGCUUGAAGAUGCGCUGAGAGGCUGGGGCAUGAGCGCCGCCCAGGAUGCAAGCGAUUGUGCGAGGCUCCUGGAAGCCCCCAGCCCCCUCGUCCUGGUGAUGGUCUUCAUUCCUCGUUGGCGGUGGUGGCAGAGGAGGGAGGCCUGCAUUGCCUUGAGGGUGGUCCUCACGAGGCUGAUCCCUCCAACCUCCCUUGCGAGGCUGGUCCUGCCAGCGGUCCUCGCGAGGUCGGUCACGCCACCCUUGGCGACGGCCACGGUCUUCCGAUCGUCCACCUCUUCCUCCUCCUCGGCCAUAGCCCCGGUCGUUGCGGUCGGGACGUCGGCCGAUACGCUCAUCUCACACGGCCCUGAGCUCUUGACAUUCGUUGGUGUUGUGGGUGUGGAGGUCAUGGUACACGCAGUACCGGCUGCCCUUGGAUGACUCAGGCUGAUCCCUGCCUCGCUUGGUGUCUGGCUCCGCUGCGAGCACGGCAGCCCCCUUGCUUUUCACGUCCUUGACCUUGGGCUUCUUCUCUUCUGGGUCGGCAGCCGGAAGCUCAAGGAGGGAGAGGCGCUCUUCCUCAGCCCUGGCGCACUUGGUUGCCAAGUUGAACAGCUCCAGUGAUGUGCACAGGUCUUCAUGGAUUGCUAGCUCCUCUUUCAUCUUGAUGCCACGCACGCCAUCGGAGAAGGCUGAGAUGAUGGCCUCCUCAGUCACCUUGGGGAUCUUGAGGCAGGCAUUGUUGAAGCACUGGAUGUACUUCUGCAGGGUCUUUCCUGGCUGUUGCUUGAUGCGGCGCAGGUCACUCAUGGCCGGGGGCCGGUCGCGUGUGCCUUGGAAGUUGGCGAUGAAGCAGGUGUGCAUCUCGUCCCAGGAGGAGAUCGUGCCAGGAGCCAGGUUCAGGAGCCAGGUGUGGGCACCGUCCUUGAGCACCAUGGGAAACUAGUUCACCAUGACCUUUUCGUCCCCGUUGGCAGCUUUGAUGCCCAGCUCGUAGAGCUAGAGGAACUCCAAGGGGUCUUCCGUGCCGUCGUAGCGAGGAGGUAGGUCCGGCUUGAACUUUCCGGGCCAUGCGACGCUACGCAACUCGGGGGUGAAGGCACGGCAGCCUGCAGGGGCCACCGGAGCUCACUGCUGAUGCGGGGCUUGCUCCUGGGGAUUGCCACGCACCGCUGCCUAGAGCAGCGCGAGGUCUUGAUGUGGCAGUGCAGGGACGUGGUCACGGUGCUCUGGUGCUGGGAGCACACGAGCACCUUCUUGGGGACGAGGGAUUUUCUGGCAGCUCCUUUCUUGUCGCGCAGCCGGAAGCGGUGGGUCUCGUCCUGGGGCCACGCGCCUUGGAGCCAGGGCGCCUUCUUGGGGAGGAGGUGGUGGAGGCACCUCCUGCUCCUCACCUCCUGCGCAGGAUGGAGGGCGAGGCAGCGAGAGGGAUGGCAUGGGAGAGCCCCAUGCGGUGCUGACAAGCUUGAUGAUGCAGGCGAGCCAGUCCUCGUAGAGGUCGUCGACGGGACAGUAGUGCAGGAGCUCGCGCGCCAGGAGCAGCGCGGCAUGCGCGUCCGUGGGGCCGCGAUGGACGUGGGACGAUGAACUGGCUGGAGUCAGCGACGGGGUAGUGGUGCGGCCAUCGCGCCGCACUGAAGGAUGCAGGGACGAGGCCUGCUGCUUGUUCCCCCUAGGCCGGUGGCGGCAUUGGCGGCAGGCGACGGGGAACGAUGGGGGCGAUCGCCGACGGGCGCCGUCUGGGCGACGCGGGUGGCGAGAGCAGCCCGACGCUCGGCGCGAGCUCGACGAGCGUCAGCCAUGGACACGGUGGGAGAUCACAUGCGACUAGAGGAAGAAAGAUUCCGGCGCACCCCCUACCUGGUGCGCCAAAUGUCGGAUUUCGGGUACCGGCAGAUCCUUGAGUUUCGAACACUGGGGUGCGCAUGAAGAUCUUUCCUGUACCAGCUCACACGUCGAAGUCUCGGAAGGAUCUAGGCUAGAAAGAAGAACGCACAAGGGACGCAAGAUUUAUACUAGUUUAGGCCACCAUUGUGGCGUAAUACCCUACUCCAGUGUGUGGUGUGGUGGAUUGCCUCAGGGGCUGAUGAUGAACAGUACAAAGGGAGAACAGCCUCGCGAGGGUCUGUUCUUGAGCUGGUGCGAUGAACUGCUAGGGUGAGUUCAGUCGCCUCUCUUUAGUCUAUGCGUCUUCUUGAGAUAGAUGCUCGAUGCGAUCCCUAGAUGCCUCUACCCUGUGGGUGGCUAGUCCUAUUUAUAGAUGGAGGCCCUGGGCCUCUUCCCAAAUAAUGAGCAGGAAGGGUGCCAACACUUGGUCAUUUUGAAGGGGAACAUCUAGUACACUUAUCCUGACUAAAGAUGGUCUUCGGCUGCCAAAGGCUCUGACGAUGACACCGUCCUGGGCUCCACGAUGACCUCCAUCCUGUUGUUCUGCUGGUCUUGGUCUUGUUGCACCGAAACGAUAACCUUUGCCUGAUGCCUCGGUCUGUGCUUGCCCCCUUUGCACCGAAAGGGAAACAAGGACACUACGUAGGCCGGCGCCCGCCUGGUCUCGAUCAUCAUGGCUUGCGUCACAGGAUCCUUGGGAGGUAACCUGCCUUGAUCUCUCCGCCUCCUUGUGAGCCUGCCUGAGGAGGCUGCUCCCGAGGAAGCUUCCUGUCGUCCGCCCCGCGAGGCUUGGCCCCUUGCGAGGGUCUUGAGCUUGAGCUGAUGAAGCUGGGCUGCGCUGGGCCCCCACUUGAGCCACGCCACAGGCCGCAAGCAGGCAAGUCUGGGGACCCCCGUUCCCAGAACGCCGACACUCGUAGCGGAGGAGCCGGCCGCUAGAGGAAGGGGGAGGGGGCGAGGUCGAGGCCGCUGUGGUGCUCGAGGUAGAGGAGGACGGGGCGGCAGAUCGGCCUCGCCUCCGCCAGCAGCCCCUCCUCUGAUGGAGGGCCAUGCCGGGGACAACUCUUGCGUAUUCUUUGUCAGGCUGCGCCAGCCAUCGCGCUGUCGCCUUCGCCUCCCAACUCCAUUUGCGCGGGAGAUGGAGCUAGAUCCUCCGCAGGCGUUGCAGCUGCACAUGAGGGGUUGCGGGAAUAGUGGCACAUGGGCCCAUGUCGAGUUCCCCGCCCCUCCCAUCAUGUAUCUCCACCGAGGGUGGAAGACCUUCGCUCGCCUCCAUAGCCUGACGGAGGGGCUCACUCUCCAUUUCAAACUAAUGGAGAAUGGCCUCCUCUCCGUCAAGAUCUUCGGGCACUUCGGGACUCGCGUAAGGUGUUGCGUGGAGAGCUCUUCUGAUGAUGAAGAUUCCUCCUCGACCGAGAGUGGCGAGGAGGACAACGGCAUCGACGACGAGGCUAGCGGGCGGCACGAUGACGGGUCCGACUAGGCGUCGGGUGCCGCUCCGAGCGGCACCGGCGACCCCAUCAUCCAUGUUGCCGGCACCUUGAACUUCUCGGGGUCGUCUCCUUGGCUGGCUGGUGUUGGCAGGCUGCAGAAGAGGAAGAGGGCGAGUGGCAAGGCCAUCAAGUCGGAGUACGCGGGCACCGACGCCUUUGUCGCGUAUUGACGUCUUGCCGCCUCAUCUUCGAGCUCUGCCUCCGUUGCCGCCAUCACCAUCCAGCCCUUGGACGGCCACCGAGAUGUUCUCUUGGUGUCUUCUGCCACUCGUAGCUCGCCUAGGCACCCCUUUUGCCCUUCUGCUUUCUUGUGCCAUUUCCUGAGGAGAGGGACAAGAAAGGGAUUACGGACAUCUUAUCCUUUUUUGUCUUGUAAGACUUAGGGCCUUUGUUAACAUUAGAACUUGUAAUCCCCCUAUUCAUGUUUUUCAUUUCGUAUGAACUGUACCUGUAUGGGAUGCUUUUUAAUGAAAAAGGGAUGUUUGCCGGGUUUUCCGUUCGCAGGUGGAACCCACGACAAGGAGUGAAUCCUUGUUACCUUUAAGAUAAACGUUUUUCACUCGGCAACAGGCCUGGCCGUACCCCACUGCACUCGACCUUUCUCACGCCCUUGGCGGAGGCAGGGAUGAGGUGGGCUUAGGCUCCUCAUUUCAUUUCCUUGUUGCCGCGACUACGACCAAACUCGGUCCCAGGGGAUGAGUCCUAGGGUCCGGGAUGAGGGGAGCACGGUAGCCCAAGGAUAAAACAUGGUUUCACAUACCUCGGUCCAUAACGAAACGCAUGAUAGAGGAUAGGAAACUUUUCUGGAUCUGCAGCCCCCGACAACUUUGGCUUGCCGGGGCCCGGACGCCGGUCCGUCCCCUUUCUUCCAAAAUAGCUCGGCAAGGAUAUUUAUGUGCCCUGCGAACCAAAGAAGACAGAGAAGAACAGAGAGACGCGCACUCGACCUCUAAGCUAGGGGUUAGCCGCCGCUAAGCACUAUCAACCCUAACCAAGGAAGAGACUCAACCUAGCAUGCAUGCUAUAACUUAGGGCGCCAGCGCUUCGUUUAUUUAUGCUGAGGGUCUGCGCCUAGCUUUGUACAAAGGGUUACAUGCCUUGCCGGCAAGGCUUGUACAAAAGGGUGGCUUGCCGGGAGGCCCAGCAGCCGCGCCUUAUGGGUAAAACUUGCGGAGAUGCUCGAUGUUCCAGGAGUUGCUCACUGGAACGGCAUCUUCGGUCUCCAGCCGGACUGCGCCGGGCCUGGUGACUCGUGUCACCUGAUAAGGGCCUUCUCACUUCAGCGUCAACUUGUUGGAAUUCUUGGCCGACUGAACGUGCCGAAGAACAAGGUCGCCUUCCUCAAAGCUCCGGGCAUGAACCUUGCGGCUAUGGUAGCGGCGCAAGGCUUGCUGGUAGCGUGCUUCUCUCACAGCCUCCCGGAGACAAUCUUCCUCAAGGAGCGUCGCGUCAUAUUGCCGCAAUCGCUCUUGCUCAAGCUCAUCAUAAGCGAGCACUCGAGGUGACCUGUAUAUGAGUUCUGUGGGGAGAACUGCUUCUGCCCUGUAAAUCAGGGCAAGGGGUGUCUGGCCGGUGGCUUGAUUUGGUGUCGUUCUGAUCGACCAAAGAACCGCCAGCAACUCAUCAAUCCAGCGCCUUCCACUCUUGCGCAGCCUAUCAAUAGUCUUCGUUCUUAAGCCUCGCAGGACUUCAGCAUUUGCUCUCUCCGCUUGGUCGUUGCUUCGUGGAUGUGCCACGGAAGCAAAAUAGACCCUGCUGCCGAGAUCCUCAAUGUACUACAUGAAGGCAUGGCCUGUGAACUGUGUGCCGUUGUCAGUGAUGAUCCUAUUGGGCACCCCAAAACGACACAGUAGUCCCUUGAAGAACUUGAUGGCUGACUGCGCUGUCACCUUCCUCACUGCUUCCACCUCUGGCCACUUUGUGAACUUGUCGAUCGCGACGUACAAGUACUCAAAGCCCCCGACAGCACGGGAGAAAUGGCCCAAUAUGUCGAGCCCCCACCGAGAAGGGCCAGGAGAGAGGGAUAUUUUGAAGGGCUUGAGCGGGUUGAUGGAGCUUCUUCGAAUGGAACUGGCACGCUUCACACUUGGUUACUAGUGCUGUCGCAUCCUGGAGGGCGGUGGGCUAGAACCUUGCCGGAAAGCCUUGGCAGCAAGGGCCCUCGACCCUAUGUGGGAGCCACAUAUGCCUCCAUGUAUCUCUGCCAACAGCUCUAAUCCUUUGUCCCGGGAGAUGCACUUCAAUUUCACCCCAUUCAGUCUUUUUCUGUACAAUAUGUUAUGAACGAAUUGGUAUAGAGCAGACCGACGGGCUACUCUUUAUGCCUCUUCCUGCUCCUCAUAAAGCUCUCCUUUUUGAAGGAAUCGGACGGUGUGUUGCGCCCAUGCCGGAGCCUGUGGCUCAACGACAAGGACCAAAGGCAUCUCUUCUGCCACGGGAGCGGCCGCCUCCACGGCCAUGACCUAAAGUCCUGCCGGAGUCGGUUGCCCCGCGGUAGGAUCGGCAUCCACGGCAACAUCUUCGCCGGCGGCUCCGGCGAGCUCGGUGGGGAAGUACUUGCUGGGGCCUAGCUUCCUCCGCUUGUUCUGCCAGGCUGACGGCUCAAUGGAUGGUUGAGUUAACUGAAGUACAAAAGUACCUGGUUCCAUAGGUAGCUUGAGGGCAGCGCGCUUUGAAAGGUAGUCGGCGAUGUCGUUCUCCGCCCGAGGGACAUGCUCCGCUUGUAUACCGUCAAAGUGCUCCACCAGUUUCCUCACCUCAUGUACGUAAGCUUCCAUCAACGGGCUUUGAUAAUCUUUGUUGAUCUGCCUGGCGACGAGCUGUGAGUCACCCCUGACGAUGAGCUUUUUAACUCCGAGGUCUGCCGCGAUCCUGAGACCAGCAAGCAAACCCUCGUACUCGGCAGUGUUGUUGGUUGACAUCUCCCAGGGGAAGUGCAUCUGCAUGACAUACUUGAGGUGCUCUCCGGUGGGUGCGACAAGAAGCACACCAGCACCAGCGCCUUGCAGCGAGAAGGCACAAUCAAAGUACAUGAUCCAGUUGCAGCUCGUUUCCUUGCCGGGGAGAGUGGUCUCCUAUAACUCUUCGUCGGGCGUCGAGGUCCAUUCUGCAACAAACUCCGCCAAGACUCUGCUCUGAAUCGUCGAGGUACUCUCGAACUUCAAACCGAAACUUGACAGCUCUAGGGCCCAUUCCACGAUCCUCCCCGUUGCAUCUGGGUUAUGCAGUAUCCGUUGCAAUGGGAGGCAGGUGAUCACCGUGAUCUCGUGCGCUUGGAUGUAAUGGUGCAGCUUCCUCAAAGCCAUAAGGAGGCUGAAGAGCAGCUUUUGCACACUUGAGUACCUCGACCUAGCCCCCUGCAAGAGGGAGCUGACGAAGUAGACUAGGCGUUGUACCAUUUUCUUCUUCUGCGCCUCUUCACCCGGUCGUGCGGGUCCUGUCAUACUAGUGCUAGUCUUGCCGGGACCGAGCCCUGCCGGGGACUCACUCUUGCCGGGACCGAGCCCUACCAGGGAGGGUUCUGGCCCACCAACCAUUGACUCUGCCGCUGCUGCUGUCUCCUCAUCGACCUCUCUCUGCGCCACUAGUGCGGCGCUAACCACCUGAUUUGUUGCCGCUAGAUUAAGCAGCAACGGUUCUUGUGGUUUGGGCGCAACCAGCACUGGGGUAGAGGAGAGGUAUUUCUUCAAAUCUUGCAGCACUACCGAGGGAGUCCUGGAUUAGGGGGUAUCCGGAUAGCCAAACUGUAUACAUUGUCCGGACUAUUGGAGCAUGAAGAUACAAGACUCAAGACUCCAUCCCGUGUCCGGAUGGAACUCUCCUUUGCGUGGAAGGCAAGCUUGGCGAUCCGGAUAUUGUAUUUCCUUCCUUGUAACCGACUCCAUGUAAACCCUAGCCCUCUCCUGUGUCUAUAUAAACUGGAGAGGUUGGUCCUUAGAAGGUGAUCACAAUUACAAUCAUAAUCAUCAUAGGCUAGCUUCUAGGGUUUAGCCUCUACGAUCUCGUGGUAGAUCUACUCUUGUACUACCCAUAUCUUCAAUAUUAAUCAAGCACGAAGUAGGGUUUUACCUCCAUCGAGAGGGCCCGAACCUGGGUAAACAUUGUGUCCCUUGCUUCCUGUUACCAUCAGCCUAAGACGCACACAUCGGGACCCCCUACCCAAGAUCCGCCGGUUUUGACACCGACAUUGGUGCUUUCAUUGAGAGUUCCUCUUUGUCGUCGCCACAAGGCUCGAUGGCUCGUCUUGUUGUCAGGGACAACAUUACCUCUGGGGGAGCUCUGGCUGUAGGCCAAACUCUCCGACUAGGCGGCUUCAUCAUGGCCACCCCAUCGGGUGUCGCACCGACGAUGGCCUCUCGAGUCAUCUCGCAUAACCUUCGCAUCAAUUCGGAACUCGCCGAAUAGAUGGAUCCGAUAGAGCUCUCCUCCCUUAAUGAGCUCUUGGAUCGCAUCGCCGCUUUGGGAGUCGCUACGGACUAUGACUGUAUCGGGCUUAAACCCAACCAAAGGGACAUUAAAUCCUCGCCGGCCACCCAUGAGAUAGCGGUAGUGGAGGAACCACACAAGGAUUAUCCCUCUAUUUUGAGGACGAAUUAUGUCCGGAUCACCGAGCUCCUUGAGCCGGACACCCGCUCAAGGGAAGACAUGACCCGGGUCCCGGACUUAGAAUCGGGCAUUGGGCCAGAGAAAUUGGGCAGCACCCUGGAUCCCCAGCUGUCAAACUCAGAAACUCCCAUGCCCCCGGGUGCUAGGUCGGAUCAGAAUCCGGAUUCAGCUAUUCUCAGCCACACGGACUUAAAUCGUCUCUCCCAUAUCAGGCAAGAGCCCCAGGAGAUAGUGCAUCGUUACUGGGCCAGAUUCCUCCUUGUGCUAAACAAGGUCAAGGACUGCAGCGAGGAGGAUGUAGUCUCACUUUUCUGCAAAAACUGCACGAACAAAGGAAUCCUUAAUGCCAUAAGUCGCCGUGACAUAGUACACUUUGCGGACUUGGCAACCAUAGUACAGAAGUACUGUGCGAUGGAAAGCGCCUGGAAAACCCAAACAGAAUUUUGGGAUAGUCCGGCUUUCACCAAAACCUUUAUCCGAACUAAACGGGCGAACUCUCGUAUGUCGGCCGAUCCAAACCCCAAGAAACCAAAGCCCACCCUAGGGUGGGGAACCGUAUUGGAAGAAUGGCCCAAUGGGCCAUGUGAACUCCACAGCACUCCGGACACAACACCAACUCAUAGCCUUAGGGCAUGUUGGAUACUCCGUCAGGUUGCAAAAAGUGGCGAGGAUCUUCUUGUAAGCCAUAAAGCAGAACAACAUCCUGCCAACAAACACAAUACGGUACAAACAGUCUUCGAGACUUUUGCCUCAAACAAUAGGCGCAAGCGAGCUCAUCGAAGCUCCGCUGAAAUUUGCCAUGUGGCAAAAAUAAACCCCUGGAAUGACCCUACUAUAACUUUCAAUGCCAGUGAUGAACCUCAAUUCCAGACUGUCCAGGCACCAGCCGCUCUGGUCCUUAACCCAAUCGUGGACGGCUUUCGGCUCACUAAAGUACUCAUGGACAGCCAAAGCGGAUUAAACUUGAUCUAUGAAGAAACACUCAACAAGAUGGAAAUUGAUAGAAGCCGCAUUGAACAAAGCGGCACAACCUUCAGGGGAAUUAUCCCUAGUCGGGAAGUGCGGUGUGCGGGAAAAACCACACUCGAUGUGGUAUUCGGCACCCCGGAGAAUUAUAGGUCUGAAGAAAUCACAUUCCAAGUGGCUCCUUUUAGCAGCGGAUACCACGCCCUUCUAUCGCGGGACGUGUUAACAAGCUUUCAAGAUAUACCCCAUUACAGGUACAUGAAGCUUAAAAUGCCCGGACCCAAUGGAAUCAUCACUCUAGCUAGUGAUCCGGACAUCGCACUUCGCGCCGAAAACAAAACCGCAUCACUAGCCCUGGAAGAAUUAUCCGAAGCCCUAGUAGCCGAAGAGUUAACAACACUGCGGUCCACCGUGGACAGGGACGACGUGAUACUCAACAAGCGACCCAAGUCCACCUCAUUUAAACCCGCAGACGAGAUAGUGAAAUUCCAUGUCCAUCCAACGGACCCCACGAAGAUAGCUUCCAUCGGGACACAGUUGAGCCCCGGAAUGGAUGUCGCACUGCGAGAUUUCUUACGCGAGAAUUGGGACAUUUUCUCCUGGCACCCAUCGGACAUGCCGGGCAUCCCACGCAGAUUGGCCGAACACAGCCUCAAUACACUAAAAGGAUACAAACCAGUCAAGCAGACUCUAAGGCGGUUUAUAGGGCCCAAACGGCAAGCCAUGGGGGAAGAGCUAGCCAAACUACUCGAGGCCGGAUUCAUCAGAGAUAUCAAGCGUCCGGAUUGGCUGGCAAAUAUGGUAAUGGUACCAAAGAAGGACAAAUCCUGGCGCCUAUGUGUCGACUUUAAAGACCUCAACAAGGCUUGCCCCAAGGAUCCUUUUCCCCUCCCUCGCAUCGAUCAAAUCAUCGAUGCCACAGCAGGACACAACUCGCUGUGUUUCCUCGACGCAUACUCCUGAUACCAUCAAAUAAAGAUUGUAGAGUCCAACCAAGCCGCAACAGCUUUCAUAACGCCAUAUGGCCCUUUUUGCUUCAACACUAUGCCUUUCGGGAUGAAGAACGCCGGCGCAACCUACCAACGCAUGAUUCAAACAUGCCUGGAAAAGCAAAUCGGCAAAACAGUGGAGGCAUAUGUGGACGACGUGGUCAUAAAAACAAGACACGUCGAAACCCUAAUAGAUGACUUGAGGCUUACAUUCAAUAACCUCCGGACAUACGACAUCAAGCUGUACCCGGAAAAAUGCGUUUUCGGCGUCCCCUCGGGGAAACUACUCGGCUUCAUUGUUUCCAACAGAGGAAUUGAAGUGAAUCCAGCAAAAAUCCGAGCUCUGUCAUAGUUGGCUAUACCAACAGACCUCAAGCACAUCCAGAAACUAGCCGGAUGUGUGGCUUCUUUAAGCCGCUUCAUCUCCAAGUUAGGAGAAAAGGCAUUACCUCUUUAUCGCCUUCUUCGGCGCACUGAACACUUCGUGUGGACGGAUGCAGCCGCGGCCGUACUGGAUGAAAUAAAGACCUUAUUGGCCAGUAAUCCAGUCCCAACAGCGCCAAAUAUUGGUGAACCUAUGCUGCUGUACAUAGCUGCAACACAUCAAGUUGUAAGUGCUACGUCUCGAGCUUGCGUUGGUUUUCCCCGAAGAGGAGAGGAUGAUGAAGCACAGUAGCAUAAAUAUUUCCCUUAGUUUUUGAGAACCAAGGUAUCAAUCCAGUAGGAGGUCACACGCAAGUCCCUCGUACCUGCACAAAACAAUAGCUACUCGCAACCAACGCGAUUAGGUGUUGUCAAUCCCUUCACGGUCACUUACGAGAGUGAGAUCUGAUAGAGAUAAUAUUUUUGGUAUUUUUGGUAUGAAGAUGCAAAGUUAAAAGUAAAAGUAAAGCAAGUAAAUAAAGUUAUGGAGAUUGAUAUGAUGAGAAUAGACCCGGGGGCCAUAGGUUUCACUAGUGGCUUCUCUCAAGAGCAUAGAUAUUCUAUGGUGGGUGAACAAAUUACUGUUGAGCAAUUGAUAGAAUUGAGCAUAGUUAUGAGGUUAUCUAGGUAUGAUCAUGUAUAUAGGCAUCACGUCCGAGACAAGUAGACCGAAACGAUUCUGCAUCUACUACUAUUACUCCACUCAUUGAUCGCUAUCCAGCAUGCAUCUAGAGUAUUAAGUUAAAAACAGAGUAACGCCUUAAGCAAGAUGACAUGAUGUAGAGGAAUAAAUUCAUGCAAUAUGAUAAAUACCCCAUCUUGUUAUCCUCGAUGGCAACAAUACAAUACGUGCCUUGCAACCCUUUAUGUCACUGGGUAAGGACACCGUAAGAUUGGACCCAAAGCCAUGCACUUCUCCCAUUGCAAGAACUACCAAUCUAGUUGGCCAAACCAAAUGGAUAAUUCAAAGAGACUUGCAAAGAUAACUCAAUCAUACAUAAAAGAAUUCAGAGAAGAUUCAAAUAUUAUUCAUAGAUAAGCUGGAUCAUAAACCCACAAUUCAUCGGUCUCAACAAACACACCGCAAAAAGAAGAUUACAUGAAUAGAUUUCCACGAGUGAGGGGGAGAACAUUGUGUUGAGAUCCAAAAAGAGAGAAGAAGCCAUCUAGAUACUAGCUAUGGACCCUAAGGUCUGAAGUAUACUAAUCACACUUCAUCGGAGGGGCUAUGGUGUUGAUGUAGAAGCCCUCCGUGGUGGAUGCCCCCUCCGGCGGAGCUCCGGAACAGGCCCCAAGAUGGGAUCUCGUGGAUACAGAAGCUUGCAGCGGUGGAAUUAGGUGUUUGGCUCCUGUUCUGGUCGUUCGGGGAUACGUAGGUAUAUAUAGGAGGAAGGAGUACAUCGGUGGAGCUCCGAGGGGCCCACGUGGUAGGGGGGCGCGCCCAGGGGCGCCCUCCACCCUCGUGACCGCCUAUGGCGCUUCUUGGAGUAGGGUCCAAGUCUCCUGGGUCACGUUCGGUUGGAAAAUCACGAUCCCGAAGGUUUCAUUCCGUUUGGACUCCGUUUGAUAUUCUGUUUCUUCGAAAUACUCAAAAAGGUAAAAAACAGCAAUUUGGGCUGGGCCUCCGGUUAAUAGGUUAGUCCCAAAAGUAAUAUAAAAGUGAAAAAUAAAGCCCAUUAUAGUCCAAAACAAUAGAUAAAGUAGCAUGGAGCAACCGAAAAUUAUAGAUCGUUGGAGACGUAUCAGGCAUCCCCAAGCUUAAUUCCUACUCGUCCUCGAGUAGGUAAAUGAUAAAAAGAGAAUUUUUGAUGCGGAGUGAUACUUUGGCAUAAUUUCAAUGUAAAUCUUCUUAAUCAUGGUAUGAAUAUUCAGAUCCGAAAGAUUGAAGACAAAAGUUCAUAUUAACAUAAAAAUAAUAAUACUUCAAGCAUACUAACAAAGCAAUUAUGUCUUCUCAAAAUAACAUGGCCAAAGAAAGUUAUCCCUACAAAAUCAUAUAGUCUGGCUAUGCUCCAUCUUCCCCACACAAAGUAUUUAAAUCAUGCACAACCCCGAUGACAAGCCAAGCAAUUGUUUCAUACUUUAACAUUUUCAAACCUUUUUCAAUCUUCACGCAAUACAUGAGCGUGAGCCAUGGAUAUAGCACUAUAUGUGGAAUAGAACGGUGGUUGUGGAGAAGACAAAAAGAGGGAAGAUAGUCUCACAUCAACUAGGCGUAUCAACGGGCUAUGGAGAUGCCCAUCAAUAGAUAUCAAUGUGAGUGAGUAGGGAUUGCCAUGCAACGGAUGCACUAGAGCUAUAAGUAUAUGAAAGCUCAACAAAAGAAACUAAGUGGGUGUGCAUCCAAUUUGCUUGCUCACGAAGACCUAGGGCAUUUUGAGGAAGCCCAUUGUCGGUGUCCAAACCGGCGGAUCUCAGGUAGGGGGUCCCGAACUGUGCGUCUAGGCGGAUGGUAACAGGAGACAAGGGACACGAUGUUUUUAUCCAGGUUCGGGCCCUCUCGGUGGAGGUAAAACCCUACUCCUGCUUGAUUAAUAUUGAUGAUAUGGGUAGUACAAGAGUAGAUCUACCGCGAGAUCAAGGAGGCUAAACCCUAUAAGCUAGCCUAUGGUAUGAUUGUUGUUCGUCCUACGGACUAAAACCCUCCAGUUUAUAUAGACACCGGAGAGGGCUAGGGUUACACAGAGUCGGUUACAAUGGUAGGAGAUUUACAUAUCCGUAUCGCCAAGCUUGCCUUCCACGCCAAGGAAAGUCCCAUCUGGACACGGGACGAAGUCUUCAAUCUUGUAUCUUCAUAAUCUUGGAGUCUGGCCGACGGUGAUAGUUCGGCUAUCCGGACACCCCCUAGUCCAGGACUCCCUCAGUAGCCCCCGAACCAGGCUUCUAUGACGAUGAGUCCGGUGCGCAUAUUUUCUUUGGCAUUGCAAGGCGGGUUCUUCUCCAAAUUCAAUGUACUCGCGGAAUGGUGUCCGACUUCUUAUAAAUGCUACGCUCCUUGGCUUCCACGUCCAAUAAUAGCCAUCUUCCACGUGUCGUACGAAUGCGAAAAGCCAGGGUAUUUUUACAUUCUACCCCCUAGCUGCACGAAUGAGCUGCCCAUAAAGAGAGGCGAGGAUCUAGAUCCAAAUCACACCCUCCUCCUUCCGCGAGUAUUCAUCGGAGCUCCUCUGACCAAAAAUCCAUUCCAUCAUGGACAGUCGACGCGGCUCCUCCUCUCGCGUUCCCAGCCCUCAGCCAGGAGAUUGGGGGAGAUGCUCGGUCCCGCAUAGUGAGCUUAGUGACGCUCCAAGCUGAGGGAUUUCUUCCCCCAGCCUUUAUGGUUCCGGUUCGAGCCAGACUUGCCACCUACAAGGGCGGAAAGCAGGCGGAGACCAUCCCCAAUCCCUCCAAAGGAGAGCGGGUAUGCUUCGUCCCUUAUCUAAUAAGAGGACUCGGAUUUCCCAUACAUCCGUUUCUCCGGGGGAUCCUGGAGUUCUAUGGGCUCCAGCUUCACCACCUUACGCCUGCCUCCAUCCUGCACAUAGCGGGCUUCGUGGCCCUUUGCGAGCUGUUCUUGGGCGUCGAGGCCCAUUUUGCGCUGUGCAAGAUAUUAUUCUGCCUCAUACCCCGUUCUCAUGAGGGGUCGAUAUAUAAAGUGGGCGGAGCCGAACUAUGGCGCAUCACCGGGACCGGAUAUCUAUCCGGAACCCCGAAGAAGGCGUCCGAAGACUGGCCUUCAGAAUGGUUUUAUAUGGAAGACGCCCCGCUACCGGACCCAGUUCGGAUCGGCCUCCCGGAGUUCAGCAACGCUCCUCUGAAGAAACGCCUGAGUUGGCGCCCGCGGAGCCAUCAACGGGAGAAUGAUAGGGACGUCCAAUAUCUGAUGGGCCGAAUAAGGUUAUUGGCUCAUUCCGGAUUGACCAUGAUUGGGGUCAUGGCCACAUGCAUUAUGCGAGGGGUGCAGCCGCUCCAGUAUAGGGGCCACCCCAUGUGGGAUUUCAACGGGGAGGAUGAUGCCACCCGUCAUGGCCGCAAGGGGCCGGGAUCAGUCGCCGAUCUGGUGAAGAUCCUGUCCAGCCUGUACAAAGGGGAGAAGGAGGACUUCCUCCGUGCUAGUCCAUUGAAUGGAUUUUCCGUGAACAACCCUCGGAGCUGGGUAAGCGGACAUUCGUCUAUCCGAUCCAUAUUCCCAAAGUUAAGUGCCUCACUCUGUGAUUUCGACGCAGGAACUGCGCCGGGCCGUAGAGGAUAUAAAUAGCCUGGCUCCACAACAAGAGGAUCCAGGACGAUCCCUCGAUCCGGCCUCCGAAGAGGAUCCGGACAUAAAGGUGGAGCUGAUCGAUGGGGUGUUCCACCAACUUAGCAUCGACAAUGCUUUGGUCGCCAUUACGACCGACUACUCCGGAAUAUCUCCGGCUUCCUAGGUAACUGUGACCGGAGUCCUGAUACCAUUAAUCAUCCACGCUUAUCUCUGACCACCGUAUACCAAUGGUGUUCCGCGGGAGGUGCCUUCGAGGCGGGAAGCCGAACCCGCGGCGGCUGGCCAACAAGGGGCAGCUCGGCCCAGCAGGCGGAAAAGAAGUGCGGCGCGGAUCGAGACGUCGCCGCAAUGGUAUGGCGCGUCACCAUGUUGCCAGGAAAGAUUCCUGGAAGGCAUAUAAACGCUUGAGAUUUUUUCAGGAGAAAGAGCGCUCGUCGGACUGUGUCCGGAGAGAUUGCCAAUCAAGCCUCCGCCAGCCAGGCUCCAACGCCAGGUCCGGAGGGGGAGGCGAACGCAAGGCGCGCGUCGGGUGUUCCUCCAACGGAGGAUGCCGACAGGUUGUCCGCCACCAGAUCUGAGGUGGAGAGCGCCAUGAAUCACAGGUACCGUCGGACAGUUCUUCAUGACGCAUGCUUCUCCCCGGAGGCGUUAAAUGCCUUUAAUUCGGGAGAUGCGCACCUCCAUGCCGCUCAAGAUGGUCUAGCCAGAGCCACGGAGCAGUAUGUGAAAGACAUACGGGUGAGGACUUUUGACAGUUAUAUAUGCCAGUAGCCCCCGAGACUUAAAGUAGUUAGAAUAACUGAGUUAAGGAUCAUUUGUUAUGCAGGAUCUUACGGAGAAGAAUACCCACUUGUCCCAGGAGCUUCAAGAGUGCAAGGCCCAACUUGAGGCCGCACUAGCCGCCACAGGGGGAGCCACAGAGACCCCCUCCGGUAAUAUAUAUUUUUGAAAGAUAAGUAGUUUGUGAAGUGCGGCGUGUGCAUGGGUCUGACAAUAAUAUUGAAGAUGGUGCCGGACUAGAUCCGGACAGGCCGCAACUACUACGCCAGCUAAAGGCCGGCUAGAAGGUUCUUACAAGGGUGCGGCUGAAAGUGCUAGUAUCGACUAGAGGGCGGUGAAUAGGCGAUUUUUAUGAAAGUCUUCAAAACCUGGAAGUUUCGAAGACAAACAGUCGAAAUAACCUAAUUGAUAUGCAGCGGAAGAUUAACUACAAUAAGCAAACCAUAGUCAAGUAUGCAAUGAUGUGAAAGUACAAGACUAAUAGCAGCUAAGUAGUAAGGAUCAAGAUGGAAGAUAGUAUGAAGCCAAUCAACGAUAGUAGUCAAGCAAUGAAGUCAAACAGGUACAACAGAUAGGCAAUGACUUCAUGAAGACAAACUCUAAGUAAAGGAUGGGAAGGGAUAGAACCAGUCACUUGUUGAAGACACAAGAUUUGUUGGACCAGUUCCGGUUGCUGUGACAACUGUACGUCUGGUUAGGGAGGCUGAGCUCCAACUCAGAAGACCGUGUCUUCACCUUAUUCCCCUUGAGCUAAGGACACCCAGUCCUCGCUCAAUCACUCUAGUAAGUCUUCAAGGCAGACUUCUGAACCUUCACAGACUUCGUUCACCGGCGAUCCACAAUGACUCUUGGAUUCUCAGAACGCGACGCCUAACCGGCUGGAGGAUUCACAGUCCUCAAGUGUAAUAAGUCUUCAGGUCACACAGACAGAAAGACUUCAGUGAUGCCUAACACUCUUUGCCUCUCGGUGUGUGGGCUUUGUCCUCGCAAGGAUUUCUCUCUCUCAAAGGCUUCGAGGUGGGUUGCUCUCAAACGACAAAAGCCAUGCACUAACUCUGAGCAGCCACCAAUUUAUGGUGUAGGGGUGGGCUAUUUUUAGCCACUGGGCAACCCGACCUGAUAUGUCCGAAAUGACCCUGGGUCACUAAGGAACUGACACGUGUUCCAACGGUCAGAUUUCAAACACACACGGCAACUUUACUUGGGCUACAAGCAAAGCUGACUCAUCCAGCUCUGGAUAAGAUUUGCUCUCAUUGUCUUCGCUUGAAGACAUAGGAUUUGGGUUGAGCAUCACUUCAGUCAUUCUGACUUAGUUCACUUGGACCCCACUUAAUAGUACGGUGGUUCCUAUGACUCAACAAAGAAGAAAAAGGAAACAUCGAAACACACAGUCUUCGCGCUCCGUAGUCUUCCCUCAAUGUCUUCUCAUGUCAUAGUCUUCAAUAUGAAUAUCUUCACAUUCCACCAUUGUCUUCAAUGUCUUCAUACAUUUUUAGGGGUCAUCUCCGGUAGGUAAACCAAAUCAAUUAGGGACACUACAUGCGUUAUCCUGCAAUUCUCACAAACGCAUUAGUCCCUCAACCAACUUUGUCAUCAAUACUCCAAAACCAACUAGGGGUGGCACUGGAUGCACUUACAAUCUCCCCCUUUUUGGUGAUUGAUGACAAACUCGUUGAAGUUUUCAAUGGGGAUAAAGUAUGUGAAAUUGUAAAGGAUAGGGUAUUGUCUCAAUAAGUAGCAAGGGCUCCCCCUGAAGAUGUGCAUAUAAGUAAUUUGCUUUUGGAUGCAAAUGCACAAGGCAGGUUGUACUUGUGGAGAUCCACUUCAACUUAUGAAGAUAAUUCAUAAUGCAUGAAAUGAUAUAGCAAAUAGAAUGACAUGCAUAAUGAAAAAUGGACGUCUGCAGAAUGAUCUAAGUGCGGAAGUUAUCAUCGCACAUGCGGAAUUUAUCAUCGCAUCACAGUAAAACAAAUAAGUAGCAGGCGACCAUCGAGUUUAAGUGUUACAACUCAAAGAACCAAAUGUAUAAAAAGCGAGAGUUGUAAGCACGAGGCAAAAUAUAAAGCAACCGCCCAUAUGAACCCGCUUGAAGACUAUCAAACUCAUAUGCUUCUCCCCCUUUUGUUAGUAAGGACCAAAAAGGUUUGAAGACAUAGAGCAUCUACUCGUCCUCAUGAGUAGGUGAAGCAGUAGGGUUGUCGUUGUUGUUUGGCGGUGCAGACGUACUUGGUGCAGUGUCGAUGCAUGCAGAAGUAGGGGGCGGUGAAGUAGCAUCAUCUUCAUCAUCGAUCACUCUGGCAUUCACAGUUGCCGCGGAGGAAGAAUAGUCAGAGUCUUCAAGGGAUGGAGUUCGACGGAGGACAGCAGUCCGUGGAGGACUGGAGUCAAACUUGAAUCUUUUAGUGAAGCCAUCGUCUUGAAGAUCUGCUUCAGCACUAAGGAGCGUCAAACUCUUCCAUGAUCGCCGACACGUCUCGUGUGCGACAAAUGCAUUCUUGGUGGCAAGAUUUCGAAUGCGAUUGACGUCCACCAAGAGGCUUUGCAUCUAUCUCUUGAGCCAAUAGUGAUGCUUAUCUUGUUUCUGAUGAAGGUCCAAAAGAAGUUCUCGGUCAUUGAGAACGUGAGAGCGCUUCUGAGGCCUUUGGGCAAUGGUGCUUUCAGUAGGUUCAGUUUGUGCACGAUGAGGCAGACAAGUGUUCCCAGCCAUUGGAUAGAUGCGUGUUACUGCUUGGACGCCUUCAAUGGGUUGAGUGAAGCUCUGGUGCUCAACAUUUUGAAGACAAAGAGGCUUCUUGGCAGGCUCAGAGUAUAUGGCUUCAACUGACAUAUGAACCUCUGGUAGAAAGAUCAGAUGAUUGCGAGCAGAGGGCUGAUAGUUGACAGAGGAGUGUUGCUUGAUGAGGCGCAUGACCCAUGGAGCAUAGAAUUUCAUGCCAAAAAGGUCAAAUCCAGAUGCAGCAAGUUGUCAGAUGAAGAAUUACUGGGAAUUGAAGCUGAUGCCAUUGAGGAUGUAAAAGACCAAAGUCUUCAUGGCUCCUUCAACUUUGGCCACUGAUGAAUGCCCUUUGAUAGGCCAUAGAGUUCGCCUGAUGAUGUGAUAUAUUGUGUGAGGCAGAUAGUCAAGGUCAUCAACAAAGAACUCCGUUGGGUAUUCAGCGUUAGAUGGCAAAGGCUUCAUCAUGCUCAACAUCUGGCUCAUGUUGGGUUCUGGCUUAUGGAAGAUGCUCUCCAGUGCAUUGCGGUGUAGUUGACAAUCAGGUUUAUAUAGCUCUCCGGGAGUGGGUAGGCCUGUAAGCUCAAUGACAUCAAGAGCUUUGGCUUCAUGAUGAACAUUUCCUGUCAUCCACUCGAGAACCCUUGUCUUGAUAUCCCUGUUGUAGCCACGAAUGUGGAGGGUAGCAUAGAAUUGAAGCAAGAGUUCCUCAUUCCAAUGUUCUUUGUCUAUCACAAAGCUGAGCAGACCGGCAUCACGAAAACAGUCAAGUGCUUCUUCUAAGCAUGGCAGUCCAACAAUGGCUUCAGUGUCGAGGCGCAUAUGAGGGAAAAUGCGCCCUUGAUCAUACAGAACGCAUGAGUAAUAGCUUCUCUGCUGAUAGCUCCAGAACCGAUCAUAUGAUAUUCUUGGCUUUGUGUAGGGGUUCUUUGCACUAUCAAAGAAGGUGUUGUGGCUUUUGAAGCCAUUUGCAUUGAAGGACCCUGUAGAGUUUGCAGUGCCUGGGAUCCUUGGCAGUCUUGGCUUUGGUUUCCGGACCUGAGGCCUAUGCUCAACAUGAUAAUCAAACUGAGGACCAGAGGCAGUAGGCGGAGGGACCAGAAUGGGCCAUCGGACAGUGGUUAGCUGACCAUGACUGUAUGCUUGCUCAAUUGUAUAGGGCCUUGGUGGCAGAAUUGGAGAAGUGGCAACAGCUGAGGCUUCAGGCUGCACAACAGGUGCUUCGGGAGCAGUUGCCUCAUUGGCUUCUGGCACACUGGUUGGUGCAAGCUCCACAUUAGCUUCAGCCAUGACUACGUCAUUGGCUUCAUUUUCGUUGGUGGUGGCAGCUUCAAGAUUUUCAACCUCCACUUGACGAGCUGGAGGGUCGGGCACUGGCACGUUCACAUCAGGAACAGCUUCUGCAAUACUGGGGGGAGUAGGGACACAUACAUCUUCUUGAUUGUCAUCGGCUGAUGCAGCCGGAUUGUCUUCAGCAGCUUGGGCUUCAGACACAGAGACGUUGACAGUUGGAGUGGCUUCAGGAAACACUUGACGUGCAACAGGUUGCUGAUGCACUUCUCCUUCUAGAACGCUCGAGAGAGGGACUUGAGGCCUUUGUCCUUUGCGAUGCCUGCGGAAUGCUGGCAACGCCUUUGGGGAUGGAGUUGGCUGGGCCUCAAAGUCUUCUUCUUCUUCUUGCAUAGGUGGUAUGACUUGUGGUUGUUGUUGGGGAGUACUUGGGGAGUCUUGUUGCUGUGGAUGAUCAGCCCACGAUGCAUCCUGAGCAAUUGGCGUUAGAGGACGACCAAUGCUGACGAGUUUGUUGUUCGUAAGAACAGGCGAUGAUACCAGGUUGUGUUCGAUUUGAGGAAGAACUUCAUCAUCUUCAACAUUGUCAUGGUGACCAAUGUCUUCAGCAGCGGUGGGUUCAACUGCUAGAAUGUCUUCAGCUUCAUGAGCCUCUGUGGCUCAUGAACUAUCAUCUGUCAUUCUUGGUGUUUAGAUGCAGGGCGAACCACUGAGAUAGGUUCAACAACUAAGGGCUCUGUGGGAGCAGCCUUCUUGGUUUUGCGCUUCUUCUUGGAGGGAGAAGCAUCAGAUGCUUCAGUAUUCUUCCUUUUUCUGGCUUCAGCCUCGGCAGCCCUUGUCUUCUUCUAUUCUGAAGCGGUUGACAUGACCUUUGGCUUUGAGCCAGUCAUGCUGCUUGGGAAGAUAAUGCGAGGUGCUUCCUGACCUGAAGGUGCAGAUUGAGCAGUUGAGAGCUUCUUCUCCUUUGCAGCCAUUCUGGGGUCAAUGCCAGGACGACCAAGAGAUUUGCGCUUCUCAGCCUCAUUGUAGGCCAGCACACAUUUCUCAGCCAAACUCUUCAUGCACUCACAAGAGCCUUGAGCUUCUUCGCGCUUCUUGAGAAAGGCUUCUUUAAGCUCGUGCAGCAUGACCUUGAAGUUUCUGACAUCUUGCACGCUGAGCUUUGCCACAUGCUUCUUAAACUGAGCUUUCUCAUAAUCAAUCUUGUUCUUCAGCUCAACGAUGCACUGAGUGAGAGCUAGCUCUGAAGCAAUGGCGCCUGAAGGAGACGCUGAGGCAAAUGGGAAGUUGCAGAUCUUCAAAGCUGAGAUUUGGGGUGUCAAACCACUUAUCAAUGAAGUUAUGGAUGAUUGCCACAUCAAAGAGAGGCAAAUUAUUGAAGAUCUCUGCUUCUUCCUUUCUCUUGAUCAGUUGCUCAAGGGCAUCAUCUGCAAGAUCUUCAUCGCUGGACAGAUCAAUGGGUUCUUCACGCAGAAUGGCAGCAGGAGUCAAGGUUUGAUCAGUAUGCUUGACGAUUUGCUUUUUCUUCUCCGUCCUCUUGGAGAUACGCGAUUGAUCUUCAGACUGCACACUGUCUUCAGGAGGUGCAGUGGCCAGAGGCUUCGCACGUGAAGCUUUUGGAGGAGCAGCUGAUCUUGAAGCCUUAGGCUUAUUUAGCUUCUGCGGCUUCGAAGGAGGAGCUGGGGCUUCAUCAGAGUCAGCAUCAUUAUCAGAAUGAUCUACUUUGGCACCUUGGACCAAGAUGUAGGUGAUGAGGCCAUCAAGGUUGGAGAAGGGGCCGAUGACAUUGGGUCUGCAUCACGUGAGCCGUUAGCACGGGGAGCAGAGGGACCAGGGUUGAAGUCUAAUCCCAAUGACUUCUUGUUUUCCUUGGCCGAUGCCUUUGCGUGCUGGAAGUUGCGCUUGAAAAGAGUAUCGUCACGACACCAGAGCAAUGAUGAUGGGUCGGCAUUCUCAGGCUGAGGUCCACGGACCAUACAAGGAUAGAAACCCUGUGCAAUAGCUUCAGCUCUGUUCUUGGGUUGAAGGCCUCGAUAGAUAAUAUCACCCCAAGGACCCUUGAUAGCAUUCUUCUCUGCAUAUUCCUGGGUCACGAACUUGUAAUUGAACCAUUCUUCAGCCCAAUAGCGUCGAAUCCAUUGGAUUCGUGUCUUGCGCUGAUGAUAAUUCUCCUCAGGAUCUGUCUUGUAAAGUUCUGCGAGGUCAUCAGGCAAAUCUUUUGAUGUACCCCCAUGCCGUUGUCUGCCACCCUUCCUUACUGAUUUUUCUGUAGCCAUGAACUUCAAACUGAAUGGCUUCAAUAUGUUCAAAGGCUUCAAAGACUUUCGCUUGCUGGUCAAAGAGGAACUGGCUUCGGGAGAAUUAAUGUGAUGCUGUAAGAAUUCUGCAAACGAAUGCAGACUAUGAGAACCAAGGGAUUCUCCCACGGACAUGUACCUAUGACAGCAUUAGAGAUGCGAGGGAAGGGGAGGAGGUCAUAUGCAUUCUAAGCAGAUUUUGAAGAUAAAUCAGUUUGAAGACAUUGACCUCAUGAUGCGAAGACAUUCACUUAUAUGUUGAGAGUUGGUUCCAGAUUUGUACGAAUCCGUGAAUAAGUACAAGUGAGGAAUCAACUAGAUAUGAAGUUUAAGUGAAUACACUAGGCAGUAUGAGAUGCAGACAGAAUAGAUCUAACAUUGUGUAGGCAGAAACCACUUUUGAUAGAUAGGAUGAAUCUUUGAAGAUCAAAAAGGCAGUAAAAAUAGAGUUAUAUUUACCACACGAAGAACUGCUAGAUGGGAUGAAUAGGAGACCGAGCAGUUCAGUCCACCGUGCCCUAACUUGGCGACGGAGGAUACCUUCGGAGACGGCGGAGAGGACGAUUUCCGCGGCCGGCGUGAGGACGACGUCGAAGAAGUUGCGGCAGCUAAGCACUUCGUUGUCGGCGACGUCGAGAGCUAGCAGUGGUGCUAGGGUUUUGAUGAGGCGGAGAGGUGGAAGAAGGUUUUCUUUACCGCAGGGGACAUGUAUUUAUAAGGAAGUGUGCGGCACAACGCAAUUACGCAGGUGCCCCUGGCGGUUCACAUCUGAGGGGCACGUGGCAAGCAUGCAACAUACUUAGAGUUUUCCCACGUUCCCACACCCGCCAGGCAUGUCGGAUGGUUGUUCCGGCUUCUUCGGAUAUAGAAAAUAAAGAUGAGUCACUUAAAACUGACUUAAUGUUUGUCACUGUGUCUUCUGCUGACUAGGACGUAGAGAAGACAUUCGACAGUUUCAAUAGCAUGCAUAUGAUUUGGACAGAUAGAGUUUGAGAUAGAAAGCAUAGAGAGAUUAGGGUCCGAUCACAUUCACUUAGUUCAAAAGAUUCAAAUAGGAAGACAUAGCUAUAAGUGAAUGCUGUAGAGGACAGAACACUAGUGUGUGUGUGUGUCUCUAUAUAUAUAUAUAUAUAUAUAUAUAUAUAUCAGAACGCAAUCAAGUCAUCAUAAUGAAGAAAAUCAUGAAGAUAAAUCGAAACUGAAGACAAACCAAAUGCGAAGUUAUUGCAAAAAUAACUCCAUUAGUGAAACACUUCAAACAGAGAAAUUUGGUGGUGGCGUUACCCACCGUAUAGGAAGUAUUAGACCCAUACACGGCGCACAAUUAUUGUGGCGCUCCGAAGUCAUAUUCCACGUUAAUGUAUUCACACUCAGAGCGUAAGUCUUCAUUGAUUGAAGAUAUACAUUACUUCGUGUGUUGCACAUCUAAGUCAUCAACAUGCAUAAGUGUUAGGAUGUGUGCCUGAUCACAUGACAUUUGAGGAUUCCAUGAUAUUUAGCUCACACCGUAACUUGCAAAACCUUUUCUCAUCCAAGGGCUUUGUGAAGAUAUCUGCUAGUUGCUCUUCAGUGUUGACGUGAAUGAUGUCAAUAUAUUUCUUCAUGACAUGAUUUCUGAGAAAGUGAUGACGAAUUUCAAUGUGCUUUGUCUUCGAGUGCUGGACUAGAUUGUUGGCUAUCUUGAUGGCACUUUCGUUGUCGCAGAAGAGAGGUACUUGUUUCAGAUUGAUGCCAUAGUCCUUGAGAGUUUGCUUCAUCCAUAGAAGCUGAGCGCAACAAGAUUCAGCAGCAAUGUAUUCAGAUUCAGCAGUUGAGAGUGACACAUAGUUCUGCUUCUUUGAAGACCAACAGACAAGUGAUUGACCCAGAAAGUGACAUGUGCCUGAUGUUGACUUGUGAUCCACCUUGUCACCAGCAUAAUCAGCAUCCGAGAAUCCAACCAAAUCAAAUUCUGAGCCCUUUGGAUACCAUAAUCCGAGUGUUGGGGUGUAAGCCAAAGAUCGAAGAAUUCGCUUCACUGCUAAGUGAUGCGAGUCCUUUGGUGCCGCUUGGAAUCGAGCACACAUGCAAACACUAAGCAUAAUAUCUGGCCUAGAUGCACAUAGAUAAAGUAAAGAACCAAUCAUGGAGCGGUAUACCUUUUGAUCGAACUCUUUGCCAUUGUCGUCGGGACCAAGAUGGUGUUUGGCUGGCAUUGGCAUCGUGUAACCUUUGCAGUCUUCCAUUCCAAACUUCUUCAGACAAUCUUUGAGGUAUUUUUCUUGUGAUAUGAAGAUGCCAUUCCUUUGCUGAUGAAUUUGAAGACCAAGGAAGAACUUCAGCUCACCCAUCAUGGACAUCUGCUAUUGUUCUUGCAUCAUGUAUCCAAACUCAUCACUAUACUUUUGGUUGGUGCAGUCGAAGAUAAUGUCAUCCACAUAUAUUUGGCACACAAACAGUUCACCAUCAUAUGUCUUUGUGAAGAGUGUGGGAUCGAGGGAUCCAGGUUUGAAGCCUUUCCUCUUCAAGAAGUUUUUGAUCGUAUCAUACCAAGCGCGGGGUGCUUGUUUGAGGCCAUAUAGUGCUCUGUUUAGCUUGUACACCAUAUCAGGAUGUUUUGGAUCUUCAAAGCCAGGUGGUUGAGCGACAUAUACUUCUUCAAUCUUGCCGUUGAGAAAUGCACUCUUCACAUCCAUUUGAUAUAGCAAGAUGUUGUGGUGCUUAGCAUAGGCUAGCAGUAUGCGAAUAGCUUCAAGCCUAGCAACAGGAGCAAAUGUUUCAUCGAAGUCAAUUCCUUCAACUUGAGUAUAUCCUUGAGCCACAAGACGUGCUUUGUUUCUGAUGACUUGACCAUGCUCAUCUUGCUUGUUUCGAUAUAUCCAUUUUGUACCAAUAAUGUUAUGCUUGCGAGGGUCAGGUCGCUUGACAAGUUCCCAAACAUUGUUCAGCUUGAACUGUUGAAGUUCUUCUUGCAUAGCUUGAAUCCAUUCAGGUUCCAUAAAGGCUUCAGCAACUUUCUUGGGUUCUGAUAUUGACACGAAUGAAAAAUGCCCACAGAAAUUUGCUAACUGUGUUGUUUUUGAGUGAGUGAGUGGACCAGGUGCAUUGAUGCUGUCAAUUAUCUUCUCAAUUUAUACUUCUUGCAACACGAGGAUGAACUGGACGAAGACUUUGCUCUUGCUGAUCAUUGUCAUCAUUGGGAGGAUUGUCGUCGGUCUGAGCAUUGUCUUCAGGUUGGUUAGGUGCAGAAAUGAUAAGUUCCUCUUCAGGCUGUGCUUCAGAAGGCAUGAUUUCACCAGUUCCCAUCAGCUUGAUUGAUUCGCUGGGUGAAGCUUCGUCUAGUGUACUUGGAAGGAGUUCUCUUUGUGAACCAUUUGUUUCGACGAUUUUUUAGUGAUAGAGGUUGAAGACUCUGUAGGAGUGCGAGUCCUUUCCAUAGCCAACCAUGAAGCCUUUGUGAGCUUUAGGUGCAAAUUUUGACUUGUGAUGGGGAUCCUUGAUCCAGCACCUAGCUCCAAAUACUCUGAAGUAACAGACAUUUGGCUUCUUGCCAGUAAGGAGCUCAUACGAUGUUUUGUUCAGAAGCUUAUGGAUGUAGACAUGGUUAAUGAUGUGACAUGCUGUAUCAAUAGCUUCAGGCUAGAACUUUCUUGGUGUCUUGCAUUCGUCGAGCAUUGUUCGAGCCAUCUCAAUGAGGGUUCUGUUCUUGCGCUCAACGAUGCCAUUUAGCUGAGGUGUGUAUGGAGCAGAGAACUCAUGAGUGAUUCCCAUUGUAUCCAGAUAAAGAUCAAGUCCGGUGUUUUUGAAUUCAGUGCCAUUGUCACUUCUGAUAUGCUUCAUCUUCACACCAUAAUUGUUCAUUGCUCGAUUGGCGAAGCGUCUGAAGACAUCUUGCACUUCAGUCUUGUAGAGAAUUAUGUGCACCCAUGUGUAUCUUGAGUAGUCAUCAACAAUGACGAAGCCAUAGAGACAUGCAGUUGUUGUGAGGGUGGACUAGUGAGUAGGUCCAAAUAAGUCCAUGUGUAACAGCUCGAAGGGUUGAGAUGUUGUCAUGAUUGUCUUCGAGGGGUGCUUUGCCCUAGUCAUCUUUCCAGCUUCGCAGGCACCACACAGAUGAUCCUUCUCAAACUUGACACCCUCGAUGCCUAUGACAUGCUUCUUCUUGACGAGUGUGUGUAAGUUCCUCAUGCCAGCAUGCCCCAGCCUCUGAUGCCAGAGCUAGCAUUCUGAAGCUUUUGCGAGAAGACACACGGCAAGCUGUGGACCUGCUGAGAAAUCUACCAUGUAUAGAUCAUCUUUUCGAUACCCUUCAAAGACUAGAGACUUGUCAGAUUCCAUUAGUACAAGGAAACGAUAUUUUCCGAAUAGCACAAUCAUGUUCAAGUCACAAAGCAUAUAGACAGACAUUAAGUUGAAACCAAGGGAUUCAACAAGCAUCACUUUAUCCAUGUGUUGAUCCUUUGAGAUUGCAACUCUACCUAGACCCAAUACCUUGCUUUUACCAGUGUCAGCAAAUGUGAUGUGACUCUUGUCGAAUGGACGUAAGGUUGAGUCCAUGAGAAGACUUCGAUCAGCAGUCAUAUGAUUGGUGCAUCCGCUGUCCAUAAUCCAUUCUGAAGCUUUUGGUGACAUACCCUACAGUGCAGUUAGGAGGAUAGGCUUCACAAAGAGUGUUGUGAAGCAUAAGCAUUUGACACACACAAGGAUUAUCACAGCUUAGAUCAAGGUUAGGACUCAUAGCAUGACUGGUAAGCAUUUCAGAUGUCAAAUACAUAAUAAGAAAUUUUAUCAUGCGCCCUUAAUGUGUUUUAGGUCCCUAGCAAUAGCAUCGGACGCCUUUGAUUGCAGGCUAGAGACCUUUCUCUGCAAAAGAAAGUUAAUUCUUCUUCGCCACCCACAUUUUCAGGGGUGGCUUAGAAGCAAUGAGUCUAAGUGCAGCAUCUGAGAAUUUUGGCUUUGGAGCCCUAGCAAAUAGCCUUGUAGGAGAUGAAUGAUACUCAUAUGAAUAAGCAGAAAAGUUCUUAGUUCUAUGAACAUAGCGGUUCGAAGACACACGCUCAUAUUCAUAAGUCUGAGUAUGAUUUCCCUGCAAAACAUUGGCGUUAGGGUGACUCAGGUGAGUCCUAUAUCUGUAUGAAGCCUUUGGGCCAUAUGAAGCCAUAGGUCUGGGGUUUGUCUUCUUCCUUGGUGGUGUCAUGAUGACAUUAACAGGAAGAUCCUCAAUACGCCAUUUAGGUACCCAGAUCUUCUUCAUAGGUGGUCCAUUCCUUUAGUUAGUACCAAUAUACCUGGCAAACACUUCAUCAUUCUGAUUCUUGAAUAGCUUAUAGUUUGCAUCAAAGGAUUCAUCAAUGAUAAUAGGAUUAGCACAGGUAAAGCCAGAUAAGGUGGAUGGGUCCACUGAAGGUUCCUUUGCAGCAACCCAUGUGGUUUUGGGAUACUACUCAGGCUUCCAGUAGGAGCCAUCAACAUUCAUUUUCCUCUCGAACCCAACACCCUCUUUCCUAGGGUCUCGGUUCAGAAUCUGCUUUUUGAGGACAUCGCAAAGAGUCUGAUGCCCUUUUAGACUUUUAUACAUCCCUGUUUCAAGCAAUGUCUUCAACCUAGCAUUUUCAUCAGCAAUAGUAGUGGUAUCUUCCGCAGAGGGGUUAGUUACCACAUCAGUAGUUGAAGACAAUGAAAGAGUAGCAGCAGUGGAACAUUCAGCAACAGAUGUAGCGUUAUCACGCUCAAUGCAUUUUAGACAUGGUGGUUCAAAUUCUUUCCAUGUAACGCUGAUUUGUUGAGCAAGUAAUGAAUCGCGCUCCUUCUGAAGAUCUUCAUAAUCCACUCUUAUCUUUUCAAGGUCUUGCUUUCUUUGAAGACAUUCAGAAGAAACACUACUAGUAAAAGGGCUAUAGAUAGGACUGAUUCUAAUGGCGCACCAGGUAGACAAUGCGCCACUACUAUAUACUAAUGGCGCACUGGCUUUCGGUGUGCCAUUAGUGUGGAAGACACUAAUGGCGCACCAGUCUCACGGUGCGCCACUACUAUUGAUUUUUUUCCCAUUUUUCCAUACAAACUAAUGGCGCAUGAUGACAAAGUGCGCCAUUACUAGUUAGAACUAGUAAUGGCGCACGGCCAAGAUAGUGCGCCAUUAGUAUAUAUAUAUAUUUUUACUUUUUUGCAAACCUACUAAUGGCGCACCAUAUCACAAUGCGCCAUUAGUAGUUUAAACUACUAAUGGCGCACUGUGAUACCGUGCGCCAUUAGUAUACAUAUGUUUUUUUUACUUUUCUGCAAAAAGUACUAAUGGCGCACCACCUGCAGGUGCGCCAUUAGUAACUAGGGUUACUAAUGGCACAGUAUGUGGUGGUGCGCCAUUAGUAACCUGGGACCAACAAGAUAUUUUGGACAGCCCACCUACCCACUCACUUUCCCAACUUCAUUCUCUCCACCUCCUCCUCCAAGCUUGUCUCGGCUGCCUCCUCCUCCUCACCUCAUUUCCACAAUAAAUUCAUCAAAAUUAAGUGGUGAAAUUACCUUUUUUUGAUAGGUAAGUAAGGGGAAAGCUAUCUUCAUGAUGUAGAUCUACAUUUUUUCUCCCUAGCUCGCUCCAACAACGUGCACAUGCACUUUUUGUGGCCUAGCUAGAUCUAUGUAUGUUUGUGGUGUUGCAUGUGUUUGUGGUGUUGCAUAUAUGAUUGUGUUUGAAGGUACCGGUAUUUGAAAUGCGAUAGUUGCCAAUAUUUUGCCCGAAUGUUUUGAUUCAUUUCCGUUUCGGCAAGAAUUUUGGCACUAUGCAUUCUUUUUCGUCCUAUUUUUAGGGAAGAACAUGCCAAAAAAUUUCUUGGUUCUAAAAUAUCGUUUUGCUCUACCCCGCAGGCGACCAUGGUCCAUGAUGACUGAAGGCAUCGUGAAUAGGUUUUUGAGCUCCGCGAAGGCCGAGAUGCUUCAAAAGAACAAGACGGAGAUAAGAUGUCCAUGUCGAAGAUGCAAGCUGAAGAGCCUUAUUGCGGACCCGGAUUCCGGGCAGGUGCGGGACCACCUGCUCUUGUGUGGUUUCAUAGAUGGCUAUCGGUGGCAAGGUGAUGAAGAUGACUAUGAAGUCGUCCAUGGGGGCCGGGCAAGAAAUGAGGAAGGGCAACAAGACAAGUACCACCGCGGUGAGGGCGGGCGAGAAGACGAAGAAUCUCCAGGACAUGAUCACGACGGUGAUGCUAUACACAGUCAUCAUGUAGAAGAUGUCGUAAAUGAUGAUGGAGAAGAUCAAGACGAAGGGCAUGAUCAUGAAGAUGAAGAUGCCGGAGCAGACGACGAUGGAGGCUGGGUGCAGGACCCUCAUAUUCAAGAGCUACUUCUCAAGCAGACGGAUAACGCAAGAGCUGCCGCCUGAGAGAAAGCCGAGCUGGAUCAACUGAGAUAGACGCGGUUACUCCAUUGUAUGAAGGAUGCAGGCUCGAGGAUACCUGCCUGAAAGUAACGCUCACGGCUCUGGAGAUGAAGGUAAAACACAAAAUGACCGACGCAUGCUUCGACGAGAACAUGUCAUUCUGGCACGAACGUCUUCCCAAGGGGAACAAGUGCCCGGCCAGUUUUUAGGAGGCGAAGAAAAUCGUGUGUCCUCUGGAUUUACCGCACGUGAAAUACCAUGUGUGCAUGAACAAUUGUAUCAUUUAUCGGGACGAGCACGCGGAGUCUACCAUAUGUCCGCUGUGCGGCGUCACUUGAUACAAGAAGAGGAAGAAAGCUCCUCAAAAAUCGGUGUGGUACUUUCCGAUCACUCCUCGUCUGCAGCGGUAUUUCGUGGACCCUAAGGUAGCAAAGCUCCUGCGUUGGCACGCAGAUAGGGAGGAGAAGAAGCGGGAAGAUGACGAAAAUGAUCUGGAGAUAAAUAAAAAAGACAAGAUGCUGAGUCACCCUAAGGAUGCGAGCUAGUGGCAAGCGUUGAACUUCGAAUACCCAGAAUUUGGGAAGGAUCCAAGGAACAUCGUGCUGGGCACGAGCACCGAUGGAGUCAAUCCGUUUGGCAGCCAGAGAAGCACACAUAGCACCUGGCCUAUGUUUGUGUGGAUGUACAACCUUUCCCCUUGGUUGUGCAUGAAGAGCAAGUAUAUUCACAUGAGUAUGCUAAUUGAAGGGCCAAAACAACCAGGGAACGACAUCAAUCUGUAUCUAGGGCUGCUGAAAGAGGAGCUAGACACGCUGUGGAAAACGCCAGCCAAUACGUGGGACGCCACAGACAGAGAAUAUUUCCCUAUGAGAGCCGCACUGCUCAUGACGGUGCACGACUAUCUCGGUUACGGAUAUCUCGCGGGCAGGUAGUCCACGGAUUUUCUGGAUGCGUAAGGUGCAUGGAUGACAUAACGUAUCGCCAGCUAGAUAGAGAUCCUAGGUCUUCGAAAACCGUGUUCAUGGGACAUCGAAGGUGGCUUCGCGACGAUGACUCGUGGAGGAAACGCAAGGAUCUGUUCGAUGGUGAAACUGAACCCCGAAAACGCCCGUGUACGAGGAGCGGCGAGGAAAUAGACGAGCUGUUGAAAAAUUGGAAAGACUGCCCACUGCCGGGAAAGAAGCAAAAGGCGCCAGAGCCGGGAAAGAAGCGAAAGGCGCCAGAGCCGCUGCUGAAGGUAUGGAAAACGAGGUCUGUUUUCUGGGACUUGCCGUACUGGAAGAUCCACCGUGUGCCUCACAGCCUUGAUGUCAUGCAUAUCACGAAGAACGUGUGCGAGAGUCUACUUGGUACCCUGCUCAACAUGCCAGAGAGGACUAAAGAUGGGACGAAAGAAAGGGCAGACUUGAAAUCAAUGGGCAUCAGGCAGGAGCUUCACGCUAAUGAUGAUGAUGAUGAUGAUGAUGAUGAUGAUGAUGAUGAGGCGAAGCAGGACACAGAAAGUCGUCGCAAAGGCAAAAAGGCCAAGAAGACCGGAAAUGACUACCCUCCCGCAUGCUUCACUCUAAGUCAGGAGGAGAUCGAGCAGUUUUUCACCUGCCUCCUAGUAGUAAAACUUCCUUACGGUUACGCAGGGAAGAUAAGCAGAUACCUAGACCCAGUGAAGCAGAAGUUCAGCGGGAUGAAGUCUCACGACUGUCACGUGCUAAUGACGCAGAUACUUCCAGUUGCAAUCCGUGGGAUCAUGGACAUGCACGUCCGUGAAAUGCUAUUUGGCCUAUGCAACUUUUUUGACGUCAUCUCUCGGAAGUCGAUUGGCGCGAGGCAACACAGAAGACUACAGGAAGAGAUCGUGGUGAUACUAUGCGAGCUUGAGAUGUACUUCCCGCCCGCAUUCUUCGACGUUAUGGUGCAUCUGCUGGUCCAUAUCAUGGAGGAUAUCAUCCAACUCGGGCCGACGUUCCUACACAGCAUGAUGCCGUUCGAAAGGAUGAAUGGUGUCAUCAAAGGAUACGUUCGCAACAUGUCAUGUCCAGUGGGAAGUAUAGCCAGGGGAUUUCUGACCGAAGAGUGCAUCUCCUACUGCACGAAUUAUCUAGGCAUCGAGAACCCCGUUGGUCUGCCCGUCAAUAGGCACCUCGACAGGCUCGCUGGAUGGGGUCACCGUGAGGGUCACCGCGAAAUGCAUGUCGACUUCGAGGGUCGACUCGCCGACUUUGAAAGAGCAAACCUAAUCGCGCUACAACACAUAGACGUGGUCGAUCCUUGGGUGGUAGAGCACAAAACCUUUAUUGAGAAGACGUACAAUGACCGAGGCCAACAGAGGACGGACGGAGAUAUACUCAAAGAGCACAACUCAUGUUUCACACGUUGGUUCAAGCAGAAGCUUCUGUCGUACCCUUUACAUGAAGAUUCUUCCGCGGAAGAACAACUCAUAUUCGCCUUGUCACAGGGCACCGAGCACAACCUGAUGGCCUAUGAGGCGUACGAUAUCAACGGCUACACAUUCUACACCGAGGACAAGGACAUGAAGAGCGAUGGUUAUCAGAACUCCGGGGUAACGAUGGAAUCCUACACCGGUAAGGACAAGGACAGAUACUACGGAAGGAUCGAGGAGAUCUGGGAGCUGAGCUACGCUGGAGAGAAGGUGCCGAUGUUCCGUGUCAGAUGGGCCAAGAGCGUCCUAAAAGAAGACCGAUAUUUCACCACCAUGGUUAUACCCGAAGCCAAAACCAAGACCGCAGGCAUAAACAUCACCGCGAAAAAUGAGCCAUGUGUAUUGGCUUCCCAAGUGGACCAAUGCUUCUUCAUUACCGACCCGUCAAAGCCCAGUCAUGUUGUCGUGAGGAGAGGCAAAAGGAAGAUCAUCGGAAUGGAUGGAGUAGCCAAUGAGCAAGACUUCGACAAGUACGAUGACCCGAAGAUCGAACAUGACGACGACCAUGAAGUAGCAGCACACACCACAAGAAGAAGCAGGACCACCCUACCUAAAGGACGUCCGUUCCACAGAAGAACUCCAUUUGUGAAAAAGAAGGGCAAGAAAAUUGUGAACAGAUAGCUAGCUAAGAUCGAUUGUAUUUAAAUUGUAGUCUUCAUUUCUCGAUUGUAUUUCAUGGGCACUUCUUGAUAUCAUGAAUUUUUUAAAUUUCAUGGGCACUUUUUGAAUUCAUGAGGACACUUGAUCUCGAUCCCCCUCCAUCUCGAUCUCGAUUCCCCCUCCAUCUCGAUCUCGAUCCCCGCACCCUCCCCCGCUCCACUGCUGCCGCCGAUGAUAUUUUCAAGUAACAAAUUUGAACAUAUUUUUCAAAAAAUUAUUACUGUUUUUAUAAAAAUAUAUUACUAUUAUGAUUUAAACAAGUUUGAACAUAUUUAAACACAAAUAAAUAUAAAAAAUAGCAUUUAAAAUGCAUAAAAAAAUAUUGGGGAGCCUGGGGAUUGAACCCAGGACCUCCUGGUGUGUGUGCUGCGUGCUGACCAGUCGGGCUAGUGUGUGGGUUCUGUUGUAGAUAGGGUUAGGUGGUAGAUAGGGCUAGUGGGCUAGAUUAGAACAAAAUUCUAAUGGCGCACCGAGAGCUGGUGCGCCAUUAGAAUAGUCGUACUUAUGGCGCACGAGAUGGUGGUGCGCCAUUAGAAAGUUUCCCCCUACACUAAAUCCCUAAUCUCUCCUGCUNNNNNNNNNNNNNNNNNNNNNNNNNNNNNNNNNNNNNNNNNNNNNNNNNNNNNNNNNNNNNNNNNNNNNNNNNNNNNNNNNNNNNNNNNNNNNNNNNNNNNNNNNNNNNNNNNNNNNNNNNNNNNNNNNNNNNNNNNNNNNNNNNNNNNNNNNNNNNNNNNNNNNNNNNNNNNNNNNNNNNNNNNNNNNNNNNNNNNNNNNNNNNNNNNNNNNNNNNNNNNNNNNNNNNNNNNNNNNNNNNNNNNNNNNNNNNNNNNNNNNNNNNNNNNNNNNNNNNNNNNNNNNNNNNNNNNNNNNNNNNNNNNNNNNNNNNNNNNNNNNNNNNNNNNNNNNNCGUCAACCUCCCUCCCGAGCGCGACAGCUAGGGUUCCUAGCCGCCGCCACCGCUGCUGGCCCUCCGCCGCGGUGCGCCCAGCCGGCCGAACCCUCCGCUGCCCCGUCUCCACCGCCUCCUCCUCGACGCGCCGCCUCCUCGACGCGCCACCUCCUCGACGCGUCUCUUCCUCCUCGACGCGCCACCUCCUCGACGCGCCUCCUCCUCCUCGACGCGCCGCCUCCUCGACGCGCCACCGCCCGCUGCCUCCUCGACACCGGCGUCCUCCUACGGCAGCCUGCCAUUAUCCCACAGGUGAUUCCUCACCUCUCCCCCCUUGCCCUCCUUCCCCCUAUGGCAGCCUGAAUAAAAUGUACCACUCCCUCGUAUCUGAGAAGUAGGUGAUGAAGCUUUUUGCUUAGGCAUGCUAGUGGGUUCAGUGUUCUUCAGUGUUCUUGCUAAAGUUAACUGAAAAUGUUCAGUGUUCCAAUACUGUAGAGAAACUAUAGUGCCUGUUAUUCAGUUAUGACUCCUUCACUGAAACUGUAGUGUUUGCUAAAACUGAGAUGUAAACUAAAGGAGUUCGUGAUUUGCAGAAGUUGUAGCAUACUCCAACAAGUGAUAAAUGCACUCAAAAGUUCACUAAGAAAAUGCAGAUGCUUCUCACUUGUUACUGAAAGUUUUCUGGAGUGAUAAAUGCAUGCAAAAGAAGUUUAGUUAACUAUUACUGUUGAUGUAUGAAUUCCAACCAGGUCAAUUUGCACAAGCACAUGGGCUAGUAUCAUUAGCAGUGCUGCUGUAAGCAUAUACAGAUUUCUUGAACAGUGCUAUUAAUUACAAAUAGAGCAAUGUUGAAAAUGAAACAAAAGGAAUUGGAAAACCAGAAAGAUAGGAAUUCUGUUGUAAGUAAGCUAAGAUAAAAAAGUGUUUACUUUAAGUAAUUAUUUACAACAAGCAUUGUGUAGGAAAAUGUCAUGCAGGCUGUAACUUGAACUUGAAGAACUCCUUAGAUAGUUUUUUAGUCUCCUUAUACAAAACAAGCUGAAGUUUGAAACCUAUUUCUCCUAAGCAGACACAGAAAAAUUGCAGAUAAGUAGACACUGAAAAUUGCAGCCAUGUCAAAGUGUCAUUUCAUUUGGGAGCAGUAACUAUAAGAAAAGGAAGUGAGUUGAAUUGCAAAAAAAAUGGAAGGUGAAAUGAAAAGAACAUUGCUCUAUGUGAAAACUGUAUGUGCAAUCUACAAAUGUGAAAAACUGUAUGUGCUGUCAUAGGUGUUGUGCUGUCAAAACUAUAUGUGCAAUCUCCAGAACAAUUACGCUUAUGUGAAAACUAUAUGUGCAAUCUCCAAAUGUAUCAUCAUAAUGUAGGUGCUGUGUUGUGUGAUUCUUCAUGCUGAGAACUUCAUCUUUUUCAACUUGCUGGACUAUAUGUUCAUUGGUACUACUUGUGAUGUUGCUGCUGUACUACUUGGGAAUUUUGUCAACUUGAUUAACUUCCGUUCCGGCCCUUGAGUUUGCCGGAAUGCUGAUUAACUUCCGUUCCGGCAAAUUCGGGUACUCCAUAUGUCCUAUUUUCAGCAAAGGUCAUGCUGAAAUUUUCCGUGAAUUUUAAUUAGCAUGACUUUGCUAAAAAUAGGACAUAUGGGGUACUUGCGACUAAUGCAUGGGCCGGGGUAUCUUAGUACUUAAUUAAGUAGGAUCAACUGCCCCUUUAUUCUUGCUGCAUUAAACCAUGGGUGGCAAUAGAGCCAAGUGAUUAGGCCCAACUUAGAAUUCUCCUUAGCAUCGAUAAACCCUAGAUGAUAAACCCAACAUAGGUGGCAAUAGAGCCAAGUGAUUAGUGCCAAGUGAUUAGGCCCAACCUAGGGUGCCUCGGCAUCGAUAAACCCUAAAUGAUGAAAACUUAACUUGGCUGCCCCGGAUGCCUCGGUGUCGAUGAGAACCUAAAUGAUGUACGCUUAGGCUUUUAGGGUGCCUCGGCGUCGACAAACCCUAAAUGAUGGAAGCUUAGGCUUUUAGGGUGCCUCGGUGUCGACAAACCCUAAAUGAUGAGACCAUGAUCUUGUUCCGUGACAAUAACCAACUUUUUGACCAAACUUUUUUCCUAUUUAGAGCGAAACAUGGCCCACAACAAUGAGGCCGGUGGUUCGGGUGGCAAGCAAUUCUAGGAGCUGUCCCAGGAGAUGGAGGAACAGCCUCAUCGCUAUGAGGACGCCGCGGAAGACACCGAUCCUGAUUACACAACCCCUAGUGGCGUCGGGGAUGACACCACUGAUGGUGCCGCCGAGGAUGCCACCACUGAUGAUGGCGGCGCACACACAGAUGGCAGCCAAUCGAAGAAGCAAAGGAAGGACCGGCGUCCAAAUGCGCUCCACACUAUCAAGGAGGAAUUCACUCAAGUGGACUCCGACGGGAAUCCAACGGAGCCCAAACAUAUAGUCAAGGGGUACUCGGUUCAGCUCGGGUGCAUUCUCCGGAGCACCAUCUCGAUCAACACCGAGAACCUUAGGCAUAAGGACCGAGGGAAUUUGCGCAACCUCCUCUUCACGAAGCUGCACGAACGAUACAAGUUCCCCGCCGAAUUUGAAAACACACGUCUCUCAGGGGAUAAAGUGAACAGUGCCACCCUCAUGAAGAUGAGCACGGCCCUGUCUACUUGGAGAAGCGCGGUGAAGAAAAUGAUUGAUAAAGGUGAUAGUUAUGAGAAGAUCAAGGCGAAAUAUCCUUUGAUGAGCGAAGAUGAGUACAAGGAGUUCGAGAUCAAGUGCUCGAGCAGUGCAACCUCCAAAUCAAGUCAGUGGGGGAAAGAAAUGCGGGAGUUGAACUUAGGGGAACACAAACUCGGUCCCGGCGGUUACAGAGUGGCGGAGCCUAUAUGGGACAAGGAGGACGCGGAGCGUGCCGAGCAAGGCCUACCGCCCCGCUUCGAGAAAUACAGCGGUAACAAGCAGAACAGGAACUAUGUCAGGGCCCGGUACAAGGAGGACCCGCUAACAAAGGAGCUUACCACAAAUCCAAAGACCAGGGUGCUUGAGCUUGGUCUGGUAAGGAAUACACCCCCGCGUAAUUAGCUCCAUAUGGUUGCACUCUAUUUCUAAAUGGUUCACGUUCCUUUCACAGGACACUGAAAGCAGUAGCGCGGGGUCGUCUCACAACUCCCCUUUCGACACCCCUUUAAAUAGGGCGUUGCACAUAAUGAAAAACAAGGAUAAGCUCACUAAGCCGACGUCAGCUGGUCGUGUGGCCGGCAAAGGCUUGUCCACAAAAUGGGGGUCAUACUAUACCACUGGUGUGUGGAAGGAGAAAAAGGCCAGCUCGGAAAGCCAGACGCGCGAGGUUGAAGCACUCAAGGCAGAAGUGGCGCGGAUUCCGGAGCUUGUCCAAGAGCAAGUGGAACAACAACUGGGAAGGAAGCUCAACGCCAUGGUGCCUACGUUGAUUCAUGGGCUGACGACUUGGAUUGCAGGCGGCCAACAGGGGCCUCCCCCGGUUCCCAGCUUCACGGCCAGCAACUCGCACAGCGCGCAGGCGGCGCCAUUGGUGUCUCCGGCGGUGGCGCCAUUGGUGUCUCCGGCGGAGGCGGUAUUCGUGUCUCCGGCGCCGGCACGGGCAUUGGAGCUUAAUGCACCCGGGUGUACGCCGACCGGCACCUCGCCAGCAAGCGCCCCCUCCGUCAGUUGCAUGCUCGCCGUUGGCGGUGCCUCGACAUUAGCCGAGCUCGAUGGCAUCACGGUAACUAAGCCUCUCGGUCAAUGACUUCAUCUCCUUGCCUUUGACUGGGCAUCCCUGACGCCCUGUACAUGUUUUCGCAGGGCACCGCCAACGUUCCUUGCACUCUUCUGCACUUCAUGGGCGCCGAGCUGGUCGAUGUCGCCAAGGGCAGAAUCGUUCAACCGGGCAACCGCAUGUUCCACGGUAAUCCGAUGCCACCCACAAUGUAUAGGUUGAAGUGGUUCGGGUGCUGUCAGGCUCCGACGAGCUGUUACCUCCGGUUCGACCCGCUAGGGCCGACGAAGAAGAUGAGAUGACCCUCAGCGCCUGCGUAAACUGGCCGCUGCUUUGGCCGAAGAGCCAGAUUCGUUUGGGGGCGGGGGACACCACCCCACAGACAAGACCGCCAGUCGUGCCGGCGCCAAGCCAUGGCAAGAACGCCACAACGCUACCGGACCUGCCAGACAUCCCUAUGUCGGACAUACCUAUGGCACAGGAUCCGGACAGCCCUAUGGCACAGGAUCCAGACGACGACGACAACGAUGAAGGUACAUUUACCAAAGUCGAUAAGUACUUUGCCGAACAUGGGUACGCUGACGAGUUCUGCGGGCCUCUUUCUCAAGAACCCAACCAAAACGACCGCAAUCUAGCUGGUACAACGGAGAAAUCCAAUUGCAAUAGGCGUCGUUUGGCAUUCAUUUCUCAGGAGACGCCUCCAGCUCCCGCCUUCACCGAGCCUCAGAUAGCUGAGGUGCGAAAUAUUAUCAGCCCCAACACGCUCAAGAAGGCGGUCUGUGAGCAGAACUCGGUCCCAUUACUGGAGAUCAAGAAGAAGGGACAAAAAUGAAAGACUAACAAGGGCGCCGGUGCGAGCCAGCCAGCACCGAGUAUGAUCCGUGCUCACGACGAGCCACCUUCACCUAAGGAUAUCUCGAGGAGGGUGCAUGUGGCGGGUAGGGCGAUGCUACGGCCAAAUAUGCUGAAUGCUGCAACUGGUGCUAUGCGGAGUCUGCAUGACAGUGUUCUUUCUUUGGAGAAGUGGCGUCUCAGAGAGAAGGAUGUGGCAUACCCGGUUUUCGUGGCCAAGAUGCCAGAGGGCAAGGGCUUUGUCGAUGGCAACAUCGGGGGUUCGAUCGUCCUGCAGUUUGAUGACAUCUUUGCUAUGUUUAACCUUCAUUCGCUGCACUACACCUUCGUUCGGCUGUUUUCGCUAAGUAUGGAGAUGCGGAUCAUUAGAGACAAGACCCCGGACAUCGUGAUAGUCGACCCUUUCUACAUGCAUCCCAAGCACUUGAGCAGCGUUGGGGACCGCCAAGUUGCGAGUUCACACCUCAAAGGCAUCAUUCUGGCAAACCCAGAUAAGGAUAACUUCCUUGUGGCUUACUUUCCCGAGUAAGUCAUCCCUUAACCGCCCCGUAACAUAUGAUUUCUUAGAUUUCGAUCGUUCUAUUUUUUCUAACAUUCCGUGUUCUGUGUAGUGACACACAUUGCACACUCAUCCUCUUAAGCCCGAAAUAUUCCAUGGGCAUGUAUUUCGACCCGAACCGUAACUCCAAGAUAGACUACACAAAUGUCAAGAAAGUUCUUGAUGAUGUUCUCCCCGGCUACGCCAAAUCUGGAGGCACCUUCACCAGGACUGUUCGUAAGUACGGCAAGCACAUGUUCUCACACAAUAUGAAGUUCUGCUACAUCAAGCAGCCGCCUGGCGGUCAGAAGGAUGCCUACUACGCCCUCCAUCACAUGCGGGCGAUCUUAAGGGACCAUCAUCAACUUCUGCUACCAGAUAAUCUCAAAGAUUGGGCCGCGAACUUGUCGGCAAUCCAGGACGCGGACCUCAGACAAGAAUUCUUUCGCAUCCAUUCGGACUUUGCAGACAUCAUCCAUCAAGAUGUCCUUCAUACGUCGGGGCAGUUCUUCCUCAGCUAUCAACCAUCCAACAAUGGGAUAGAUGGAAUGCUACAAAUGCAGGGUGACAACGACCGCUAUUUCAUGACCAUCGCGACAGACGGCGGCUUCAUCCACGCUCCUGUCCGAUGAGUCGAGUCGAAAGUAGUGAUGUGUAGUUCUGAAACAUUGAUUGGCUCAUGUUGUAAUUAAACUUUAAUGAAUUCGUAUGUCUCUUUGGUUUGGACAGUCGUUCAACUUAGAUGUAAUCGAUGCUAUUUAUUAGUAGGACCAUGAAUCGUGCUAUUAAUGUCUUGCUUUUCUCUUCCGAUCCUUUUGUUGCAUACUUACAUAUUGCUUAUGUAUUGUCUGUUGUUUGGCUUGUGCAUAGAGAUGCCGUCGUAUGUCGUGUACAAGGGUAAGGUUCCCGGAGUCUACGACGACUGGGAGGAGUGUCGGAGACAGGUUCAUCAUUUCAGCGGUAACAGUUACAAAGGGUACACCACUAGGGCGGAGGCCGAAUCUAGAUAUGCCCGCUAUCUAGCGGGAGAGAGGAGGGAGCGUUGGAGGAACCGGAUGAAGACCAGUUUGAUCGCAAUGAUGCUCAUCGUGAUGACCACAACUCUCUUCUAUGUGAUGGUAGUUUAGAUGGUCGAUAUCGACUUGUAAUGUGAAGACAAACUAGCUACUCGCGGUCUCGAGACUUGUAAUGUUCUAUCUUUGUUCAGUCUUUUGAAUUCAGAGACUAAUAUGAUGAUUUGUAUUCGGAGACUAAUCUUCUAUUGUAUUCGAUGAAUCUACUGUUGCUGUGUGGUGUUGUCUAAAUUCUGUCCAAUAAUAUAUUUUGUAACCUGUGAAAAUAUCAGAAAAGAAAAAAAAUAAUCCCUAACAUUCAUACUAGUUGCGCACCAUGCAAGACACUAAUGGCGCACUGUGAUAAUCACACUAAUGGCGCAUCAGCCACUGGUGCGCUAUUAGUAUGCCAAAGCACAUGGGUACAUAUGGCCCCCUGGAAAGAAUUCUAAUGGCGCACUAUGGGAAAUACUAAUGGUGCACUACGUGGUGCGCCAUUAGAACACCAGAUACUAAUGGCGCACCAGUGGUGCGCCAUUAGAAUUUAAUUCUAAUGGCGUGAUGCUAGUGGCGCACCAGUAGUGCGCCAUUAGAAGGCAAAACUGGUGCGCCACUAGCAUGCCUUUUCCUAGUAGUGAAAGCUUCUCAUGAUCAGACAAGAGAGCAUUAUGUUGAUCUUGAAGGGCGUCAAACUUGGAACGAAGUCUCUGAAGACUCUCAGCCAAUGCUUUUGACUGAUCCAUUUCUUCACCCAACAUAUCAUCGCUCUUACUAAGCAUGUCUUGAACCCUUUCCAAGACUCUUUGUUGUUUAGUGGAAAGGGAAGCAAGCUUGACAUAACUGGGGCCAAAUUCAUCACCUGAUUCAUCAUCACUAGUUUCAGAGAGGUAGCUUUCAGUUACCUUAUCAACCCUUGCCAUAAGGCAUGGUGAAGAUGAUGGCGAUUCAGGUGCAAAGGUCAUCUCUUUAAGACACUCCUUGUAGUCCUCAAACCAAGGAUCAUGACGGGUACGAUAACCUUCAUAGACCUCAGAAAGAUGGUCCCAGAUUAGCUUCGCAUGAUUGAGGUGCAUGACGUUCCUGAACUGAUUUCGGGACAGACAGGAGCAGAUAACAUCCUUCACCGUGAGGUUCAGUAGAGUGUACUUGCGAAUGUCAUCAGCCUCCGCCAUCUUGCAUAGAUUGGUAAGACCAAUCUCAGUGACGGUCCAUAGUUUGCUGUCCAUAGCCAUGAGUCGCUUCUUCAUCAUGGCCUUCCACCGAGGAUACUCAUGACCGUCAAAGGUGGGGCAUGAUAUGUUCCUCAAUCCUGCAGUCGACAUAGCUAAAAGUCCAGGUAGUUAAACCGAAUCACAUAGAACAAGGGAGUACCUUACUCUGAUACCAAUUGAAAGUGCUAGUAUCGACUAGAGGGGGGUGAAUAGGCGAUUUUUAUGAAAGUCUUCAAAACUUGGAAGUUUCAAAGACAAAUAGUCGAAAUAACAUAAUUGAUAUGCAGCGGAAGAUAAACUACAAUAAGAAAACCAUAGUCAAGUAUGCAAUGAUGUGAAAGUACAGGACUAAUAGCAGCUAAGUAGUAAGGAUCAGGAUGGAAGAUAGUAUGAAGCCAAUCAAUGAUAGUAGUCCAGCAAUGAAGUCAAACAGGUACAACAGAUAGGAAAUGACUUCACGAAGACAAACUCUAAGUAAAGGAUGGGAAGGGAUAGAACCAGUCACUUGUUGAAGACACGGGAUUUGUUGGACCAGUUCCAGUUGCUGUGACAACUGUACGUCUGGUCAAGGGAGGCUGAGAUCCAACUCAGAAGAUCGUGUCUUCACCUUAUUCCCCUUGAGCUAAGGACACCCAGUCCUCGCUCAAUCACUUUGGUAAGUCUUCAAGGUAGACUUCCGAACCUUCACAGACUUCGUUCACUAGCGAUCCACAAUGACUCUUGGAUGCUCAGAACGCGACACCUAACCGGCUGGAGAUUCACAGUCCUCAAGUGUAAUAAGUCUACAGGUCACACAGACAGAAAGACUUCAGCGAUGCCCAACACUCUUUGGCUCUGGGUGUUUGGGCUUUGUCCUCGCAAGGAUUUCUUUCUCUCAAAGGCUUCGAGGUGGGUUGCUCUCAAACGACAAAAGCCGUGCACUAACUCUGAGCAGCCACCAAUUUAUGGUGUAGCGGGUGGGCUAUUUAUAGCCACUGGGCAACCCGACCUGAUAUGUCUGAAAUGACCCUGGGUCACUAAGGAACUAACACGUGUUCCAACAGUCAGAUUUCAAACACACAUGACAACUUUCCUUGGGCUACAAGAAAAGCUGACUCAUCCAGCUCUGGAUAAGAUUUGCUCUCAUUGUCUUCGCUUGAAGACAUAGGAUUUGGGUUAAGCAUCACUUCAGUCAUUCUGACUUAGUUCACUUGGACCCCACUUAACAGUACGGUGGUUCCUAUGACUCAACAAAGAAGAAAAAGGAAACAGCGAAACACACAGUCUUCGCGCUCCAUAGUCUUCACUCAAUGUCUUCUCAUGUCAUAGUCUUCAAUAUGAAUAUCUUCACAUUCCACCAUUGUCUUCAAUGUCUUCAUACAUUUUUAGGGGUCAUCUCUGGUAGGUAAACCAAAUCAAUGAGGGACACUACCUGUGUUAUCCUGCAAUUCUCACAAACGCAUUAGUCCCUCAACCAACUUUGUCGUCAAUACUCCAAAACAAACUAGGGGUGGCACUAGAUGCACUUACAGCGGCAGGAGAAAAAUAACCUCCAAGAUGCCAAGAUCCAGCUGGGCGAGGAACUAAAAGAUGUUCGGGCCCAGCUGUCUGACUCCAUGAAGGAGAAUCGGUGGCUUUGGCGCGUCAUUUAUAGUAAGUGCUUGAACGAACUUUUGAAAAUAAGAGUUCGGCGAGGAAGUCGAUUAACAGGAAUAUGUCUCUAGGUAUGCUCACAGGUCGUCCUGCAGAGGAAAUGCCCGGUUCAACGGGUGACCUACUUCCCAAGCUGCUGCAACUGCACAAACGAGUUCGGCAGGUGCGCCCAGGCCUUGUGGCCGUCCGUCUCCCUGCCCGAAGGUCUUGGAGAGCUUGCAAAGAAGCUUCAGGGAGCACGGCUGCGCUUCUAUCUGUGGAAGAUAUCGGCCUGCCAUCAAGGUGCCAGGGAGGCCUGGGCCAUGGUGAAGACACGGUACACGAAGGCUGACCCGAACCACAUGGCCGAGGUCGGACCUGUGGGGCCCGAUGGGAAGGAGAUCCCUGCGAGCUUAAUGUACGGCCAAGCAGAGUUGGCCGCAAAGUAUUCCCAACGGGACUGUAAACUAGACAGCCUGUUAGAUGGUAUUGAAGAGGAAUACGAUCAGUCAAUUUGACUAUAUAAUUUAAAAUGACAUGUAAAAUACCUUCUAGCCGGAUUGUAGAUCGUUUGUCAUUGCGGACCUUUUCGCUUCAACCUCGGGACCCGGCAGUCCGGAGUGUGUCCGAAUACCUUCGCGGUUAUAAAAAACCGGGGCAUGCAUGGAGACCAGGCGUAGGGGUCAUUAGUGCUUUAUCAAACAAGUGCCCAACUAGUUAUGUUAUAUUACAUGGUUAGUAAGAAACAUCUUCCAGGGAGAAUAGUUCCGUUAGGGGUUCCUUUCCCUAGGAGGCAUGCCCUAAAGUGCAUGUCUGGACUGCAAAAAAAGCAGGAAAGCAUCUGGGGGUAGAUAAAUAAAUAAGUAAAAACUCAUCUUUCAAUUCACCGACCGAAUAUUCCCUUAAGAACGCUAGCUUUUGGCUUCACCCAGUCUGAGGGACACAUCCGGCUGACCCGGCAGUAACAAUCGCAGAGGUGCUCCCUUUACCUCCUAGCCGAACAAUCGGGAACGUAGGGGUAAGCACAGGAGCCAGGCAACCCAGCUUGGCCAAAACUUAAGUCAUAUCGAUGCAUAUAAUGGUGAAUAAAAGGUACAUACGGAAGUGUGACACAUGUGUUGGGUAUAAAGCCGGUAUAAAUAAGCUUCUGUUAAAGAAGCACGCAGGUAUAAUUAGUGCGAGUAGCAUGUCAAGUGUGUGCGAACAAUGCGCAGGCGAGCCACCGAAGGCCCAUGAGAAAGGGGGGGGAAUAAAAGACAGUUAAAGUGUAAAAGAUAGACGGGGGAAGGACACGAACUCAGAGUCCGGCGCUAGGCGUAUAAUCUUUGGAAACGGGCUGCGUUCAAUGGAUUUGGCUCGAGUCGGUUAUUCGAUGCGUUUCGCAGACAGUACACUCUGCCGGUCAGGACUUGGUCGAUGAUGAAGGGACCUUCCCAUUUGGGCUUAAGUUUGUCCUUUUUCUUGUCCGGCAGGCGUAGAACUAGUUCGCCAACAUUGUAAGUUUUGGCUCGUACUUCUCUGCUUUGAUAUCUUCGGGCCUGCUAUUGAUAGAAUGCGGAACGAGCUUUUGCCACGUCACGCUCCUCCUCUAAGGCGUCAAAACUAUCCUGCCGAUCUAGCUCGGCUUCUCUUUCUUCGUACAUGCGUACGCGAGUUGAGUCAUGAAUUAUGUCGUAGGGCAAAACUGCCUCUGCGCCGUAUACCAUAAAAAUGGUGUGAAUCCGGUAGUGCGAUUCGGCGUGGUCCGCAGCCCCCAGAGUACGGAGUCGAGAUCCUCUACCCAGUGCGUGUUAGAUUCCUUAAGGGACCGCACUAGUCUGGGUGUGAUGCCGCUCAUGAUUAGACCAUUUGCUUGUUCGACUUGACCGUUAGUUUGAGGGUGAUAGACUGAAGCGUAGUCGAGCUUGAUGCCCAUGUUUUUGCACCAGAGUUUAACCUCGUCGGCCGUGAAGUUCAUGCCGUUAUCAGUGAUGAUGCUGUGGGGGACGCUGUAACGGUGUACUACCCCUAUUAUGAAGUCUACCACGGGUCCGGAUUCGGCCGUCUUAACUGGCUUGGCCUCUAUCCAUUUGGUGAAUUUAUCCACCAUGACCAAUAGGUAUUUUUUUCUUGUGGGUUCCUCCUUUAAGGGGUCCAACCAUGUCAAGCCCCCAGACUGCGAACAGCCAGGUGACGGGUAUAGUUUUCAGGGCGGUGGGUGGCAUGUGGCUUUGAUUAGCAAAGAGCUGGCAACCGACGCAUCGUUGGACUAAAUCUUGAGCGUCUGCCCGGGCCGUUGGCCAAUAAAAUCCUGUACGGAAGGCCUUGCUUACAAGGGCCCAGCCUAUAGCGUGGUGCCCACCGAGUCCGGCAUGAAUUUCAGCCAGAAGAUUUCGCCCUUCCUCUUCGGAGAUACACCUUUGAAGGACUCUGGUUGUGCUUUUCUUAUAGAGCUCUCCCUCAUGGACCUUAUAGGCUUUAGAUCACCGUACUAUGCGGCGGGCCUCAUUUUGGUCCUCAGGAAGUUCCUGCCUAGUUAAGUAAGCUAGGAAUGGCUCGGUCCACGGGGCAAUGACUGCCAUUAUUUCGUGGGCUGAAGGUGUUAUUUCAUUGGCAGAACCACCGAUUGUGUCAGAAUGUGCGGUGUCGGGCGGUGCAGUUGGGUCCGGAUAGUUGUUUCCGGACUCCCCUUCCCAUAGUACGGAUGGCUUGAAAAGCCGUUCCAGGAGGAUGUUGGGAGGGACGGCAUCGCGCUUUGCGCCGAUGUGUGCCAUUACGUCCGCCGCUUGAUUAUUAUCCCGGGCUAUAUGGUGAAAUUCGAGCCCUUCAAACCGAGCUGACAUUUUCAGAACGGUGUUAUGGUAAGCUGCCAUUUUCGGAUCCUUGGCGUCGAAGUCUCCAUUUAUUUGGGAUAUCGCGAGGUUCGAAUCCCCUCACACCUCUAGGCGUUUAAUGUCCAUGGAGACCGCCAUCCGGAGGCCAUGUAGAAGGGCCUCGUAUUUGGCUGCGUUGUUGGAGUCCGUGUACAUUAUCUGAAGUACAUAUUGGACUGUGUCUCUGGUUGGGGACGUCAGGACGAUGCCAGCCCCCAGGCCGGCCAACAUUUUGGAGGCGUCGAAGUGCAUGAUCCAAUUAGAGUAUGCGCCGCACUCUUUAGGGAGUUCAGCUUCAGUCCAUUCGGCAAUGAAGUCGGCCAGAACCUGCGACUUGAUAGCUCGCCGUGGUUUAUAGGUUAUGUCGAAUGGUAGGAGCUCGAUGGCCCAUUUUGCAAUCCUGCCAGUCGCGUCGCGAUUGUUUAUAAUGUCAUUAAGAGGUACUUCGGAGGCUACUGUUAUCGAACACUCUUGAAAGUAGUGUCGCAGCUUCCGGGAUGCCAUGAACAGUGCGUAUGCUAUCUUUUGAUAAUGUGGAUACCGGGAUUUGCAUGGAGUUAGGACAGUGGAUACGUAGUACACUGGUUUUUGGAGAGGGAACUUGUGUCCGUCCGUUUCUCGUUUGACGACGAGCACCGCGCUUACAACUUGAUGUGUUGCCGCGAUAUAUAAUAACAUUGGUUCGCCCAAGUUGGGCGCGGCCAGGACCGGAUUUGUUGCCAAUAUGGCCUUUAUUUCUUCGAGUCCGGCCGUGGCGGCAUCCGUCCACUCGAAGUGUUUGGUGCGCUGAAGGAGGCGAUAAGGGGUAAUGCCUUUUCUCCUAAGCGGCAGAUGAAGCGGCUUAGAGCCGCUACGCAUCCAGUCAAUUUUGUAUUUGCUUGAGGUCUUUUGGGAUAUCCAAUUGUGAUAGAGCUCGGAUCUUGGCUGGGUUUGCUUCAAUUCCUCUACCGGAUACAAUGAAGCCCAAGAGCUUUCCGGCUGGUACGCCGAAAACACAUUUUUCCGGGUUGAGCUUAAUGUCAUAUGCAAAGAGAUUGUCGAAUUUGAGCCUCAAGUCGUCUACUAGAGUUUCGACGUGUUUGGAUUUGAUUACCACAUCGUCUACGUAUGCCUCCACUGUUUUGCCAAUCUGGUUUGCCAGACAUGUCUGAAUCAUGCACUGAUAUGUUGCGCCGGCGUUUUUGAGCCCGAAGGGCAUUGUGUUGAAGCAGAAUGGUCCGUAUGGAGUAAUAAAUGUCGUUGUGGCUUGGUCUGGCUCUGCCAUCUUGAUUUAAUAGUAGCCGAAGUAAGCGUCGAGGAAGCACAAUGAAUUGUGCCCUGCGGUAGUGUCGAUAAUUUGAUCGAUGCGGGGAAGGGGGAAGGGAUCCUUUGGGUAAGCCUUGUUAAGGUCCUUGAAAUCGACACACAGGCGCCAGGAUUUGUCCUUCUUUGGUACCAUUACCAGGUUUUCUAGCGAGUCCAGAUGCUUUAUAUCUCUGAUGAAUCCGGCUUCUAAUAGUUUGGCUAGCUCAUCUCCCACUGCCUGUCUUAUGGGUUCAGAAAAUCACCGAAGAUCUUGUUUGACUGGCUUGAAUCCUUUUAGGAUAUUUAGGCUGUGCUCUGCCAGCUGGCGUGGGAUUCCUGGCAUUUCUAAAGGGUGCCAGGCAAAAAUAUCCCAAUUUUCCCAUAGGAAUUCUCGUAGCGCGGCGUCUACAUCAGGGUUUAAUUGUGCCCCAGUGGAGGCCAUAUUUGUAGGGUCCGUUGGAUGGACUUGGAACUGGACUAUUUCGUCCGCUAGCUUAAAAGAGGUGGACUUGGAUCUUUUGUCCAGUAUCACGUCGUCCCUGUUCACCGUGGAGCGCAGCGCCAUGUGUUCUUUGGCCGCUAGGGCUUCGGAUAGCGCCUCCAGGGCUAGUGCGGCUGUCUUAUUUUCGGCGUAGAGCACUACGUCCGGAUCACGGGCAAGGGUGAUGAUUCCGUUGGGUUCGGGCAUUUUGAGCUUCAUGUACCCGUAAUGGGGUAUAGCUUAAAAAGUUGUGAAUGCCUCUCGUCCUAAUAAAGCAUGAUAUCCGCUGCUGAACGGGGCCACAUGGAACGUGAUCUCCUCGGACAUGUAGUUGUCCGGCGAGCCGAACACCACAUCCAGUGUGAUUUUUCCUGUGUAGCAUGCUUCUCGACUAGGGAUUAUUCCUCUGAUGGUUGUGUUGCUUCUCUCAAUGCGGCUCUAGUUACUUCCAUUUUUUGAAGGGUUUCCUCGUAGAUGAGGUUUAAUCCGUUGCCGCCAUCCAUGAGUACCUUGGUAAGGUGAAAGCCGUCCACUAUUGGACUGAGGACCAAUGCGGCUGGUGCUCGGGCUGUUCGGAAUUUAGGUUCGUCACUGGCGUUGAAGGUAAUAGCCGUGUCACUCCAUGGAUUUAUUAUUGCUACUUGGUAGACUUCGGCGAGGCUGUGGAGUGUUCGUUUCCGCAUAUUAUUUGAUGCGAAAGUCUCGAAGACUGUUAAUACCGUACUGGUACUGCUGGGCUGGUCCUCUAGGGCUAGAAGCUCUUCACCACUUUUGGCCACCUGCCGUAGUAUCCAACAUGCUUGAAGGCUAUGUGUUGAUUUUGCAGGGUCCGCUGAGCCAUCCCUCCAGUACGGUUCCGUGCCCUUUAGGGGGUUUUGCUUUUCGGUUUUUAACCCAGGUGCCUGAAUAUGAUGCACCCUUUUAUUUCGGACUAGGGUUGUGUUCGGAGCCGGAUUGUCCCAGAAUUUGGUUUCGGUUUUCCAGGCACUCUCCAUCGCACAAUACUUUCGUCCUAUGGACGCCAGGUCGGCGAAGCAUGUAUUUUCACGGCGACCUAUGGCGUUCAUGAUUCCCUUGUCCGUGCAAUUAUUGCAGAAAAUUGAGAUUGCGGUUUCCUCACGGCAGUCCUUUAUCAUGUCCAUAACCAGGAGGAAUGUGGCCCAGUAAUGAUGUACUGUUACAGCGGGCUCUUGCCGGAUUCGGGAUAAAAUCAGUUGUGUUUGGGUGGGUGGGUGGAAUUAAAUUCGGAACCCCGUCCAAUCUAAGACUCAAGGCCGAAAAGUUUCCGAACUUGGAAGCAUGGGUUGUUGGAUGUUGUCCAACGAAUCCGGCCCGCUGCCUGACUUUAGGUUCAGGGCUUGAUCGACGUCUGUCCCUCCGCGGGAACCCGUCAUGGAGGGGUCGGGAAUUCGGACAUAGCUUGUCCUUAAUGUAGAAGAAGAGUCGCCGUGCUGUUCCUCCACCACAGCAACUUGGUGGGUAGUGUCGGUGUCAAAACCGGCGGAUCUCGGGUAGGGGGUCCCGAACUGUGCAUCUAGGCGGAUGGUAACAGGAGACAAGGGGCACGAUGUUUUUACCCAGGUUCGGUCCCUCUCGAUGGAGGUAAAACCCUACUCCUGCUUGAUUGAUAUUGAUGAUAUGGGUAGUACAAGAGUGGAUCUACCACAAGAUCAGGGAGGCUAAACCCUAGAAGCUAGCCUAUGGUAUGAUUGUUGUAAUGGUUGUUGUCCUACGGACUAAAGCCCUUCGGUUUAUAUAGACACCGGAGAGGGCUAGGGUUACACAGAGUCGGUUACAAUGGUAGGAGAUCUACAUAUCCGUAUCGCCAAGCUUGCCUUCCACGCCAAGGAAAGUCCCAUCCGGACACGGGACGAAGUCUUCAAUCUUGUAUCUUCAUAGUCUUGGUGUCCGGCGGACGAUGAUAGUCCGGCUGUCCGGACACCCCCUAGUCCAGGUCUCCCUCAGUAGCCCCUGAACCUGGCUUCAAUGACGAUGAGUCCGGCGCGCAUAAUGUUCGGCAUUGCAAGGCGGGUUCCUCCUCCGAAUAAUCCAUAGAAGAUUGUGAACACCAGGAUAGUGUCCGGCUCUGCAAAAUAAUUUCCACAUUCCACCGUAGAGAGAAUAUUAUGUACACAAGUUCAAUCUGCUGACGUAUCUUGUAGCAUGACGUCACGCCACUACCAAGCCUUUACUUGAAUCGUUUUUUAUUAUACCACCUCAGCGCGUUUAGCGAAGCGGUUUCCUUGGCACGUCUUGUCGAAGCAGAGAUCGUGUUCCCCUUAUUCCGGGAUUCUCAUCAAUACGGAUGUGGGUAACCCAACCGCGCCAUUGAUGGUGGCGCUUGGGAGAUAAGCGAGUUUUACCAGGCCGGUGGGGACGCAUAGUCUUCAUCCACCUAUAUAUAAGGGAUAAGGAUCCACCCUUUUUACCUACGCCUUCUUCCUCCUUUGCUUAUCCAUCUCCACGCACUCUCGAGCUCCAGUGCCCAAGUCCGCGCAUCUCGCCUCGACCUUCUCCGACCAUGUUCGGAGCGGGAGACAAAUGGCUGGCCUCCUCCAUGAUGGAGGAGAACAUCACAAAACUGCCCAGUGCUGGAUACCUUUCCGGCGACAUUGCGCACUGGCUGCCCGACAAAGGGCAGCUCAUCCCCACCACCAGACCCCAUGAGAGGGUUGUGUUUCUCCCCCACUUCCUCCACGGACUGGGCUUCCUGUUGCAUCCCUUUGUCCGGGGGCUCAUGUUCUAUUACGGCCUAGAUUUCCACGAUCUGUGCGAGGCCUUCCUCUGCAUCCAGCCCCACUUCGGCUUGUGGCUCAAGACCUUCAAUGUCAAGCCGAAGGUAAUGAAGGGCACUCAAGCGGAGUGCGGAGGCGCCAUGUUGGGCAAUAUGCCCAACGUCAUCUGGUUCGAAGGGGCCUUCGCGGAAUCCAUCAAGGGGUGGCAAUCGGGGUGGUUCUACAUCACCGAGCCGCGCGACCCUAAGUGGGCGGCGGCCCCCGAGUUCAGAUCUGGCAUCCCUAUGCAGCUCACCUCCUGGAAAGAGAAGGGCUUGCUAUGGGGUAGUUCGGAGGAGCUGACGGGACUUCAAGCCUGUAUCCAGAAGCUGGUGAACAAGAAGCUCAGGCUUGUCAAUGUGGUCCAAGUCAUGGUCAUCCGCCGGAUUCUCCCUGCCAACAACGGGCAUUUAAAUUAUGGGAGUUCAAUCCGGCACAGCACCAGGCAUUGAGCGGGCUCUUUGAUACAAUGUACGAAGGCGCCUGGAGGGUGCUGUUCAAGGGUGCCGAGGCUCCCGCAUCCGCCACUGAAGAUCGCGGAUUUCGCUCGCAGCGUCCAGCUGACGACGUAAGUGAUUCUACCCCUUUACGGGACACUUGUUUUUAAUAGUUUGACUCUACGCGGGUUUCAAUCUCCCUUUUCCUUUGACAGGACUGGAUGAGGAAGGCCGAGCAGAUCAUCUGCCUAGCUCCCAUGCCAGAAAACCCAGUAGACGCCCGUCUAGCGGGGCUGCUGGUUCCGGCACCGCAUGUGGUGCCAGAGAAGAAGGCCAAGAAGGAGGCCACUGGUACUCGAAAGAGUUCCCGUUUUCAGGUGUCCGACGAUUCCGGGGCGGACUCCUCCCCCGAAGGCGAGGAGGAGGAAGAAGACCCUCUCCCAGAGGAAGGAGAGAGGAAGAGGAAGGCUUCCCCGACAGGGGAGGCCGAAGGGUCCAAGAGGGGAAGGACUAUUCCCGCGGACAGCUCCGCCAACACCAACGUUGGCGGCGAAGAGUGGCCCUCAAGGGCCAGGCCUCCGGCAAGAUCGUAAGUAUCUGGAUUCCUGAAUGAUUUACGGUUUAUUUUGUGUCACAUAGUGUCCUUCUAAUGCCGCAUACUGCCUGCAGUCCGGCCGAUGAUGAUCUCCCCGCUUCGUCAAGCGGGUCGUUGGCUCCGUCGGAUGUAGAUUCCAUCUCGAAUGCCUCUACCCCUCGCGCCGCUGAGGACGCCGAGGUGGGAUCUCGGGAAGGGACCCAUGAGGAUGAGGCUCCGGAGGCGCCGCAAGGCAGCCUCCCGGACUUUGCGCCGGACUCCACACCGGAACCUGUAGUGGUUCCGGAGUCCGGCAGGCGGCCCCUUCGCAAGAAGGGCAAGACCGUGACAACGGCGGCCUCCGUCCAACCGGAGGCACCGCACAACUUGUUGGAGGCACUCAAAGGCGCUUCCAUCGAGGAAGAACACCGCACUAUCAUGAGUGCGGUGAUUCAAAAGGUUCAGCUCGCCAAGAGCGGGCUGACCGAAGCCUGCAGUAGCCUUCUAACAGGCUUUGAGGUAAGAAGUUAAAAAUAUGUAAUGUAAUACCGCAUAGAUAGUAGCCCCUGAUGAUCGGUUCGGUGUUCGGAAAGAAAAGCCGGACUGAGGAUCUAAAAAAGAUAUACGCAGGGUUGCUAAAAAAUUAUGUCAAUAUGGGUUUGCAGGCUAUGAUGCUGACCUCUGCCGCACUAACUGCGGAGGUCGGUGCCAAGAAGUAGCUCGAGGACAAAGAAGCUGAGUAACACCUCUUUGAAUAGUUACCUUACAGAAAAGGAUUUAGGUUGCAACAAAAAAUAACAAGGAUAACGUGGGUAUUGCAAGGGCCACGAACGAGGUGGCAACCCUGAAGGAGGUUGUGUCCACGACCGAACGCAAUGCGGCCGCGGAACGGGCAGAGCGAGAGAAGCAGGAGGCGCGGGUGGCAGAGGUGCGGCAAGAGCUCCAGGCUCUCAUGGAAAAGCAUGAGAGUUUGGAGCGUGACUCGAAGACUCGAGAGUCCGAGCUUGCCUCGGCUCUCGAAAGUGCCAAAGCCGCCAAGGCAGAGGCCCAUAAGGCCCUUCAGGAGGUUGAGGAUGUGAAGAAAAUAGCGGUGGGUAAGGCAUUUUUCAUGCAAAGCAAGCAUGUUAAUGUAAACUACCUGACACUUACCCGAAUUCAGAGCUCUCUAGGGGCGUUUGCAGAUCUGCCUCGCAGUGUAUCCGAUGCCGCCGCAUUCUACCGUGGCGAGGAGGGGAGCUCAAUGGAGAAGGUCUUCUGGUCUCAGUAUGCUGAGGCCGGCCAUCCGGUGCCCCCUAGCGACCAGCUGAAGCAGCUGGUCGAGCUCCACAAGGUAGCUGAGGAGGCCAUGAAGGGCCUCAUAGUCUGGCUGUGGCCUGGAGAGGCCAUGUCUGGGAGCUACUUCGGCCUCAUGCGGCGGCUGGUGGAUGCGUGCCCCUGGGUGGAGGUCAUCAAGCGCUCCGCCUGUAUUGAAGGUGCUCGUCGGGCCCUUGCCCGCGCAAAGGUGCACUAGGGCAGGCUGGAUGCGGAGAGGCUUAUCACUGACGCGCCGCCAGCGGGCAAGGAGUAUCGUACGCCCAAGAUGUACUAUAAGACUGUCCUGAAGGGUGCCCGCAAGAUUGCGGAUGAGUGCCCCAGAGAUGUAAUUAUUGAGUAAACUCGCUAUGUAUUAUCCUGUGCGCUGAAAACUUUGUUCAUAUGCGCUAAGCAAGGCUUGUUUAAUUAAAAAUAUUACCUUCUGUGCGGCCGUUUAUAAAAUCUGAGAGAUGGCAAGUCGUUGGCUUCAGCCCCCAUGCCACUAGUGCUGGGGUGUUCGGGACAAACUUGAGCACUCUUGUUCCCAUUUUUGGGUCCAUCUAGGGAGGCGCUCAACACAACGAACAAGGCAACCGGACUUAUAAUGCUUGAACACUCUCACUUAGCCAUAGAAUUCUAUAAUUUUAAAUUUCAGCGAAGCCCCUAGUAUUCGGAAGACCGAGUUCGGGGCGCUAUCCAUGCCUUGGUCGAACAUGAUCUGGUUCUUCGCUCGAAGCGGCAUAAGUCUUUAGGGACUCGAAAACACCUCUCGAACAGCGACGAGUCUCUCGCCUUAUCAUGCCAGUCAGUUUAAGCUUUCUCCACUGAGGCGCUCGCCCAGCUCAACUGGGACGCAAUCACAGUGGUUCUCCCAGUGCUACCUUAGCCGACGGAACGGAACGUAAGGUACCAAAACAUGGGAGCCGGGUGUCGGUGUCAAAACCGGCGGAUCUCGGGUAGGGGGUCCCGAACUGUGCGUUUAGGCGGAUGGUAACAGGAGACGAGGGACACGAUGUUUUACCCAGAUUCGGGCCCUCUCGAUGGAGGUAAAACCCUACGUCCUGCUUGAUUAAUAUUGAUGAUAUGGGUUGUACAAGAGUGGAUCUACCACGAGAUCAAGGAGGCUAAACCCUAAAGCUAGCCUAUGGUAUGAUUUUUGUAAUGUAUGUUGUGUCCUACGGACUAAAGCCCUCCGGUUUAUAUAGACACCGGAGGAGGCUAGGGUUACACAGAGUCGGUUACAAUGGUAGGAGAUCUACAUAUCCGUAUUGCCAAGCUUACCUUCCACGCCAAGGAAAGUCCCAUCCGGACACGGGACGGAGUCUUCAGUCUUGUAUCUUCAUAGUCUUGGAGUCCGGCGGACGAUGAUAGUCUGGCUGUCCGGACACCCCCUAGUCCAAGACUCCCUCAGUAGCCCCCGAACCAGGCUUCAAUGACGAUGAGUCCAGCGCGUAUAUGGUCUUCGGCGUUGCAAGACGGGUUCUCCUUUCAAGUUCCAUGUACCUGCCGAACAGUGUCCGGCUUCAUCAUAAAUACUGUGUUCCUCGGCUUCUACGUCCAAUAAUAGCCAUUUUCCACGCGUCACACGAAUGCGAAAAGCUAGGGUGUAUUUUACGUUUCACCCCCUAGUUGUGCGAGUCGUCCGCCUACAAAAGAGGCAAAAAUCCAGAUCCAAACCACACCAUCUUCCUCCCGCGAACACUUCAUCGGAGCGCCUUUGACCUAAAAAUCCAUUCCAUCAUGGACCGUCGACGCGGCUCCUCUUCUCGCGCUCCCAGCCCACCGCCAGGGGAUUGGAGGAGGUGCUCUGUUCCGCACAACGAGCUAGUGAAGCUCCAAGCGGCGGGAGAUCUCCCUCCGGCCUUCAUGGUCCCGGUUCGAGCCGGGCUGGUCACUUAUCAAGGUGGGAGGCAAGAGGAGGCUACCCCAAGCCCCAAUAAGGGGGAGCGGGUAUGCUUCGUCCCUUAUCUGAUAAGAGGACUCGGAUUCCCAAUACAUCCGUUCCUCCGCGGGCUCCUGGAGUUCUACGGACUCCAGCUCCACCACCUCACACCCGCCUCUGUCCUGCACAUCGCGGGCUACGUAGCUCUUUGCGAGCUAUUCCUGGGCAUUGAGCCCCAUUUUGCAUUGUGGAAGAGGCUGUUCUGCCUUGUACCCCGUUCUUACGAGGGGUCCAUAUAUCAAGUGGGCGGCCCCGAAAUAUUGCGCAUCGCCGGGACCGGAUACCCAUCCGGCACUCCCAAGAAGGCGUCGGAAGACUGGCCUUCAGAGUGGUUUUACAUAGGAGACGCUCCGCAGCCGGACCCAGUCCGGAUUGGCCUCUCGGAGUUUAGUGAUGCUCCCCUGAAGAAACGCCUCAGCUGGCGCCCACGGAGCCACCAAUUGGCGGAAGACAGGAGCGUCCAUUACUUGAUGGGCCGAAUAAGAUUACUGGCCCAUUCCGGGUUGACCAUGAUUGGAGUCAUGGCGACAUGCAUCAUGCGGGGGGUACAGCCAUUGCAAUACAGAGGCCACCCUAUGUGGGAUUUCAACAGGGAAGACGAUGCCACCCGUCAUGGCCGCGAAGGGCCGGAUUCGACCGAGGAUCUGGUGGAGAUCCUGUCCAGCCUGUACAAAGGGGAGAAGGUGGAUUUUCUUCGAACGAACCCUUUGAAUGGGUUUUCCAUGAACAACCCUAGAGGAUGGGUAAGCGAACACUUGUAAGGGCUCAACCCAUGCUUUCGAAGUUUAGGCUUCUUACAUUAUGUCUUCGACGCAGGAUCUACGCCGGACUGUGAAGGACAUGGUAAGUCCCGCUUUGCAACCCGAGGAUCCAGAAAGAUCCCUGGAUCCGGCCUCCGAAGAAGAUCCGGUCAUCAAGGUGGAGCUGAUCGACGGGGUAUUUCACUAGCUCAGCAUGGAUAAUGCUUUGGUCGCCAUUACGGCGGACUACCCCGGACUGUAUCCGGCUUCCCAGGUGACUGUGACCGAGGUCCAGACACCAUUAUCUCUUCCUUGCCCAUUUCUAACAUUCGCGAACGAUGGCAUUUUACAGGAAGCGCCUUCAUGGCGGGAAGCCGAGCCCGCGGCGGCUGACCAAUAGAGGUCAGUCCGGACCAGCAGGCGAAAAAGGAGCGCGGUACGGACUGAAACGUCGCCGCAGAGGUAUAACUUGUAUUUGAAUUUUCAGAGCAACGCUCCUAGGAAGCGUCUGAGUGCUCAUGAUCUUUAUAGGAGAAAAAGCGCUCACCAGACUACGGGCGCGGAAGUUGCCGAUCCAACCUACACCGGCCAGGCUCCAGCGCCCGGCCUGGAGGGGAGGCAAGCGCAAGACGCGGGCCGGAUCCUUCUCCAACGGAGGACACCGACAGAAUGUCUGCCACCAAGUCUGAGGUGGAGAGCGCCAUGAACCAUAGGCUCCGCCGGACAGUAUUUCGUGAAGCGUGCUUCUCCCCAGAGGCGUUGGACGCCUUUAACGCAGGGACGUGCACCUCCGUGCCGCUCAAGAUGGUUUUACCAGAGCCACGGAGCAGUAUGUGAAAGACAUACGGGUAAGGGAAUUUUAAUGGUUAUAUAUACCAGUAGCCCCCGAGACUUAAAGUAGUUAUGUUAACUGAUUUAAGGAUCAUUUGAAACGUAGGCUCUUACCGAGAAGAAUGCCCAGCUGUCUCAGGAGCUUCAAGAAUGCAAGGCCCAACUUGAGGCCGCACUUGCUGCCGCAGGAGGAGACGCAGAGACCCCUCCUGGUAACACAUUUUUAUUAAUAAAUAUAAGCGCUGUGCGGCGUGCGCGCAAGUCUAAUAGAGACAUUGCAGGUGCCGCCGGACAAGAUCCGGACAGGCAAGAAUUACUGCGCCAGCUAAAGGCCGGCGAGAGAGUGUUGAAUAGGGUGCAGCAAGAAAGGAACCAGCUCCAAGAUGCCAACGCCAAGCUCGGAGAAGAGCUGAAAGGCGCUCAAGCCGGGCUGUCCAGCUCCGUUAAGGAGAAUCAGCGGCUUCGUCGCGGCAUUUAUAGUAAGUGCUUGAGUGGACUCUUUUGAAAAGAAGAGUUUGGCGAGGAAGUAAAUUGACAUUUUAUGUCUUGUAGGUAUACUCAUAGGUCGCUCUGCGGAGGAGAUGCCGAUAUCAACGGGUGAUCAACUUCCCGAGCUGUCGCAACUGCUCGAACGAGUUCGGCAGGCAAUGAGCGGCGUCGUCCAGACUUUAUGGCCGGCCCUCUCCCUACCCGAGGGCCUUGGGGAGCUUGCGGAGAAGCUUCAGGGAGUGCGGUAGCGCUUCCGUUUGUGGAAGAUUUCGGCUUGCCGUCAAGGUGCCAGGGAGGCUUGGGCCAUGGUGAAGACGCGCUACAAGAAGGCGGAUCCCAACCACAUGGUCGAAGUUGGACCGGUGGGGCCCAAUGGGAAGGAGAUCCCUGUGAGUUUAGUAUACAGCCAAGUAGAGUUGGCUGCUAAAUUUUCCCAACGGGACUGUAAGUUAGACAGCCUGUUAGACGGGAUUGAGGAGGAAUACAAUCGGGAAAUUUGACAAUGUAUGUUUUCCAUUAAAGUGACAUAUGAAAUGCCUUCUAGCCGGAUUGUAGAUCGUUUGUCUUUGCCGACCUUUUCGCUUCAACCUCGGGACCCUAGAGUCCGGAGUGUGUCCGAAUACCUUUUUGGUUAAAAACAACCGGGGUAUGCAUGGAGAUCAGGCGUAGGGGUCAUUAGUGCUUUAUCAGACAAGUGCCCAACUAGUUAUGUUAUAUUACAUGGUUAGUAAAAAACAUCUUCCAGAGAGAAUAGUUCCGUUAAGGGUUCCUUUCCCUGGGAGGCAUGCCCUAAAGUGCAUGUCCGGACUGCAAAGAAAGCAGAAAAACAUCUGGGGGCGGAUAAAUAAGUAGGUAAAAAAGUCAUCUUUUAAGUCACCGACCGAAUAUUCCCUUAAGAACGCUAGCUUUCGGCUUCACCCAGUCUGAGGUACACAUCCGGCUGACCCGGCAGUAACAAUCGCAGAGGUGCUCCCUUUACCUCCUAGCCGAACAAUCGGGAACGUAGGGGUAAGCACAGGAGCCAGGCAACCCAGCUUGGCCAAAACUUAAGUCAUAUCGAUGCAUAUAAUGGUGAGUAAAAGGUACAUGUGGAAGCUUGACACAUGUGCUGGGCAUGAAACCCUUAUAAUUGAGCUUCUGUAAAAUAAGCCCCCAGGAAUAAUGAGUGCGGAUGGCGCAUCAAAUAUAUGCGAAAAAUGCGAGAGUAGGCCCUUAGGGGCUUUUUAGUAAAAAGGUUAUGAAAAGAGAAACAAAAGACAGCCGAAGUGUAAAAAUUUGGACGGAGGAAGGGGACGAACUCUUAGUCUGGCGCUAGGCAUAGAAUCUUCGGAGGCGGGCUGCGUUCCAUGGGUUCGGCUCGAGUCGGUUAUCCGACACAUUUCGUAGACGGUAUGCUCCGCCGGUCAGGACUUGAUCGAUGAUAAAGGGGCCCUCCCAUUUGGGCUUGAGCUUGUCCUUUUUCUUGUCCGGCAGGCGUAGAACUAGUUCACCAACGUUGUAAGUCUUGGCCCGUACUACUCUGCUUUGAUAUCUUCGGGCCUGCUGCUGAUAGAAUGCGGAACGAGCCUUGGCAACGUCGCGUUCUUCCUCCAAUGUGUCCAAGCUAUCCUGCCGAUCCAGCUCGGCCUCUCUUUCUUCGUACAUGCGCACUCGAGGUGAGUCAUGAAUAAUGUCACAGGGCAAGACUGCCUUUGCGCCGUAGACCAUAAGGAAUGGUGUGAAUGCGGUAGUGCGGUUAGGCGUUGUCCGCAGCCCCCAUAGUACGGAGUCAAGCUCCUCUACCCAGUGCGUGUCAGAUUUAGUAAGUGACCGCACUAGUCUGGGUUUAAUGCCGCUCAUUAUUAGACCAUUUGCUCGUUCCACUUGACCGUUGGUUUGAGGGUGAUAGACAGAAGCGUAGUCGAGCUUGAUGCACAUAUUUUUGCACCAUGACUUAACCUCAUCGGCUGUGAAGUUCGUGCCGUUGUCGGUGAUGAUGCUAUGGGGGGACUCCGUAGCGGUGUACUACCCGAGAUAUAAAGUCUAUCACUGGUCCGGACUCUAACGUUUUGACCGGUUUGGCCUCUAUCCAUUUGGUGAAUGAGGGAGUCCUGGACUAGGGGGUGUCCGGGUAGCCGGACUAUCAAUAUCCGCCGGACUCCCAGACUACGAAGAUAGAAGAUUGAAGACUCCGGCUCGUGUCCGGAAGGUACUUUCCUUGGCGUGGAAGGCAAGGUUGGCGAUACGGAUAUGUAGAUCUCCUACCAUUGUAACCGACUCUGUGUAACCCUAGCCUCUCCAGUGUCUAUAUAAACCGGAGGGCUUUAGUCCGUAGGACACAACAUUACAUCUCAACAAUCAUACCAUAGGCUAGCUUCUAGGGUUUAGCCUCCUUGAUCUCGUGGUAGAUCUACUCUUGUACUACCCAUAUCAUCAAUAUUAAUCAAGCAGGACGUAGGGUAUUACCUCCAUCGAGAGGGCCUGAACCUGGGUAAAAACAUUGUGUCCCUCGUCUCCUGUUACCAUCCGCCUAGACGCACAAUUCGGGACGCCCUACCCGAGAUCCGCCGGUUUUGACACCGACAUUGGUGCUUUCAUUGAGAGUUCCUCUGUGUCGUCACCGAUAGGCCGGAUGCCUUUACCCGUCUUCAAGGACGGUGUUCUCGCCGGAGGGGCCUUGGCCGCCGGUCAAACAAUCCGGCUUGGCGGUUUCCUUAUGACCGCCUCUCCGGUCGUCGCUUCGGCACUGACUUCUCAAGUCGUCGAAAGCAGUCUUCGCGUCAGCCCUAAAGCUGCCGAACAGUUAGAUCCAAUCGAGCUCUCGUCUGUCAACGAGCUCUUGGAUCGCAUCGGCGCCCCGGGAGUCGCAACAGACUACAAUCAGAUUGGGCAUAAAACCGAUCUGAGAGAGAUUAACUCUCCCCAGGUUACCCACCACAUCGAAGUGGUAGAAGAACAACUCGGCAACUCGUUGCCAUUGUUGAAAACAAUCUGUGUUCGGAUUCCCGAACCCUCCAUGCCGGAUUCCCGCGGAGGGGCGGACUCUGAUCGAGCAUUGAACCUAAAAUCAUGCAUCGCUCCGGACCCGCUGGGCUGUUUCCAGCAAAUCAAGCUUCCGAAUUCGGAAGUCCCUCGGCCAUUGAGCCCAAAGAUGGGCAGGGAUCCGGAUGUAAUUCCACCCACCCGCCCAGACAUAUGCUACCUAUCUCUAAUUCGGCAAGAGCCCUCAGAAACAGUACAUCAUUACUCGGCCCGAUUCCUCCUGGUUAUGGACAGGAUAAAGGACUGCCGAGAGGAGAACGCAAUCUCAAUAUUCUGCAAUAACUGCACGGACAAGGGAAUCCUGAACGCCAUUGAUCGUCGCAAGAUUAAGCGUUUUACCGAUCUGGCGUCCAUAGUGCGAAAGUACUGUGCGACGGAAAGUUUCCGGAAAACUGAAAAUCAAUUUUGGGAUAAUCCGGCCCCAAACCCAGUCCGCGGUAAAAGGGCGCCUCGCAAUCAGGCCCCAGAUGCAAAAACCAAAAAGCAAAAACCCAGCAAGGGAAACGGAACCGUACUGGAGGGAUGGCUCAAUGGACCCUGUAAACUUCAUAAUACUGGGGGAGCUGUCCCAACGCAUAGCCUUCGAGCAUGUUGGAUAUUACGGCAGGUGGCCAAAAGUGGCGAAGAGCUUCUAGCUCCGGGAAACCACUCCAACAACACCAGCACGUUAUCAACAGUCUUCGAGACUUUCGCAUCAAAUAAUAUGCGAAAACGAACAAUCCGCGAACUCGCCGAAGUCUACCAAGUAGCAACAGCAAAUCCAUGGAGCCACACAACUAUCACCUUCAGCGCCAGCGACGAGCCCACAUCUCGAACUACCAGAGCCCCAGGCGCACUGGUACUUAGUCCCAUAGUGGACAGCUUUCGACUGACAAAAGUCCUCAUGGACGGCGGCAGCGGACUAAACCUCAUUUAUGAGGAAACCCUGCGGAAAAUGGAAAUCGAUUGGAGCCGUAUUGAGCGAAGCAGCACAACCUUCAGAGGAAUAAUACCUAGCCGGGAAGCGCGCUGCACCGGAAAAAUCACACUUGAUGUGGUGUUCGGCUCUCCGGACAAUUACAGAUCCAAAGAAGUCACGUUCCAGGUGGCCCCGUUCAGCAGCGGCUAUCACGCCAUAUUAGGACGAGAGGCAUUCACAAUUUUUCAAGCAAUACCUCAUUACGGGUACAUGAAGCUCAAAAUGCCUGGGCCCAGCGAAAUAAUCACUCUCGUCAGUGAUCCAGACACAGCACUCCGCGCCGAAAACAAGACAGCCGCACUAGCCCUCGAGGCGCUAUCCGAAGCCUUAGCAGCAGAGGAACUUACCGCGCUACGCUCUACGGUAAAUAGGGACGACGUGAUACUUGAUAAAAGAUCCAAGUCCACCUCCUUCAAACCAGCAGAUGAGAUAGUUAAUUUCAGGUCCACCCAACGGACCCAACAAAGACUGCCUCUAUCGGGGCACAGUUGAACCCCGAAGUGGACGCCGCACUGCGCGAAUUCCUUCGGGAAAAUUGGCACAUUUUCGCCUGGCACCCUUCAGACAUGCCCGGAAUCCCUCGCAGGUUGGCAGAACACAGCCUAAACAUCCUAAAAGGAUUCAAGCCAGUCAAACAGGCUCUUCGACGAUAUUCCGAGCCCAAAAGACAGGCAAUGGGAGAAGAUCUAGCCAAGUUAUUGGAAGCCGGAUUCAUCAGAGACAUCAAACAUCCGGACUGGCUAGCAAAUUUGGUGAUGGUACCAAAGAAAGACAAAUCCUGGCGCCUCUGCGUCGACUUCAAAGACCUCAAUAAGGCUUGCCCAAAGGAUCCUUUCCCCCUCCCCCGCAUUGAUCAAAUUAUCGACGCCACAGCAGGACACGACUCGUUGUGCUUCCUGGACGCAUACUCUGGCUACCAUCAAAUCAAGAUGGCUGAAGCGGAUCAAGCCGCAACGGCAUUCAUUACUCCAUACGGACCAUUCUGCUUCAACACGAUGCCCUUCGGACUUCAAAACGCCAGCGCAACAUAUCAGCGCAUGAUUCAAACAUGUCUGGCUACCCAGAUCGGCAAAACAGUCGAGGCAUACGUAGACGACGUAGUCGUCAAAACAAAACACGUCGAAACCUUAGUAGACGAUUUGAGGCUCGCAUUCGACAACCUCAGAGCAUAUGACAUCAAGCUGAAUCCAGAAAAAUGUGUUUUCGGCGUACCAGCCGGGAAGCUGCUGGGCUUCAUUGUAUCCGGUAGAGGAAUCGAAGCAAAUCCGGCCAAAAUCCUGGCUCUGUCACAGUUGGACAUUCAAAAGGACCUCAAGCAAAUACAAAAAUUAACAGGAUGCGUGGCAGCCUUAAGCCGUUUGAUCUCCCGUUUAGGAGAGAAGGCGCUGCCUCUUUAUCGCCUCCUAAGGCGCACCGAACACUUCGAGUGAAUGGAUGCCGCCACGGCCGGACAUGAAGAAAUAAAGGCCAUACCGGCAACAAAUCUGGUCCUGGCUGCGCCCACUCAGGGCGAACCAAUGUUGUUAUACAUCGUUGCAACACAUCAAGUUGUGAGCGAUGUCCUCGUCGUCGAACGAGCAACAGAAGGGCAUAAAUUCCCUCUUCAAAAACCAGUGUAUUAUGUAUCCACUGUGUUAACCCCCUGCAAAUCCCGUUACCCGCACUAUCAAAAGAUAGCAUAUGCAGUGUUCAUGGCAUCUCGGAAGCUUCGGCACUACUUUCAAGAGUGUUCGAUAACAGUGGCUUCUGAAGUACCACUCAAUGACAUUAUAAAUAACCGCGACGCAAUGGGCAGGAUUGCAAAAUGGGCCAUUGAGCUCUUGCCAUUCGACAUAACUUACAAACCUCGACGAGCCAUAAAGUCACAAGUUUUGGCUGACUUUGUCGCCGAAUGGACUGAAGCCGAACUACCUAAAGAGUACGGCGCAUACUCCAAUUGGACUAUGCACUUCGACGGCUCCAAAAUGUUGGCCGGACUGGGGGCUGGCGUCGUACCGACGUCCCCCACUGGAGAUACAGUCCAGUAUGUACUUCAAAUAAUGUACACGGACUCCAACAAUGCAGCCGAAUACGAGGCCUUGUUACAUGGUCUCCGGAUGGCAGUCUCCAUGGGCAUUCAACGCCUAGAGGUGCGCGGGGAUUCAAACCUUGCAAUAUCCCAAAUAAAUGGAGACUUUGACGCCAAGGAUCCGAAAAUGGCAGCAUAUCGUAACGCUGUCCUGAAAAUGUCAGCUCGGUUUGAAGGACUCGAAUUCCAUAACAUAGCCCGAGAUAACAACCAAGCGGCCGACAUCCUGGCACGCAUCGAUGCGAAACGUGACGCUGUCCCUCCAAAUAUCUUCCUGGAACGGCUCUUCAAGCCAUCCGUACUAUGGGAAGAGGAGUCCGGUAGUGACAAACCAGAGAAAGCCGCACCAACUGGUGAUUCAGCAGACGACAUAACACAAUCCACCCACGAUAUAAUGGCAGUAAUCGCCGCAUGGACAGAACCUUUCCUGGCCUACUUACUUAGGCAGGAACUUCCCGAAGACCAAAAUGAGGCCCGCUGCAUAGUCCGGCGAUCGAAGGCCUACAAGGUUCAUGAGGGAGAACUUUAUAAGAAAAGUACUACCGGAGUCCUUCAAAGGUGUAUCUCUGAAGAAGAAGGGCGAAACCUCCUGGCUGAAAUCCACGCCGGACUAGGUGGGCACCACGCAGCAGCCCGGGCCCUGGUAGGAAAGGCAUUCCGUACAGGAUUUUAUUGGCCGACGGCUCGGGCAGAUGCACAGGACUUGGUCCAGCGAUGCGUUGGUUGCCAGCUCUUCGCUAAUCAGAGCCAUAUGCCACCCACCGCCCUCAAAACAAUACCCAUUACAUGGCCGUUCGCGGUCUGGGGGCUUGACAUGGUCGGACCCCUCAAAGGGGGAACCCAUAAGAAAAGGUACCUGUUGGUCAUGGUGGAUAAGUUCACUAAAUGGAUAGAGGCCAAACCGGUCAAAACGGCAGAGUCCGGACCAGUGAUAGACUUUAUAUCAGAGGUGGUACACCGAUACGGAGUCCCCCACAGCAUCAUCACCGAUAACGGCACAAACUUCACAGCCGAUGAAGUCAAGUCAUGGUGCAAAAAUAUGGGCAUUAAGCUUGACUAUGCGUCAGUCUAUCACCCUCAAACCAACGGUCAAGUGGAAAGAGCAAAUGGUCUAAUAAUGAGCGGCAUUAAACCCAGAUUGGUGAGGUCACUCACCAAAUCCGAUACCCAAUGGGUCGAGGAGCUCGACUCCGUACUUUGGGGGCUGCGGACGACGCCUAACCGUACUACCGGAUUCACACCAUUCUUUAUGGUAUAUGGCGUAGAGGCAGUCUUGCCCUGCGACAUUAUUCAUGACUCACCUCGAGUGCGCAUGUAUGAGGAAAGAGAAGCCGAGCUAGAUCGGCAGGACAGCUUGGACACAUUGGAGGAAGAACGGGACGUUGCGAAGGCUCGUUCCGCAUUCUAUCAGCAACAGGCCCGAAGAUAUCAAAGCAGAGAAGUACGGGCCAAAACUUACAACGUCGGCGAACUAGUUCUAUGCCUGCCGGACAAGAAAAAGGACAAGCUCAAGCCCAGUUGGGAAGGCCCCUUCAUUAUUGAUCAAGUACUGACCGGCGGAGCAUACCGUCUGCGAAACGCGUCGGACAACCGACUCGAGCCAAACCCAUGGAACGCAGCCCGACUCCGACGAUUCUAUGCCUAGCGCCGGACUAAGAGUUCGUCCCCUUCCCCCGUCCAACCUUAUAUAUAUUUCGGCUGUCUUCUUUUUUCUCUGUUUAUCCUUUUAUAAAUUAACAAAUCCCUUCGGGGCCUAUCUUCGCAUUUUUUGCAUACAUACGAUGUGCCAUCCGCACUCAUUAUUCCUGGGGGCUUCUUUUACAGAAGCUCAACUAUACGGGUUUUAUACCCAACACAUGUGUCAUGCUUCCACAUGUACCUUUUACUUGCCAUUAUAUGCAUCGAUAUGACUUAAGUUUUGGCCAAGCUGGGUUGCCUGGCUCCUGUGCUUACCCCUACAUUCCCGAUUGUUCGGCUAGGUGGUAAAGGGAGCACCUCUGCGAUUGUUACUGCCGAGUCAGCCGGAUGUGUACCUCAGACUGGGUGAAGCCGAAAGCUAGCGUUCUUAAGGGAAUAUUCGGUCGGUGAUUUAAAAGAUGACUUUUUACCUAACUUUCUUUUCCAUCUGCCACCAGAUGUUUUACUGCUCCAUUGGCAGUCCGGACAUGCACUUGAGGGCAUGCCACCCCAGCGAAAGGAACCCUUAACGGAACUAUUCUCCCUGGAAGAUGUUUCUUACUAACCAUGUAAUAUAACAUAACUAGUUGGGCACUUGUCUGAUAAAGCACUAAUGACCCCUACGCCUAGUCUCCAUGCAUACCACGAUUAUUUAUUAACCAAAAAGGUAUUCGGACACACUCCGGACCCUAGGGUCCCGAGGUCGAAGCGAAAAGGUCGGCAACGACAAACGAUCUACAAUCCGGCUAGAAGGCAUUUCACAUGUCAUUUUUAAAAGGAUAACAUACACUGUCAAGUUUAUUGAUUGUAUUCCUCCUCAAUCCCGUCUAACAGGCUGUCUAGCUUACAGCCCCGUUGGGAAAUUUAGCAGCCAGUUCUACCUGGCUGUACACUAAACUCACAGGGAUCUCCUUCCCGUCGGGCCCCACCGGUCCAACUUCGGCCAUAUGGUUGGGAUCCGCCUUCUUGUACCGCGUCUUCACCAUGGCCCAAGCCUCCCUGGCACCUUGACGGCAGGCCGAAACCUUCCACAAACGGAAGCGCUGCCGCACUCCCUGUAGCUUCUCUGCAAGCUCCCCGAGGCCCUCGGGCGGGACGAGGGAUGGCCAUAAAGCCUGUAUGACGCCACUCAUUGCCUGUCGAACUAGUUCGAACAGCUGCAACAGUUCGGGAAGUUGAUCACCCAUUGAUACAGACAUCUCCUCCACAGGAUGGCCCGUGAGUAUAUCUACAAGACAUAUUAUGUCAAAUCGCUUCCUUGCAGAACUCCUCUUCCUAAGAGAGUUCGCUCAAGCACUUACUAUAGAUGCUGCGACGAAGCCGUUGAUUCUCCUUAAUGGAGCCGGACAGCUCGGCCUGUGCACCUUUCAGCUCUUCUCCGAGCUUGGCGUUGGCAUCUUGAAGCUUGUUCCUUUCCUGCUGAACUCUGUUCAGCACAUUUUCGCCGGCUUUUAGCUGGCGUAGUAGCGCUUGCCUGUCCAGAUCUUGUUCGGCAGCACCUACAGUGUCGUUAUCAGACUCGUGUGCACGCCACACAGCGCUUAUAUUAAUUUAUACAAACGUGUUACCAGGUGGGGUCUUCCCGUCUCCUCCUGCGGCAGCAAGUGCAGCCCCAAGUUGGGCCUUGCAAUCUUGCAGCUCCCGGGACAGCUGGGCAUUCUUCUCGUUAAGAGCCUGAAAGUUCAUAUGAUCCUUAAAUCAGUUAACAUAACUAAUUUAAGUCUCGGGGGCUACUGGUGUAUACAACCAUUAAAAUUCCCUUACCCGUAUGUCUUUAACAUACUGCUCCAUGGCCCAGGUAAAACCAUUUUGAGCAGCCCAGAGAUGCGCGUCCCCUGCGUUAAAGGCAUCCAAUGCCUCAGGGGAAAAGCAUGCCUCUUGAAAAACUGUCCGGCGAUGUCUAUGAUUCAUAGCGCUCUCCACCUCUGACUUUGUGGCGGACAGUCUGUCGGUAUCCUCCGUUUGAGUAGGAUCCGGUUCGCGUCUUGCGCUUGCCUCCCCCUCCAGUCCGGGCGCUGGAGCCUAGCUGGUGUUGAUUGGGUUGGCAAUUCCUGUGCUCGCAGUCCGGCGAGCGCUUUUUCUUCUAUGAAGAUCAUGAGCACUUAGAAGUUUCCUCGGAACAUUGCUCAGAAAGAUCAAACACGAGCUAUACCUCUGCGGCGACGUUUUAGCCUGCACGGCGCUCCUUUUCCUCCUGCUGGUUCGGCCUGACCUCUGUACGUCGGCCGCCGCAGGCUCGGCUCCCGGCCGGAUUGGCGCUUCCUGCAAGACACCAUCGUUCGCGAAGGUCAGAAUAGGCAAGGAUAAGAUAACCGUGUCCGGACUUCGGUCUUGGUCACCUGGGAUGCCGAACUUAGCCCGGGGUAGUCCGCCGUAAUGGCGACCAACGCAUCAUCAACGCUUAGCUGGUGAUACACCCCGUCGAUUAGCUCCACCCCGAGGUCCGGAUCCUCUUCGGAGGCUGGACCCAGGGAUCCUUCCGGGUCCUCGGGUUGUGGAGCAGGACUCACCAUGUCCUCCACGGUCCGGUGUAGACUCUGCGCCGAAGACGUAAUAUAAGAGGCUUAAACUUCGAAAAUACGGGUAAAGACCCUUUUGAGGUGUUCGCUUACCCAUCCUCUGGGAUUGACCAUGGAAAACCCAUCCACAGGGUUCGGACGAAGGAAGUCCUCCUUCUCCCCCUUGUACAGGCCGGACAGGAUCUUCACCAGAUCCUCGGUCGAAUCCGGGCCUUUGCGGCCGUGCCGGGUGGCAUCGUCCUCCCCAUUGAAAUCCCACAUGGGGUGGCCUCUGUAUUGCAGCGGCUGCACCCCCCGCUUGAUGCACGUCGCCAUGACUCCAAUCAUGGUCAAGCCGGAAUGAGCCAUUAGUCUUAUUCGGCCCAUCAAGUAAUGGACGCUCUUGUCCUCCUCCAAACGAGGGCUCCACGGGCGCCAGCUGAGGCGUUUCUUCAAGGGAGCAGCAUCAAACUCCAGGAGGCCAAUCCGGACUGGGUCGGGCAGCGGAGCGUCUACAAUAUAAAACCACUCCGAGGGCCAGUCUUCGGACGCCCUCUUGGGGGUGCCGGAUAGGUAUCCGGUCCCAGCAAUGCGCCAUAUUUCGGCGCUGCCCACUUGAUAUAUGGACCCCUGGUGAGAACGGGGUACGAGGCAGAACAGCCUCUUCCACAAUGCGAAAUGGGGCUCGAUGCCCAGGAAUAGCUCGCAAAGAGCUACAUAGCCCGCGAUGUGCAACACAGAAGCGGGCGUGAGGUGGUGGAGCUGAAGUCCGUAGAACUUCAGGAGCCCGCGGAGGAACGGAUGUAUUGGAAACCCGAGCCCCCUUAUUAGAUAAGGGACGAAACACACCCGCUCCCCCCUGUUGGGGCUUGGGGUGUCCUCCGCCUGGCUCCCUCCUCGAUAAGUAACCAGUCCGGCUCGGACCGGAACCAUGAAGGCCGGAGGGAGCCAUCCCUCCGUUUGGAGCUUUACUAGCUCGUUGUGCGAAAUAGAGCACCUCCUCCAAUCCCCCGGCGUGUGGCUGGGAGCGCGUGAAGAAGAGCCGCGUUGAUAAUCCAUGGUGGAAUGGAUUUCAGGGUCAGAGGCGCUUCGAUGGAGUAUACGCGGGAGGAGGAUGGUGCGGUUUGGAUCUGGAUCCCUGCCCCUUUAAUAGGCAGGUGACCCGCACAACCAGGGGGUAAAAUGUAAAAGACUCCCUGGCUUUUCGCAUUCGUGCGACGCGUGGAAGAGGGCCAUAAUUUGGCAUAGAAGCCAAAAAGCACAGUAUUAGAGGUAAAGCCGGACGCUGUUCGGCAGGAACAUGGAAUUUGAAGGGAGAACCCGCCUUGCAACGCCGAAGACUACAAGCACGCUGGACUUAUCGUCAUUGAAGCCUGGUUCGGGGGCUACUGAGGGAGUCCUGGACUAGGGGGUGUCCGGAUAGCCGGACUAUCAAUAUCCGCCGGACUCCCAGACUACGAAGAUAGAAGAUUGAAGACUCCGGCUC
RNAcentral lists this long non-coding RNA (148324 nucleotides) under Triticum aestivum (bread wheat). RNAcentral's name for it is "long non-coding RNA (TAES_LNC012402)". The record is from RNAcentral. Lineage: Eukaryota; Viridiplantae; Streptophyta; Magnoliopsida; Poales; Poaceae.